RNAcentral lists this long non-coding RNA (89543 nucleotides) under Setaria viridis. Its description in RNAcentral is "long non-coding RNA (SVIR_LNC006126)". Lineage: Eukaryota; Viridiplantae; Streptophyta; Magnoliopsida; Poales; Poaceae. The record is from RNAcentral.
UUUGUUUUCCUUUAUGCUGCUCACGUGAUUUACCUCUCUUCUAAGCUUUUGGGACAGUUCAGCAGGCAUUUGGAUGGUUUUGCAUUUCUGUACUAUGUUCACUUAACUUCCUACCUGGUUUUUCAGACUUGAUGUAUGUGCUCUAAAUAACUUAUGCAAAUCUCAUACGUUAAUAACCUGUGCAAGUAACAUUGGAUUUGGCAGAUUGGUUAAUAAAUCAAUAUAACGAAAAAUAGCUCCUGUUAACUAUGCUUGGUUCUGUUCAUUUCUCAUUUAUUAGCAUGUCAAGUAAUUGUAUCAUAAUUAUUAAAGCCUUCACUUUGUUCAUACCGUAAUAUAAUGUGGUAACGUCAUAAUUAUGAUCAUGUUAUCAAAGUGAAUUAUUGUCUGCUGGUAUAUGCCAGUCCUAGAUUGCUUGUGUUUCUGGAGUUGAAAUUCUGAACUAUUCUGAUGGCAAAGGACUGAUGAUCUAGAACCUGAUUUGAAUUAUUGUUUGCUGAAGUUGGUACAUAAGUACCACAACCAAGGGUUUUGAACAGCAAACUUUCUGGCAAGUUGCAGGAUAAUUCGGCUGUUCUUUUGGACUAAAAUAUCCUCAUUACUAAUAGGUUUACCAAUUUCUGCCAAGGAUGUGAAAUCCUUAUGAUAUGAAAUGAAAUGGUGUGGCUUUACUGUUCCAUUGUUUUGUGGAUAAAUUCGUCGCAUUGCAUGCCACUGAUUGUUUAUUGACACAACGGUGAAUUUACUGUUCCAUUACAUCUGAAGUUGAGCAUAGGAAGUGGCAUUUGCUUCACCUAGCUGCACUUGUGCCUUUGCAGGUUGUUGAUCACACUACACACCGUUUCAAGGAACAUGACGGGAUAACCUUUGUGGUCGAGGACUGAAAGACAUCUUGCAGUGUGUGCGGACGUUGUUGAGCAGCAGAUACGAGUUUACAAGACCGCUCACUGAUCUUAUCUUCAAAACUACUACUUUGUAAUGAAGAACCAACUUGUAAAUGUUAUGUAGAAAGUAGAAACGCACGCCUGAGGUGCCUGUUCGAACUUGUGCCUUGUGUUUCUGUCAGCACCAAAAUGAAACGCAAAACUCCACAUCCGCCUUAGGGCGUGUUCAGAUGCUUGACUAAAGUUUAGCUCUUAUCAUAUCGAAUGUUUGAUAUUAAUUAGGAAGACUAAACAUGAGUUAAUUAUAAAACUAAUUGCAGAAGUUAUAAGCUAAUUAUAAAAUUAAUUGCAGGAGCUUUGGGCUAAUUCGCGAGAUGAAUCUAUUAAGCCUAAUUAAUCCAUCAUCAGCAAUGGUUACUGUAGCAUCACAUUCUCAAAUCAUGGACUAAUUAGGUUUAAUAGAUUCGUCUCACGAAUUAGUCUCCAUUUGUACAAUUAGUUUUGUAAUUAGCUUAUAUUUAAUACUCUUAAUUAAUAUCCAAAUAUGAAUGGAACUGAGACUUCUCGGAAAUGAUUACUCGUAUCUGCCAAUGAUGUUGCCACCACAAAGAAUGGACUGGGUAGACGGUAUCUUUCCUGAUAUCGAGAACCGGUUGCCAUGCUGAGCUCAAUCUUCAGCAACAACAGCGACGCACAAACUUGAGAAGGAAAGCCCCGCAAAAUCGACGCGCAGCAUGCUGAUGGGAGCAUGGCCGGACAGAGCAGAGACGCUGGCCAAACCUCACCGGGCACCUCAGCCUCCGCCAACCACGGCAAGUCACACCAACAUCACCUCUUGCACACAUGACGACGCUGAUAAGAUUGCCCCCGCGCCAAUAAUUGGUCGCGCACGGUUGCGCCUGUGCCGAUUUGCCCGUCGUGGGCUCGUGGCACCGAAGGCCGCGCAGACGAUGCGACGGCCGACGAGGAUAGCGCCGCGCGGCCACGCCCCGGGCAUAAGCAUGUGUGCCCUUGGAUUCUCUUCGCGGCACUUGUCAGUUUGCCACGUUGCCACGCCUCCCUACGCACGCUCGAUAUGCAGGUGGACACGACUGCCCUCGGGCAUGCGUAUCCGCCCGGCCGUCGCCGCAAUAGCGCACGGCCGGCUGCGCUUUGGUCAGAGCAAGAAUACCAGCGCCCAUGCCUAUGCUAGCACGCGCUGGCCGAUUCCAAUUGGCCGCCGCUUAAUUAAUCUGGCUACGAUCCUCAUUAAAACAAUUGAUUAACUAGCACAAGGAGGAGGAGUAUACAAUAAGCCGGGGCACACGCGAAAGCAAUCGGCGGCCGAGGAGGAAAAGCGCGCGGCAGGAGGCGGCCCCGCCCGCCCGGGCCGGACGCCGAUCCGGCCCCGUGUCCGUUGGGUUGGCGCAACCCGACCAAACAACCGCCCCGCCUUUUUGGCCAGCCGUUCGGCGCCCUCCGCUCCCAAGUCCCUCCCUCCCCACUCGCCCCACGUCUCCUCUGUCGCUGCGAUCGGGAGGAGGGAAAAGCGGAUGAUGCUCCAGCGAAGCGAGCAGCAGCGUCGCCUCGGCCUCGCCAUGGAGAGGCCUCUCGACAGCUACUCCUCCGUCAAGGACGUCACCUACAGGUUCGUUCGAUGCUUCCACGAUCCCAGUUUCUCCUGCCGCUUGCUUCUGAACUUCUCUGCGCUCUGGGUCAGAAAACUUGGAGUCUGUUCUUGACCCUCACUAGGAUAUAUAUAGAAGUACCGAGAUCAAGUACCGAGAUCACUGCGCCUUACUGCUAAUCUGCUAUUCGUUCUCUUUGUAUUUUUUUUUUGGAUUCGCUGUGCAGUUCACCACUGAUUUACUGUGUGAUUGCUGCUUGGAAUAGUCCCGGUUCUUAUGCCCGGUUUGAUGGCGAAUUGGUCCCAAUCAUUUUCCUUCUCCCGAUAUUGGCCACUUCACGCAUGCUAUGGAGGUCCCAAAUCCCAAUUCGUACUGAAACACAGCCAUCCCAGCCUCAGUGUCUCACUCUUAACGCCUUACUUAAGGGCUAAGGUUUUUCUCGAACGCUUAAGGACUAAGGUUUUGAUUAGGGUAAACUUGAAAAUACAACCGCCGAAUUCCUUGCACAAGUGACACAUGUUCGCGUCCCAGCAUUCUUGUUCUCUGCACCUGCGUAACUGCCGUGUGGUUUUCCUUACUGGCAACAUGUCACUCUGUCACUGGCAGCUGCGGGUACUGCGGCUACGCGCUGAACCUGAGCUCCUCGGCGCGGGACACGGCGGGCAUCGGCUCCAAGUACCGCAAGCAGAUCAAGAAGGGCGUCGUCGCCUUCGUCGCCGUCGACGAGAGCCGCUUCACGCUCGCCGACGAGGUCGCCUGCAUGCCCUACUUCCGCUCCAGCCGCGCGUGGGGCCUCUUCAGGAGGCGGUCGCGCCUGCUCUGCCGCAAGUGCGGCGGCCGCAUCGGCGACGCCUACGAGGACGAAGACAGGGACUCCGGCCUCAGCGACGGCGACGCCUUCUCGGAUGACCUGCGCGCGAGCUCCGGCUCGGGCGGCAGCAGCGCGUCGAGCCAGAGGAACUACGUGAUCAAGAUCAGCGCGCUGCAGCCGUCGUCGGAGGAUUCUGAUGCUGUUUCCUUCACACUAUGAUGAAGAUGGCGCCGGGUUGCUGCAGGGUGCUCUUCUUCCAGCUUGGUUGAAUUCGAAUUUGGUGCAAUCUGGGAUGUGAAUUUGUGAGUGCAGGAGAAGAUACAGCAAGAAAGAGCUUGGCACAGCUAAGAAUUUUUCAGAGGGUAACCAUCUGCAUGCUGCUUUCAGACGUCUUGCUGUCUGUAGUGCUUUCCAUUUCCUCUGCACAUUUGUGAAAUGUACAGCGACAUGAUGGUUGUUGAAUUUUGCUUGGUAUUAGGAAGUGGUUAGGUUUUCUAUGCGCCAGUUGAUCCCAUAGAAUUUGUUUGUACUGUGUCAUGACUCAUGAUUCACCACGGUUGCAAUUUUGAGUAGUGUUGCUUCAUGUGUCAACUGUUAAGAUUUUUUGCUUUAUAGUUAUUUUGGGUUCUGGAAAAGGCGAGGAUUAGUACAAAUGAUAUAAUCUACUAAGCAGUAUUUGAGUUUUACUGCGGCGUCAGAAUUAUAGAAUCAGAUUUGUUGCCCUCGAACAAACAUGCAACUUAUAUGCACCAGCACCCUGAAAAUUAGGACUUGGGAUGGAGUUUGGACUUGAUAUUUUGUAUGGCAUCAUGUUGAAGCCUCAUGAAUGGACGGUGGGUUUCUCAAGAUUUUUGAAAAGUUCUAAAGUAUUUCUGUUGGAGCUUUCUAGUGUCCAACACUUGCUGGUUUUCAUCGCAUACGUUCCCUGGAAGCAUAUGCAGUCAGGGGCUAAGGGCCAGAUGCCCAGGUGGGUUCAUACAAGUAGUGCCUCAGUUGGAUCACAUGGUGAUGAUCGCCAUAAGAACAUAGAAACGCAAAAAAUGUUAUACAACUAGCAGAAAGGCAAUUAUAUUCUUAAGCAGAUUCUAAGAUUGAAGGUUGACACUGCUAAAAAUCAUUAUCAUAUACAGAGGAGCUCUUUAGCUUCUUCAGUACAAAUCUCAGGUAUCCCUAUUUGCUAAAACACAUACAUACAUUCAAUCGAGAUAAUUGAAUAAUAUGUUGUAACAAUCAAAUCAAAUGAAAAAGAAUUUGAAAAACAUAAAAUCUGACUGUGAUAGUUUACAUUGUAAUUUUGCUUCAAGUGGCUAUUGUGUUGGCAUUGGUUUAUUCUUCAAAAAGUGUCUGAACAUUAUCAAAGCUUGUCGAGGCCGGUGCAGCGGGACUUCAUGUCCUGCACCUGCUAUAGUUACGAGAGUUAAUCCUUUGUAAACUUGACUCCAACCUCCAACCUGCAACAUUAGAUGAAUUAAUGACCAGUAUCAGCUUGUAAUAUUUAUUCUGCUCCAAAAUUUGCUUAAUAGAGUAAAAUGGUCUUGUAACUGACCUUCCCAUGGUCAUACCAAGGGUACCAAUUUACUAGUGUUGGAAGCUUGAGAGCAUCGAUCGAGUACCUUGUUGCAGUUACAGGAACUACAGCAUCUGUAUCCCCACUGUGAAGCAUAAAAAGGGAAACAAAGGUAAGUUAACCAUUCAAUGCAGCCCAUGAUUACGUAAAGCAUUAUUCUGCAACUAUGAGAACUUGAUUUCAAGACAUGUUUGAAGGUUGUUUCCCCCCUGAAGAGAGACAGGUUGUUUUUCUGCAACUAUGAGAUUUUUUUCAUCCCUCUGACUUCCUUUGAAUGAGUUAAAAUGUUCGGAGAAAAUAUCCAUUUAUACCAUAGUCCAAUGCCCGUAUAAAAUGGUAAACAAUACUGCAAUUACAGAACAUGAAAGCACCUAUAUACAUGUUUUACAGAGUAUAUUUAAUGAUAUCACUUACAUUGAAGUGUUUAACUGACUAAAACAUUUACCAGAUAUGAGUGCACCCAGUAAAUCACUCUGUAAUGCAAAAUAAUACAAGAGACGCUGAAAGUUCUGUUACUCACCUGAAAACCCAUAUCUUCAUACCAGCUGCUAUCAGUUCUUGGUAGAUUGGAAGCAUGGAUCUUGGGGAAUCUGCCCAAUAGGUUCCAACUAUAUCGCUGUGACAGAGAGAGUAAAUGAGUUUGCUUGUUCGAAAAAGGAAAAAUAUGGGAUAUUUUGUCAACUACAAUCAUUAUAACCUGCAUGUUUGCCAUGGGUAAUGAAUUCCGGUUGUAUUUGCAUGUAAUGCCAUCUGCACUUCUGGCCGAUUGUAGUAAAUGCUUGCGUAUCUUUCGGUGCAAGGAUCAUAGGCUCUAGACAACCAAGGCUGUGGAUGGAAACAUGUCACUAGACAUAGAAAACAAAGGAUCCAAACAUCCUCUUUGAUACAAAUACACAGUGAAUCAAUUAUAGAAAAAAGUUAAUAAUAAACGGGAAAAAAACAAACAUAACUUCAUGCACGAUAGAAGUUUGCAUAAAUAUAUUCAAUGUAUGUAAAAUGGCCCACACUCUUGCAUUCUUAUUCAAGAAGUGCCAGAUGCCACACUUUUUUUUGAAGGUUGAUGCCACAGUUUAAUAAUUGCACUGUGUCUUUGUCCAUAAAUGCAAACGUGUCCGAAGUAAAUCAGGAAUCACAAGCCGUAUAUUUCCUUGUGAUUGGCUGUUGCCAAUAAAAUGUUUGCCUUGUGUUGGGCCUGUAACUCUUUUGCUUACUCUUUUAUGAACCACUAAAGCUCAACUAACAGUGAAGCAAUGGGUUGACAGCAAACUAAUUCAGUUUAGUUUCUUGUUAAUUUGAUAUAUAAAUUGGAGUUACUACAUCAUAUUGAAGUAAUUGCGUCCAUGCUUGAUCAUCUGGUAGUUACAGUAAGCAUCUGGCGAUUGAUAUUGCAUUGCUCUUUGCUGAGUUCAAAUAAUAUCUUAAAAGCAAAUGGAAUCACUAAAUUUCAGCAAUUAAGAAAUGGAAGUCUGGAAAUAGAUUUGUGAAACAAUAUUGCAGUUGGAUUACUUGAUGGAAUUAUGAAAAUCCAAAAAAGAAAAGGCACUUACGUAGCGUCCACCCAAGCUAACUUUGAGAGAGGCUGUGUAAUUGCAUGGCUUUGUAUUCAAACUAUAAGGAUCGAUAUUGCCUUCUUCAGCACUGGCUAGAUUCAGGUUCUUGACACAGUCGGGAGAAGGGUGCUGUGAGGAUUCAAGCAAGCAUGUUGCCUUCAAGUUGUGAUAAGUUUUGUCAGAGAUCAGACCAUGAGUCCACCAAUACUCAAACGUGCCGAGGUAGUCAUGGUAGUCAUCAGUAACCGCAUUCCCCACCUUAAUUUUCAGGAAUCACUAAACUUCAGAAACCAGCAUAAAUAAACAAGAACUAGUACAACCAAAAAAAGGCUUAAAAGGUGUACCAUAAAUCCUUUUAAAUUAAUCGUGGGAUUCUGAAUGCCCUUGUUCUUUUCAUAUAUGAGCUGGGCUAAUUGAGGAACAUAAUGUCCUGCAAAGUGCAAACAUCAGAGCACGCAAUUGAAUCUUUAUGGAGCUAGCCAAAACAGAAUUCAGAACUUCUCCCACAGAAGCUUUACCUGCAUAACUUUCUCCAGCGAUAUAGAACUCCCUGUACUUGUACUGUGGGAAUCUCUCCAACCAAUUCACGAGAAAAGCAUAGGCAUCCAGUGCUACAAGACAAAUGCAAGUACAAGAGUUUGGUACCUGAAUUUCUUGAUCGACGAAGGAAAGUGAGCCGCUCGCGCAGUAAUGGCCAUGGUUCAGUUUUACCUGUCUUUGCGUCUCCUGCGGUGUACAGAUCCAGCGACGAAUUCGAGUAGGAGAACCCCACGCCGGCCGGCGACUCCAGGAAGAGCAAAUUGGCCGCUGCAUUCACACCCCGACACAAAUCAGCCUCUGCCAACACCAGCAUUGCAGGAACAUCGCUUGCUCUAUGAAUUGGGAGUCAAACGGAGCUCAACAACAUGUACCCACCCUUGUUCCAAGAAUUGGGGUUGAGGUAGAGCGUCUGGCCGUCGGGCCUGAUGCGGAACGGGCCGACCUCCUCGGACGCGCCGUAGCCGACCGACGAGCACCCGGGCCCGCCGUUCAGCCAGAGGACGAGCGGCGCGAUGGGCCCCGCCGCCGGCACCGCCUCUACGAGCCAGUAGAAGAGGGCGCGCCCCCGCGCCGGGUUCACCGUGACGUACCCAGAGUACUGCGAGAACUCCACGUUGGGCGGCUGCCCCGGGAGCUCCCGGAUCCGGUCGCUCUCCCUCUCCUGGUCGGCGGUGGCCACGGCCGCCGCUACUACCACUGAGACCACCAGCAGCGGCACCAAAGCGUGAGCCAUUGCCAUUGGGGACCAGCUCCAGCGGCUGCUGGGCAGAGGCAAGCUGCCAGUGCAGCUCCCACCGGGAGAGAUCUUUAAGGCACUGGAGACUGGAGAGCGGAAGCAGCGGAGCUGAGCCUGCACCCAGCAAGCACAGUGCUCUGCACUUGCCCAGUACGCAACGGCACUCCAGCUACUGCUUCAGCUGCUGUUGCUGACCAGGGAGAUUGCUCGCCCUGUCGCCUUGAUUUGAGUGGGGAUUUUCGGUCCGCACGCCACCCUCCGCCACUCCCAUUGACCAAGGACAGCUCAGGAGCCCCGAGCGGUUGUCCCCUUGAAGCGUCAAAGGGAGGAGGAGGCAGCUGACCUCAUCCGCUGGCUCUGCUCUGACCCUCCGGCCGGCAAAGGCGGUGGUUCCGGGAAAAAGUACAAGGCGAAUGUGCCGAGAUUUCCUCACCCGCCCCCGAUGAUUGAUUGGCACGGGUACAGCUCAGGCGCCGGGGGGCAAAAGCGCCGGAUCAGAUCGCGCGGCCGUACCUGCCCUGGCCGAGCCCGAGCGCGGCGCGCCUCCCGGAGGAAAAACUCGCAGGAUGAUUAGGCGGCGUCCACACCCGCGUGCUGCUAGGUGCUGCUGCUACAGCGAGGCGCACAGCGCGGCAAGUGCGGUGUCGGAGCGCGUCGUAGUAGUGGCGGGGUGGUGGACUGGUGGUGCGCGUGGGAGAGAAGAGCAGGGCCGAGCCGAGCCGAGCUGGGUGCCGUGGGGGAGGGCCGCGGGGCGGCGGACGCGGCUGGCACAUGGGGCUGGGGGUUGGAGGGAAACCGGGCGGGACUCGGGAGGCGGCUGAAAAUUCGCGGGGGGCGCAUCGGUAUCGCAUCUGCUAGGCGGGGCGGCAGCGGCGUCCGUCGCCAAUCACCAUGUCGUCGCGUGCGCACGCGUGAACGUGGAAGCUGGGAAAGGGGGGGCGAGCAAAGGUAAACUAAUCCCAAACCAAACCGAACACGCGGGCUGCUGAAGUUGAACAACGUGAGGGAUCGUGAGCUGUUUGUCUCGUCCGACUCGCCCGAGGCAGGUGGUGUGCUCCACAACACAGUUUGUGUAGACAGGAAAGGAAGGAUAGCUUCACGGCUUCAGGCGGCGAUGGGUAUCUGAUUACCCGGAGGCCGGGGGCAGCAACGUAGGAUGAUGAUGAUGCAAGCCACGAAGCCAGGCGUUGGAGACUGCGAUGGUGUCGAGGAGCAGCGGUCUCGCCUUGCCCGAAAAGAAUUACACGGACUGGACUGCCCGCAUCAUUGCAUCAGUCAGAAAGCAACGAUUGUUUUAAGGGAGGCCCACGCUAGAUAUUUAACAGUAUACUUGUUCACCUUUCGAACUACUUAAGGGCGGCCAUGUGGACUGAAAAUAGUCCACAGGCAAUAUAUUAUUCCAUUAACCUUCCCAACACCAUUGUGCAAGCGGUCCGUAAGAAGAAGAUAACAAAAUUACUCAUAGCAUCGUGGGCAGCCCAUAGACAUUAUAAAAUUAUACUUGUACAGUACCAUUGAGUAAACAAAUAAAAUCAGCCAACCAGAAAUCGUGGAGGAUCUUUUUCUAUCUGAUGGGAAUCUUCUUAUUUCCUAACAUAAAGGCUGCCUGCUGUGGUACUGGUUUGCCAAAAACAUUGUGGUUGCCCUUAGAGGAUUCCAGCCUUCGUACUGUACCAGGCUCUCAGAGCAGAGAGCACGCAAAUGGUGGCCGGUGGACCCCAUUUCGCUAAGUGUACCCUACCACGGCAAAGCCUCCGAGGCUGCUCCGUUCGGGCAAUCGGGCGAUGUAAGGCCUCCUCCAAUGAUGCCAGGUCAGCUAGCUUAUAAAAUAAUAUUUUGUCUAGGUGAAAGAUGGUGAAAGAAAGGAGAAAGAAGAGUUAUCUCUUAUCAAGAGAUAAUCUCGUACACAUAUUUCAAGAUUACGUGAGGCUAACUAUAUGCCAAGAGUUGGAUUAUUGGAUAAGUUGUCUCUCAUACAUUUUUUUAUUGUUAUGAGCAGUAGUUGACUCUAACUGAGGAGGUCUAAGUAGCAUGUUGACGUGUCGACGAAUCAGACAGGAACCAAGAAGAUGCGGGACUGUUACUAAUCGAACUGACUCAUUUGUGGAGAUCUCUAAGAAAGACAACAGCACUGGGAUAGUCUUUUGCACGCACGUGUUGGAUGACUCAUUUGUGAAGAUCUCUAAGAAAGACAACAGUACUGGGAUAGUCUUUUACGCACACAUGCUGUAUGCUAAGGUAUCAGCGGCAAAAUUUCUUUCAGAACUACUGUACUGCUUAUGUUCAGAAUGUUACGUUCUGCAACAUUCACUUGCAAACAAAUAAGUCUAGUACUAUAUGGAUCAGUUUGAUGCAAAAAGUUCCAUUAGUGAAAAAAAAUGCGUUAGAUGCAUCAUGUGUUAGUAUUCUUCCCGAUUGGUAAGUGGAGGGAGAAGGGAAGCCUGGAAUGCUCUUUCCUGAUUUAACUUCACUCAAAACAAUUGUGAUCGACCAGAAGUGAGGCGAUGUGGGAUGUACAGUCACAUUUUUCUUCUCCGAACACACAACUAUUAUUGAAUUAAUAGAAGAAAAGAGUUUUAUAAACACACAUUUUAGAAGCAAUUUACAUGUAUAGGUGUUUAAAACAUAGUAUUUUUCCAACCUCUAAUUUUGUCCUUAAUGAAUAUACUAAAUCGUAUAUUCGACAUGUUAGUAGCAUAACUAAAGUAUACUAUAAAAUAAUACCAAAUUUAUAGCCAAAUAACUCAUAAAGAGAUGUAUACAAACUAAGGUCGACCAACGUACAAUUGACGACCAAACUUUCCUUAAAGAAUCGACUUCUCCAAUAGAAUUAUUUGUAUAUAUGAAAUCAGGCUUAAAGAUGGCAAUUUAAUUGUAGGUUCAAGACGGGAAUCAUACACCCAAGAGUAAUUAAUAGAUUUGUUCCCCUAAUUUACUAUGGUGGGGGCUUGUGCCCCCUAUUCCUUGAGUAUUGUGAUUGAGUAGACUUUAAAAAAGGUGGUGAAAGAAUAAAAUAGAAUAACAACCUAUGAAUAUAUAGGAAUCACACAUAGUGAAUAUAUAGAAAUAACACCAAAUGUAGUGUUUUUGCAGAUACAGUAAAUACCAGCUCAAUAUAAAACCUGAAACACACCACCAUUCACGUGCCCACCAAACCUAAUCGAUGGUAUUUUUCACACGGGGGCAUAUCAAGCCUAUUCUCGAAACAACAAUUACCCAUACCUAGUAGCGCGUGGAACAUGUGGGUACCCGCACAUAUGGGUCCAAUUGUCAUCCCUAUAAAUGAGAUGAAAAUGUAGAAGAAAAUUGUGAAAUUAUUUAUAUAUGCAUUGGAUCACUAAAAAUAUAAGCAAAAUAUAUUAGUGUGAUACUUAGCCAUGACAGUCAAACACUUCAUGUGAAAAAUAUCGGAACUUAUAAAAGUUACCAGGCUUGCAAGUGGGUUUCUACAUAUUUUUCCUCUAAUAAUGAGAUGUAGGGACAUUUUGCAAGGGUUUAGUUUCGAGGAAACAUUUCUGGAGAUAAAAUGGUUAUAAUUAUCCUGAGAAAUGUCUUGUAUCCGGUAGGAUAAGAGAAACAUUUCUGGUUGUCUAUUGUCUCUAAAUCCCUGAAUUGCUUGGUAGUGAUUUUUCCAUUCUCUCCGUAGUCAAAUUUUGUUUGGUGCAGCUGUGUUGAUGUCCCAAUUCAACUGACUGAGUUUGUAGUUGUUAUUUUAGUAGCCUCUUAGGGUUAUAAUCAUAUAUUAUCUUCUGCUAUAUCAAUAGAAAUUUGCAUUGUCUUGUGAUGAGGUUCGUUCAAAAAAAUUGUUUGGUAAGAAUCCUUCUAUUUAUAUGAGAGAAUCACGUUGCAUAAUCCCCACCAAACGGCCCAUAGUAUCCGCAUUGCAGUGCAACUCAUAGGACGCAGCAUUUGGUCUGUUUAAAAGUACACCAUCCUCAAUGCUGCAACGUUUGAGUCACAAAAUCUGCAGGAGUUUGGAGUCUGAAACUGGCUGACAAAAAACAGAGCGCAAACUACAUGUUUGGAAGUAGCUUUGACACGCGAUGUACUACUAUUGUUCAAGAUCUUUUGCUUUCAAGUACUACAGGCUAGAGCGACGGAAGUCGGAAGCUACUACUAUUCCCUCCGUAUAUUUUUAUAAGACGUACGCGUAUAUCAAGAUUCAAACUUUGUUAUUUUUGACCAAUAAUUUAACCAAUAAAUUUUUAUUUUUAUAAUGCAAAUUGAUUGGAUUUGUAAUCAAAUGUACUUCCCAAUGACUCUAAAUUUAUAAAACCAUAAAUAAUAUAAGACAAGAUAAAUUAAUGAUAAAAGUGUAAUUUGUAACAUUUUGCCAAUAGAUCAUAUCACACCUUAUAAAAAUAUAAAAAUAAAAUGGAGGGAGUACACUAGAGGACCGGCGAUCAACUUGCCAGGUCCGAUUCUGGUUCGAUGGCAGAGCGGAGUCCCUGACGAACCAUCAUCUGCGCGUAGAACUCGGCGUGCUCCUGUCCAGGCAUCGAAGUACACCGUUUAAGCAAUAAUUCCUUGUGGCUAUAGAAACUAGACUAGAUCGAAGCUCUAUAGACCUUUUGCAUUUCAAAUAGUAUCAGGCGGGUGCGAUAAGAGUUGAGUAUUAACAGAUACCUUGACGGCGACGAUGACAAGCGCGACGCCUUUCAGGCGAGACUCGUGGAAGAGCUGCCGCGCAGCUUCCGCGGUAAUGGAUGGCACCACCUGCGGCAAGGCCUUCUCCACUGCACAGUCGGGCACGACGCACGACGACAGUCGACAGCAGACGUGAGUCACAGGCUCGGGAAACUUGCUUGGGAUAUCCAGAACGUGCUGUGCUGGUGGGUUUGUUUCGAGCGAGUACAGCAGUGUGCUUACCGUGCUUCUCGGUGUGGCGCACGUCGUCCACGAGCAAGACCUUGUAGCUGUCGCCGCUUCCGGAGCGCCUCCCAUCCCUGAGCCUCCCGGGGUCCCCUCCUUCCUGCGUGACGGGGAGCGUGUCGAGCUGGGACUGGUCAAACGCUGGCCGCUCCAGCACCGCGCCGCCGCCGCCGCUCGCAUGCGGCGCCGCGACAACACCCGCCGUCGCCUUCUUCCGAUGCCGGGCUCUCAGGUUCACGGAGACGGUGGAGGGGAGCGGGGUGGUGGUGGUGGUUGUGGCAGUGCUCGGGAAGACGAGCGCGGUGCACGCGGCUGCUCGGCCGCUGAUGGCCAUUGCCAAUGUCAAGACUCGAAACCAGGAUAAGCCCUCGGCGUUUGGGAAACUGGCGGCGAUAAGGUUGAGCGUGAUUGCGUGAAGCAAUGCAGGGAUUGCAGGCAGCCAAAGGCACAAAGUAGAAAGCUUCUUCUUGCUCGGGGGAGAAGCAGGUGGUCUUGCUUGGCAAUGUCGAGAUUUAUUCAGGGUUCAACUAAACAUAGUGCCAAAAACGGCAGGUGGACCGUUUGAGAAAACUCUAGAUCCUGUGUGUAGCACCGGUGAAACUGGAAUUAUUCUCCCCUCGCUCUCCGCGGUACAAGUACUGCAAGUGUACAAAAACCACACCACAAAACAAGGGCAAGACGCUGAUGUCUGAAUGGCCACCAGUUUGCCAGGAGUCCAGGACCAUACAGCACCACAUUGGCUAAAAAGCCGGUCGGAGACGAACAAGACUGGGUGAGUUUCUGGUCAUGGAAAGUUCCAGAACCAAACGUAGUGGAGCCGUUCCCUCCGAACAAGUGCAAACCGUUUGGCAUAACCAAAAAUCAGGGACCACAAUGGCAAUUGCAGCUUCGUAACGACUCUCCAGGGUUCCAACUGAGAAGAAACAGCAGCAUAGAACGGAGGAGAAAAUCAAUUUCUUUCUCAAGAAAAGAAAGGAAAAUUUAUAAUCUUUGUGUUCCAGUUAACAUACCACCACGGUGCAACAUUUUGCAGCAAGUAGAUACAAAAAUGAUUUAUAUAUAACAAACUUUUAUGCACAUUACGGCUGCCCAAGGGUUACAGCCGAAAUUUCUAGCUUCUAUAAACUAUUAAUUCUGCGCAAUUACACCAGACAAAUUGACUUCAGGUUUGGAAGGCGAACUUCCCUCAGCCUCAGAUCACCAAGUAAUUAUCAGUAACCAAUUGAAUCCUCUCUGAAAACUUUGGAGGGCUACCUUCCCUUAGCGGAAGAAUAGCGGUAACCUGAAACAGUGAUUUGCAAAAAAAAACCACAAGAAUUAUAAAUUGUAUGUAGGGGAAGAAAAUAAAUUCAGGAAUUAUACUUUCAUAGUUUAUCAAGUUAACAGUUGGUAAAAAAAUGACAGUGAACCAUCAGGACACUGUAUUGUACAAAGCGGGGUGUAAUAUUUGCUAAAACAUUUAGAGCAAAGUGGUAGGGGUCAUUAUUUUUCCUAUUUUUUAAGAAUCGGUAAGUGGAUCUUUGUUUGGUGCUUAAACAAUAAAUUCAACCUCCUCAGACCAAAUUGGAUGCUAAGGACCAGAGCAUUAUUUGAGUUGUAUAGGUUAUGCACUUAUGCAGUACUUCCUCCGUCCCAAAUUAUAGGUCGUUUUGACUUUUCUAGAUGCACAGAUAUUAUUAUGCAUCUAGACAUAGGGUAUAUCUAAGCGCGUAACAAAGCCUAUGAAUUAAAAAAGCCAAAACGAUCUAUAAUUUGGGAUAGGAGAGAGUAUUAAGCAUUGCAAAGCAAUCAGGGAUCUGGUGUAAGGUAAGGAAGAGUUUCUGGUGCUAUUUUAUGGCAUAUUGAGUGAGAGUGGGUACAGUACCCCACGGUUUUGCCGUAAAGCAAACAAACACUGAACUCAUAGAGCUAAUGAAACUAUGCAGCCAACAAAACAACAAGUGACAUUCUAUACUCUUAAGGUGUAAUUCUAAACUAACCGACUGCCUCCCCAAAUUUUCUCUCAUUAUACUCCUACUCAUUCUUCAUCAGUAAGCUCAUAUUUCAGAAGCAGGUAGAUGUUCUCGGAAACAAGAAACAACCAACCUUCAAAUCACUGAAGGUGCUUGACGCAGAAAAAACAACCGAGAUGGGGAAAAAUGUUGAUGGGUCAGCUGCAGGAACAGCAAAUUCCAUAGAACCACUGAAAAUGAAGUGACAUCAAGCAUUAACAACAGUGUUGGGGACAAAAUGCAUGAAAUAAAAAAUAAUGAGUUAGCAUAUGCGCCAUGUACCUGCGGUUGGAUUGAUCAAUAAGAGUAAUUGACCAUUCCAUCACUGAGUUUCUUGAGUCAUACCUGCACGCAACAAAAGAAAGAGAAAAGUUAAUAUAUGCAACUAGAGACCAGCUGGAUGGGCGAACAAAGAGACCAUCUGAGUGCUGAGAUAAAUUUUAAUCCAACAGGUGCACUUUUAAAGAGGCAAACUUUGAAUUGUAACACUUCUAAAAGGAAUUAUUAUGAUGCAUUAAGUAUGAAAUAUUAACUUAUGGUAAACAGAGGCUAGAGACUGUUUUGUGGACCUGAGUAUUCAAUCAGCAAAAAAUUACUUAUACAAAUUACAAAUAGGCCUAGACCUGCAUUCCAAUUUCUUGUAAAGCAAACAGCUUCACCUUUUUCUGUAACCUCAACUCCAUGUUCGCACCCAAAGGCUUGUUGGAUAUGUUUUCUUUCAGAUGCACAGUUUAACUUACAACUCUUAGCAUUAUUUGGGUUGGCACAGGUUAUUCUUGGGACAUACACAUUACCAGAGUAUUUAAAACAGGAACAUGAAGGUUUUGAAACAUACUUCCAUUCUCCAUCUAUCUGUCUAACACUUGGAGCUUCCCUGAGUGCAGGCAGAGGUAUAGAAAUGACAACAUUGUGUAAAUCAAACAUCUCAGAAGCUUCAUACUCAAUGUUCACAUAUGUUUCAUUUCCAGAGACUGAAGGCCAGCAAUUGACUGCAAGUGGCAAAAAUAGGUUACACAAGUCUAAAUUUGCAAUUAAUUUUAGCAAACAAUUGAAACACACCUGAUAAUGGCAGAGAUGACUCAUCCAACUCCUGGAUUCUCCACUUCACAAAAGGGGUUUCAUUAUGACCACUGGGGAAAGGCCUGUUUGGAUCUUUUGCCCCAACAAUUUGCUGACUAUUGAACAGCUCUUUGUUAAUAUAAGGGUGUGUCUUGAAGCUAAGUCCAGGUAGAUCUUGAUUCUCAAUCUGUAAAGCACACAAAUAUAGUAUGUUCCACCAAUUAAAAAAACUUUAUUAAUUGGAAAAAUAAUGUUAACCAAAACACAGCCUUGGAAGCAGGUAAUAGUGAUCAUAUUCAUGAUGUUUACGAUAGCAGGGAUACACAACAAGUUUCAAAUAAAAUUAAAAGAAUCUCAAGGCAUAUGGCAGAAACAGUGCGAUUUCUGCAACAAACAUUUGUAUAUCAUAUAAUUAGGAAGAAAAAAAGAGAGCUUCAGCAAUUAAUCAAGCGAAGAAUGUAACUACCAUAAAUUAAAUAGUUUUUUAUAUUAGAAGCACAGAUAUAUGGAAAGUAGUGUAGUAGAGCAACACUUGACAAGAGACUCGUAUUGGGCCAGAUAAAUCAGACAGGAACGGAUUGAGUGGUAGACAUCAGUAUGACAAGAGGCUUUUUUAUGCUUGACUCUGAAACUUUUCUAAGGAAAAAAAAACAAAGUAUUGAACACGAAUCAAAGGUCCAGAAAACAAAUAUAGAAAAUGACCUGCAACUGGAUAAAACCAUUGGUAUCAUUCAGAACUUGAAGAGCAAGGGUUCCUUGAACAUCAAAAUUAUGAAUCCCACCAUCUCUUUUAACAGUGACAUUGAUCUUUUCUUCAAUUGCCACUGCGAUAGGAUCACUUGGUGGGACAGAUGACAGCCUCGACUGAAUUCCACUUGGUCGGGUGUCCUCCGAAAUGAGUUCUCCUUCAGCUUUCAGAGAUUCUAGGAACUGAUUUGUCUUCCUUGCCUUGCCCAAUUUCAUACCACCAGCCACUUUACUAGUAGCAGGAGUAGAAGCAGAAGGGAGCCCUGUACAAAUGCCACAAGUAAUCAACAUAAAAUAAUAGCUGCUCGUAAUAGAGGCAUUCAUUAGUGAGGAUUCCUUUCCAAAAUCCACUUGAAAGCUGAGAGCUUAAAUUCGCCUGAAAGUUCUGUGGUGGAUUUGAGAAUUCACACCAAAAUUUUUUGAAAGAUACAAAAUUCACAAUCCACUAUCAUCAAUUCUCAACAAUGCAAUCAGAACUACUAUAUAACCAUUAACACCAGUAAUAAAAUUAAUUAAUGGCGUCAGAAUUUCCACAUAUGCGUUUGCUUGGGUACUAACCUUUGGGCUUUUGAGCGAAUGAGUCAGCAAAUAUAGGAUCACCUCCUAGACCAGUGCCUCUCGUGUUCAUGUCACUAAAACCAUUUGGAGGCCUCAGGGGACCAAAUGCUUUUUCAGUCUUGCCUCUAUCAAUCUGCAUAAAUCCAACAAGAUGCGAUAUUAUGUAUUGGUCACAAUCUUGUGGAUACAAGUUUUAAUACCAUUGCAAGUCAAUCAAAGAGCACAGGUAGUUGCACAUAGUUUUGCAGGGUACUCUAUGAGUCUAUGUUUAUCCCUCCCGGAGAUAUUAAAUUUUCUAGAGAAAAAUGACAGCACUGUAUGCUGCGAACAAAAUAACCAUGAUCGAAUAGGAAAAAUAGUUUGUCUGGCCAAAAUUUCUAAGGCAAUCAGAGACCUGCCAUAAAAAUGAAUGAAGAAUUCAGGAGAAAAAUUGCCAAUCACUGCGUCCCAGUUUAGACCGACGUUUUCCUAAUAAACUAACCCAGCUCUUCCUACCAAUGUCACAUGCCAAAAUGUAGCCAACAUGCGAAUAGAGACAAGGAGACAUGACUUAAAUUUGGUGCCACAACCAAGACUCAAAUCCUACAUAUUCUAAUCCAGAUUCAAAUACUUAUGGGUGGAAUAUAUUUCCAGCCUAGAAAUCUCAUAUAUGGUAACUUAGUUCUCUUUCAUCAAGUUCUCCAUGUGGCUUCAAAUCUUCAUUCAUCUUUUAGCAAGAUAGUUUAUGAGAUGAAAAAUAUAAGUAACUCAAAAUCUAUUGAUUGCAAUAACUUUUUUCCUCACAAAACAUUAUAGCAGAUUAAUAAUGAUGACUUAGAGUACAUAGAUUGCAAUCAUGAAAGUGGUAAAAGUUAUAAUGGCCAUUGCCAUGCUUAUAGGAUUGUAAACUUAGACCUAUCUUUCAAAAAUUUAUCAGCAACUACAGAACUGGAAUAUACCUAACAGAAGACAGUGAUUAUUAGAUUAAGAUCCCAUGUGAGGAAACAAAUGGAGUAGCAAAUGAGGAAGAGCUCAGAUAAGUAAAUAUUUUGUGUGGACUCAAAUCUUUUAGAGUUAUUAUGGUUAAUGUUUACCAAAUUUCAACUUAACAGUACCAAGGCCUGCAAGAAGAAAAAAGAUCCCUUGAUGUUCAAGAUUCAAGAGAAGUGUGUAUGUUUUAGAAAAAAAAAAAGGGCAAACCUUGCUUUUCUCGAUCUCAGUAACUCUCCUCCUCAUGUGAUCCUUAGUUUCAUUUAUUUUGCUCUGCAUGACAAGUUUGUACAGCUUCUCUUCAUGGCUCUCCAUCUCACAAUACUGUUUAACUUGAGCAACAGUAACGUUUUCUUUGUUUCCAAGGGAAAUGGCUUCAUCAAAAGCAGAAGCAAGGUCAAAUGCUGCCCUACAGACACCUUCCUCAUCCAAAGAGGGAGAGUAUUCAGGUACCUUUAUACAUGUUCAAGGAAACCAUUGGAUUGAAUUGGCAUUUUCAAUAUGCAAAUGCUAUAAGUUUAUAGUUAGGUCAUAAGCAAGGACAACUGGUGCUAACACAGUGAUUCAUGUCUUGGCCUUUGUUCCAAAAACAAAAGGGUGGGUAUGUUCAAAUGCAUAAUCCAAAAGAAAAACAUGCAUCUAAUGCCAUCCGUGUAGCAAAAGUAAAUGAUACAGAGAUGGCAAAAAGAAAUCCUUUUCUGAUGUUGACUACGCAAUCUUCUAGCAGUAAACUAGAUGUUGAUGGUAUGAAUAUAACACAAACUGGGAACAGGAUACGAGCUUAGAGAGCAGCCUCAGUGUCUCCAGGUCUUCAAGAAUGUUACUCUGCUUAUUUGUGAUGACUAGCAGAUAUAAGGCUUCAAUAGGCUGAUAAACAUAGCGGACAUUUUCAGUCUCAACAUAGGUGUGUUGCUUUCCAGUUCCCACCAACUUCGGAAAUGCUGCAAGCAGUCCCUCGAUCCUGCUCCGAGACAUAUCAACAAAUUGUCUCGAAACAAGUGCUGCAGUUGAAGAAAAACAGAAACAACACAUUAUUUUCUAUUAAGAAUUUCAUCAGGCAAAUAGUACAGAGAAAUUUGUUGGCGGUAGCUUGACAAAAAUUAAAUGCAUAAGAGGAAACCCAUAAAUCUACUAAACGGAGCCUAUCGGGGAAAGGCCAUUAAGUGUUGACGCAACUACAGACUCAUGACUACAUAUAAACGCAAAUAUGCUACCAAAAGUAAAUAGGCUAAAUGUUCAAGGAUGAAGACAUAUGCUACAGGUACAAAAGUUACAAAAAAGGUAAGUGUUUGAGGAACAAAGAUAUAUCAUUUAUGAAUCAACAAUAAUACAUUAAUAAUCAAAUUUAAUAAAUGGGCAAUUCUCAGCCAAUUCUUAGCCAGCUUACCUUUUCCAGAUUUUGAUAUUAUAGAGGCUGCAAGGACCACCUGUAAUACAGGAAAAGGAAAAAUGAUUGAUUAUGGAUACCAAAACACGAGAUGCAACAAAGGUUACAGGAAUAACACAUAUUUAUCACUGCAAUGCCCUCUAGGCACCAGGAUCAAAGUGAAUUAGUUAUAAAAAGGAAAAAACAGCUUUGAAUCAUUCAAUCAUACCAUUUUCAAUGGUUUUGUCACCCAGGAAUAACAAAAGCUGAAUGGAGUAAUUGAUCUGCAAAAAAGAGGGUAAUUAGUUCCACAAACAAAAAGUCAUGUACAAUAUAUAACAAAGCGACUAAUAAGAACUGCAGAAGCACACCAUUCAGACUACUCAGAGAACUUAGUCACAAAAAAAAAUUCAUGCAAUUUCCAUGCUAUCAUAAGUUGGUAAAAUGCAACAAGACAAGUCAAAGGGCAGGACAUAUGAAGUUUUUAGAAAUCUCAAUUAUAAUAAUAUGAUAAUAACCCAUAGACAUAUAUCUCAAAAAGUCAAAACAAUGAGGACUUGUAAGAGUAGUUUUACAUGGUCAAUAAUUUGAGUUUAGCAUAACUGAUUUUUCUUCUUGUUUCACAGGUUUUUUAUUGUACCCUAACCAAUAGCAAAACCCAUUGCCAUGUUAUGCUGGUUUUACCAUGAACCUAACUUAAGGUUUUAGUUGGCCACAGGCUCUAAAUACAAUUUCAUUUUGAUAUAAAAAAAGUCAGAUCCAAAUAACAACUGCAAAACUCGAGCUAAAUUCUGCGCGCACAAGUCAAAAUGCUGGAAUGCCCAGGUCCAAAUUCUGAACCAACUGAUAACAAAAAGCUCAGGCUUCAGGAUCAUCCGCGGACUUAAACGUGGUGGCACUGUGGUCCAGGACAACCCACGGAAAUUACGGAAAACAAACAAUAUUCAGACGCCGCAAACAAAUCCGCAACAAUCUGGAUGGGCUCGUUCGUCCCAUCAAACACAUUAGAAUUUCGCAGAACAAAAGGAACGAGCGAUUCGUCCAAGCUAGUAGGUCUGAUCCUAACUGAGAGAAGAAGGAAUCGACCCGAGCCCGGUUAGAUCUCCCCCCCACGCUGGUCGGGGGAAACGAAGACACAGGAGAGAGGAGCGGUUGCGGUCGAAGGAUACCUGGAUCUGAUGGGAGUCGCGUUCGGCGACGGCGAGGAGGCGGAGGAGAGUUUUGCCCGCGAAGUUGGCGGGUGGGGAAUUUAUCGGCGGGUGGCGAGGUAGUCGAGCCGGACCGCGUCGGUUGGCGCGGCUCGUUGUGUUGCGAGUUGCGACCCAAGCAAGGUCAGCUAGGUCUCACUCGAUUUUUUUUAUAUAUUUUUUACGAUUUUGAAGAAAUAAAUAGUCGAAUCAAAAAUUUGUAAAAAUAGACCUAUGCCGCUGAACCAAACGGCGGUAGCAGCUUAUCGCCGGUUGAAACGGCGGCAAGGAGUCUUACCACCCCUCAUCUAGCGGGCCGCCCACAGGUUGGAAUGGCGCUGGUUUCGAGGAAGUUUCGCAGUUUCAUCUGGCGGUAAGGACGCCCCGCGAGUUCAAACGGCGAAAGCUAUCCCUUACCGCCGGAUAAGCCGACGGAGCCUCCCAUUAUAUAUUAUAAUACGGCACGUGACCGUUCCCACUCACGCGCCACAGCAAAUGGAGCGAGCCAGCCAAAGAGGGAGGGAGGGAGAUCAAAGGUAGGAGGGAGAAGAGAAGGAAGGAAGGGAGGGAGGGAGGGAGGGAGGGGAAGGAAGGGAGGGAGGGAGGGAGGGAGGGAGAUUGAAGUUUCAGUCGUCGCUUCAUUUCAGGUAUUUUUUUAAAUUUCAUAGUUUAGUUUAAUAUAGAUAUUUAGUAGUACAUAGAUCUAAUAGAUAGUUUAGUGGAUAUGAGACUUAGAAAAAUUUAGUGAAUUUUAGACAUAGGAAAAGGUAGCAUAGUCAGUAUAGUGGAUUUAGUUUAGGUAUUUAGUUCACAGUAAAUUUAGUUUGUUGAUUUAUGUAGAUUAAAUUUAGAUGAAUAUUAUUUACAUUGCUAUGGUUAUAUUUUGUUUAGGUAUUGUGUAGUUAUUAUAUGGGUAGUUAUAAUUAUUAGAUUUAGUAAGAACCUUUGUACUUGUCACGUAUAUUGUUCCGGGAAGAUGCCUAUGAUAAAUUUAGUUUGUAAGGUUGGUUUACUGUUAGUAUGGAUGAUAGAAUUAAAUGAUUUCACCAUCUAUUUAAAUGAAGGUGUCAUUCCAGUUAACUGAUUUAAGUUAUUAAGAGCAAUUUAGACUGCUCAUUUCGUGUAUGUUGGCAGACAUAUCGGAUAGGUUAUAUUUCCAAGUCUUCUAUGGUCCAAGGGAGGUUAGAAAUGGUCUAGAAGAGGUAGAUUUGAGUGGAUUUUCAUAUUUUUGCAAGUAUUUACCAAGAGCAAGAGAGGACUUGCGAAGGUAUAUGUAGGUGGCUUUGUAAGGAUUUCGGUGUUGAUAGAGAUCAAGUGGAUAUGUCUGUGAGGGCUGUAGUGAAGAGAUGGCCCGUCAUAAAUUUUUGGGAGCUGCUCCCGCUUGAAGGAACCCUGAGCUACCGAGCUUAUGUAAAGGGUUGUACGAGGCGCGGUGUACCGCUCAUAUGGUAUGUUCAACUGUUCAUGAAGGCUGGAUCUAGCAGUCAAAUGGAAGAAGAAGUUUAAAGUGCUGAAGUUCAAGCGGAGGAAGAUGUGGAGAGUACUGAUGGGGUCAAUGAAAAAAUUGAUGAUGGUGGGGCAGAAGGGGAGAUGCAGAGGAUGAUGUUGCAGCCCGUGAGCCAAAUGGGGAGACUGAUGAGGGGGAAGAAAUUGCUGAGUUAGUUGAGCAGGUGGAGAGGAAAGGAGAGGAGGCCAAUGGUGCCAUGGAUAAUGACUUGUCGGAUUAGGAAGAUGCUUACCCUGUCCCGUGGAACUGGUCAACUUAUGACCAUUCCGCCCUACAGGUCAAUGUAGGAAAAAAUAUCACUUGGGAGUACAGGGAGAAUGAGGUAUGCAUGGGUGCUUUGUACCCUAGUGGGGAUGAGGUGAAGACAGUUGUGAAGAGACAAUCUACAUUAUCUUUGCAGCGUCAGUUCAAGGUGGAGAAAAGCAACCCGACGACGUAUGAUAUCUGUUGUGUGAGAAAUGAUUGCCCAUUCAGGGUGCACGCAUACAAAGGGAAUUGGAAGGAUUACUGGGAGGUGACUAAAGAUGGUUGAGCACCAAUGCUUGCUGGAUGAAUUGGAAUGAACACACCACAACCUCACUGCUAAUUUUGUUGCUCAAUACAUGUAUCCUCAGAUAGUGCAAUAUCCUAGCUUCAAGCCCAAGGAGAAGUUCAAGUAUAAGAUUAGCUAUAACAAAGCUUAUCGAGCGAAGCAAAAGACGCUAGAGAUGAAGUGGGGUACGUUCGAAGCAUCAUAUGACAACCUCCCCGUCUUGUUGCACACCAUAUGCCAGAGGAACCCAGGAAGCUUCUACAAUGUGAAAGCGUAUCCAUGUGCUCAAUUUCCAACCAAACAAGUCUUGCAGCGGUCAUUUCUAACCUUGGGUCCUUGCAUUGAGGCUUUCCAACGAAGUCGACCAGUCAUUUGCAUUGAUGGCACAAUUCUAACUGAAAGGUAUAAAGGAACAAUAUUGGCAGCUAUUGGGUGCGACGGCAAUAAUUAGGUGUUACCGCUUGUGAUCGUAUUUGUGGAGGAGUUUGGAGAAAGCUGUUAUUGAUUCCUGGAGAGGGUGAAGAACAUGAUUGUGAAGGACUUGGAGGAGGUUUGUGUCAUUCAUGAUCAGUACAAAGGCAUUCUACAAGCAAUCGAAAACCAACAUAAUGUAAGUCAGGAGCGUUUCAGGGUAGCGAUAUGGCUAGACUUGAAGAGUAGGUGGUGCAUGAGGCAUAUGGGUGCAAACUUCCAUAAGCAAUUCAAGAACAAGAACCUUAUGACAAUGUGCAAGCGUCUAUGCAGCCAAAAUCAUGAGAGAAAAUUUAACCUGCUGUGGAAGAAACUUGACGACCUUACAAAAAAACAAUCCGAAGAACUAGGCAAGAUACCGAUGAACAGCGAGGCGGACCACCCUGUUCCUCUGGAGGAUGUGGGAGUCGAUAGUCCGACUGUCAGACGAAGACGGGGAAGGUCCAUCAAGAGCUUCUCACAGUGGAUUGAGCAUGAGCUGAAGGAAAGGGCAUUACUCUUUGAUAAGGGAGGUGCUCGGUGGGGUAUAAUGACUACAAACCUAGCUGAGGUUUACAAUUGGAUUAUGCGCGGUGUUCAGGGACUAAACCUUGUUGGUAUCAUGGAAUUCUUCCUGUACCACACCAUGAAGUACUUCAAGAAAAGGUACCAGUUGGCUGAUAACUUAAUGUGCGACAAUCACAGAAUAUAUGGGUACAAGAUGACAGAGUACAUGGAGGAGGCGAUUAAGAAGGCUCAUUUGUGUCGUGUGAUUGAAGUGGGAGCCAUGGAACACCGAUUCAAGAUUGUUUGCAGGAACAAAGCUCGAAUGGGCGGGAGGCGCGAGAAGCACACACAUGAGUGCAUCAUCAGCAAUGAAAGGUGUGUUUGAUCAUGCCACAAGCCAAGGUUGCUGCACAGGCCUUGCACCCAUGUCAUUGCUGUAUGCAUCAAGGCAGGGGGACUUCAGCCUCGUCGGUUCGUGCCGCACUAUUUCCUGAAGGAAACCAUAUGGCAGACUUGGAGGAACGAGGUUUAUGGAUAUUAUUUACUAGAAGACUUCGUAAACAAUCCUGGUAAUACCGCGCGCUACAUUCCUGACCCUGAUUCAGAAAUGUUCCAAGGGGUCGGGUGAUACAAGAACAGACGUAUCUGGAACGACAUGGAUCAAUCUGAAGCAGGUCCCGAUGUCCGCCUCUGCUCCAAGUGCCAUUAAGCCGGUCACACCUAUAAGAAUUGUCCUGCAACGAUAUAUGGAAGUGCGAGUAGCCAAGCUAGUCCAUCAAACGGUGACAGAAUUGCUGCAGAGCGUGGUUAGGGUCGUUGUGCACAUAGCAAUAAUGACGGACUUCUGUGAUUCAUGUGCUAUAUGUUUGUGAAGUCGUUGUGUUUGAAGUUUGUGAAGUCAUUAUGUUGUAUGUUUCUGAAGUUGUUGUGUCUUCAGUUUGUCAAGUACUUGUGAUUCAUGUUUGUGUACUCAUAAUUCAGGCAAACCUUUCAAAAUGUAAUGUAAUAUGUAACCUAAGUUGCAGUACUAUGACCAUGUAAAAUUUGCAUAUCUUGGACUAUUUCAUUUAUAAUAUCUCAUUUGUAGUUUGUUUUAUUUCAUUUACAUUUUGAAGUCAUUAUUAUUUCGGACGCGUACUUAUAUUUUUGUGUUGCAGGUAUGGCGCAGCUAGUUCCAGAGGGGUACCUGACUUCUGAGUUGCUCGACCCUACCUUGGACGGUCUUCACAGGUCAUUCAUGUCAGCCGUAUGGGGUUCGAGGCUGGGCACGUUUCGCGCACGUACCCCGCUUUCGACGAUGCCGAUCGACGUCCAUUGGAUUCCGAGGUAUGUCAUACUUAGUUAAAUUUAUAUGCUACAUUGUAACAUUACGUUGUUUGAACUAAAUAAUUUUAUGCAUGGUACAGGUUACGCACUGCGGGCCUUCUCCCUCUAGCGAGGUUGGUUGAGGGGGACAUGGUCGACAGCGCUGCACGGCCCGGGGAGAAGUUCACACGGUUCCACUUCGACAUAUCACUGCUAGCAACUCUGCUGGACCGUUGGCGACCGAAGACACACACCUUCCACCUCCCAGUGGGUGAGAUGGCCCCCACACUUGAGGACGUCUCGCUGCUACUUGGCCUGCCUUGUGCCAGGCGUGGGCCGUUGCCGCGGUGGACAUCCCACCUAGCUGGCGUGACGAGUUGUUGGACGGUUUACCGAUGUUCAGCAUAAAGAUGGUGCCCCACCGUACCGGACCUUCAGCUCGACACACGGACCCACGAGGGCGUGGCUCUUGCAGUUCAGUGUGAGUACUUAGUUACCUGACUGCCCAAAUUGUUUUGUCUAACUUUUGUUAAUUUCUCAACUAAUUAUUUUUUGACUGUCCAAAUUGUUUUGUCUAACUUUUGUUAAUUUCUCAACUAAUUAUUUUUUGUUGCGCCGACUACUUGAGAGACGACGCUGACGACGCCACAGUCGCACGACACUUGGAGGCGUACCUGCUGUGGCUCUUCGGGUGGAUCAUGUUGUGCACAUCGUAGGGCAACUUGGUGCCUAACCACCUACUUCCUUAUGCAUGGGACAUUACGGAGGACCCGCUCAACGACGUUCCGUAGUACAGCUGUGGUUCAGCUGCAAGGUAGUCUUGAUGGAGCCAAUCUUCCUUGGCUGCCCAUUGCUGCUUCAACUGUAGUCGUACAAGCGCUUCCCGAUUGGGUAGCCUCGGAUUGACAUGUCCCCCUACCGGGAGCUGCCUUUCGACCACGACGAUGUCGAUAGACUCAUGAUGGGGUCGUUGUGAUGCUUGAGGAAGGUACGGUACUUCACCUGCAAUUAUUCAAUUCAUAUGAUGCAUACUUUCAUUUUAACAAGCUCACAUGGAUUUUUUGUUCUCCAUAUCAUCUAAACACUUGUCCAUCUUAAUAAAAUAUGCCUUUGACAAAAAAAUAAUUAUUAAAAAUAAUCCCUAUAGUAUUAAGUUAAGUGCAAAAAAAAUAUGUCCAUUAUUUUGCUAUUGAUACAAUUCAAUAUUUUUGCUUAGCGUGGUUGCAUCUUAUCAUUUCACUCUGAUGUUAACUAAACACAUUGAAUUCAUGAUCUUACCAGAUAUAUUGUUUAGGAUGAAAUAAAUUCAUGAACUUGCUAUGGAAAAUGUACAUUGCCUCUAGUUAUUAGCAAUCACCUUUAUUGUGAAUUUAUUUGUUGUAGGGAUCAUGGGUUGGGGUGCAGACGAAGAAGUCGUAUCCGGACUUCGUCGGUGAGUUCGACACUCUUGUCGACACCGACGUGAGGUGGAGACUCUACACCAUCGACGAGGUCAUGCUUGUGCCCCGCAUGGUCUCUCUUCGCUAUGCCAUCGAGAGAUGGACUACUGGAGGAUAACAAGGCCACUGGUCUAUGACAUCCACAUCGAGGACUACGCGGUUCACCGUGUCAUGAGGCAGUUUGGCCUGUACCAGCAGUCCCCACUUCCUGUUACGUCAGCAGUCUCGGCCCUGUUCGCAGGUACACCCUACCUUUUCAUUCUCCUUGCAAUAAAGAUUUUUCGCUUAUCUAACCCGCUGCAUGAUGCUUAUAUUAGGGCUACCCAUCAGGGUGGUGGUGGGCUGGGGUCAAGUGGGCUCCGAGGAUGGUUCAGUGGAGCGAGAUGUGGACGACCGCUUUAGACGAGGUGGUGCAGGAGCAGUGGCGGGCGCAGGAUUUGGACUAUGGGUAUUCAAAAUUGCAGAUGGCAAGGAAAAAAAUUGAUAGACUAAAGAGAGACUGACUCAAUAUAAUGGAAAAACAUACGAAGCUAAUUCAAUCGCUCAAUUUAGCAAACAUACGAGGGAAAAGAGAGAAUAACUUGUGCCAGAGAUUUUCAUCUCUCCAGCACUAUUCCUUGAAAUAAUUGUUCUCCUAAAUGAUUUUAGGGAAAGCACAUUUGCUGAGCAAUGAUAUUUUCAUCAAAGAUAGGAAGAAAUUUUCAACAGUACUACAAUAUUUCUCCAUAUGAACAGAGACGUACAUAUUUAGUAUUUCAAUAUAGUAUUUCUAUGUUACGAGCUUCUUGGAAGGAAAAGCUAUGCCUACAAAUGAAAGAAUAGAACAUUACUGUCAUGUUGGGGACACGGGGUCUCGCCGAGCAGUCCAGUCGCCGUGACGCCGUAAGAGUUGAGACGCGGAGGCCCGCCGGUCGCCGCGGCACCACCGCUCCGCGCGCUGCGCGCAGGUCGCCUGCCGCCGCCGCCGCAGGGCGUAGAAGCCGAAAGGGAUUAGUGCGCCGCCGCAGGCUGCUCCCCACCGCCGCUGCUGGGCGCCGCCGCCGGGCACCGCCGCCGACCGGACGCUAGGGUUAGUUUCGCGCGGAGCCCCUAUGACCUGUGUGCGGCACUGACCGUCAACAGGCCUCUCCCUGGAACGCGUGGGUGGGGGGUGGGGGGUGGCGCUGACCGGCUGACGGGCUGAGUGGGGGCGGGCGGAAUGGGCCAGUUGGCGUGGGGGGCAAAUGGGCCAGGGAGAGUGAAGUUGCCAUCCAGUAGGCCUUUUUGUGUGAAAUACCUGUGUUAGCUUCUUUAUUUUUAAUUUUCCAUACAUAUACCUAGUAUACAUUAUAUAUAUGAAUUUUUUGUGCAAAAAUAAUGGGUAUUCAUUUGAAUACCAUUGAAUACAACGCACGACAAUGACACUUUCGCAGCAUACCUUCGGCGGUUCUUGCUGAGGACCAGGACGCGGGUCACGUACGUUUCGAGUCAGCCACCGACGGAGACCACACCUGUCACGCAGACGUACCCGUGCUCGAGGGACGUCAAUUUCGACGUCGCGGUAAGCUUCUUCAUCAUAUUUGUUACUCAACUUGCAUCAUGUGGUGUGGCUAACUUCAACCCUUUUCUCUUUCCAAAAGUACGACGUUAUUGUAGAAGUAGCCACUGAGCUAACGUACGGCAUAGAGCACUUGUAGCACCUGACUAAUCAUCAGCACGAGACGUUGUACAGAAGGGUCUUAGGCGCCUGCAAUAGGUUCUUGAGGGCCGUCAACUGCUGUGGUGGUCGCGGGGACGUCGUGCUUCCACCACGGGCUGCCUACCCUCGUUCGUCUUCUCCACCUCCUACCCACCAGGCCGGUACAUCUUUUCAGCCACCCAUUCGUCCGCCGUACCCCAGCCCCUGUACUACACCACAGGCACAUGCACCAGCGGCCAGGCCAUCCUAGGACCCACCGGCACCACCACCGUUUUGGCAUGCCUCCGCCGGCCCGUCCACUGUUCCGCAGUACGUGCCCCCGACAGGGACGUGAAUGUUAUUUUGUGGUACACCAUUAACGAAAUGUUGUCCAAUUCACCUUACUAACUAAUAAUUUCUUUACAAAGCCCCGCAGAUGUACGGAGCUUACAGUGGAGCGGAACCCUCUUCUGUUGCACCAGGCACAGAGCUACGCCACUAUGGUGCGUGAUGAAUACAUGUUUUUUUAUUCCAUUUCAAAUACGCAACGAAACUAACAAUACCAUUUCCUUGCUAGCAUAACAGGGUUCGCCAGACCGCUGAGGGGCUUCGGAGGACUCCGUCGAGAAGGAGGGACAGAGGUCCAACAUCCAUGCAUGUGUGGAUGAAAUUUUCAGACCCGAGCCUGACGUGAUCGGUGCUUCGCAGUUGCGUGAUACCCCGGAGGCUGCUACACAGGACACAACCUAGGACUUCGCGACACCACCUGCAGCCGCAGCAGGACGUCCGCCUCGCGACGUUGCCCCACGGGACCCCUUGACGUACGACCAGUACUAGACUAGAGCUGCGCAGCGGGUAGCGAGGCGUGAUCGUGGUCGCGGUGAGCCUCGUUUCAAGCGAGGACGCAUUUAGUGCAUAUGACCUCUUUUAUUUUUUUACUUCAAUGCAGGGUUUCAUGUGUACGAUUGUAUAGCGUACGAUGUGUGGUCAUUGGCAGACUACUUUAUCUAGGCCGGGAGUUAAAUCAUUUUCAGUUAUUUCGUUCAAUCACUCUACCUCUCUCAAAUUACGAAUUUACGUAUUUUAGUUCCAAAAAUAUCAUAAAAAAUUAAAGGAAUAAUAUUUAAAAUAGAGGUAUAGCCUCAAAUUACGAAGUUUCAUAUUGCAAUGGAACUACAUAAUUUACUUUCAUAAAUAUCAUAAAAAUAAAGGAAAAAUAAUUAAAAUAGAGUUAUAGCCGGUUGAAACUGUGCUGCAGGCACUUACCGCCGCCUGAAACGGCGGUAGGCCGCCUUACGGCCGUUCGCUCAUAUCGUCGUUUCAGCCGGCGAAACACGGUGCACAUGCUAGCCGGCACUCUUCCGCUGUUUCAACCGGCGAAAGGACCCCUACUGCCGUUUGGUCCGACGGUAUAGGUCUAAUUUUGCAGAUUUUUAGUUCGACUAUUUAUUUCUACAAAAUCGUAAAAAAAUAUAUAAAAGUAAAAAAAAUUCCUCUCACUUGAAGUAAAAUGAUCAACACAAAGAUGGGCUGGCCCAAGUUAGUAUGGGCUUUACACUAGGGUUGUUUUUUUUUUAAUCGUCGCCAACGUUGUUCUUCUGAUCGAUUCGUGCUCAGAGACAGAGGUUUGGUUACUUGCAAAGAAACCUGGGUAGAUUGUACACGAUGUUCGUGCUCUCUUUGGAUUAAAUUCAGUGAAUCGCUUGGAGCUCAAAUCCAUAGCAGGCAGAUGGCGAUCCCAAUCCCCCAAUUGGGACCGACUGACAGUUACAAGUACAGAGGCGGUCGCGCGGAGUUAUUUCUAUGUAUGUAAAUCUGUAAUCCACUUCAGAAGCGAGGAGAUCACUCCUGCUCAUGGUGGCGUAACUUCUUCCCGGUGCUAAUCCAGAAGAAAUCGGAUUGAAUUCUGUUAAGGAACACAUGGAUUGCCACCCGCACGCAAGAUAGUACAUGAAAUGAUCGAAAUCACACAUACAAUAUCUUACACAACGAACAUUCAGAUAUGGCAACGGUAAGGGCUCUUAGGAAUUAAUUGCAGCAUUCACACGUUAACAAGUCUGUCAAACCGUCAUAUCAUACAUUGAAAGGCAACCUCACACAGUAUUAGCAUCACACGUAACAACCUACAGGGAGUACCCCAUGUCCUGUUAGAAUUGUCUCAACUCUCAAAAUAACCAGACAAAUCAUGCAUUACACAGAAAACAAUCUAUCUUAAAAAAUACAUCAUGGAGUGUUAAAAGAGCACGAAACCUAACAAUCACAAGGCCUGAUCAGGCAACAGGGGCAUCCUUCAGCGUUGUAGGAUCGACCUUCGGAGGGUCAGAAUGGCGUCUCGCCCUUUCCUUUGGCUUAUCUACUGGUGCACCGCUCGGUUUGUCCAUGAUAGGGAAGGACAGGCGCUUCUUAACAACCGAAUGGACCAGAGGUGCUCGGUCCGAAACCUCAAGCUUCUCAGUCAAUAAGCUGCGGUAUCGAGACUUUGCCCUUGCAGACUCUGUUGACUGCAUGUAACUGGGGAGAGGUGGUGUGCUCGUCAGGCUUGCAUCAUCCCUGACCGAGCCUCCACCUGUGCUCUGCCUCCUUGGGCGUUCAGAACGUAUGCUUGUGAUGCUCCUCAGGUCAUCCUCCUUGUACAGCCAGCUGCCCCUUGGACUUGCCGGCCUGAUCUUUCCUGAGGUAGAUGGGGCCUUUGAUGGCGGAGUUGAAGGUGAUUGCCGGCUUGGUGGACGGCUUGAUUUGUUUGGUGUUGCUGGUCUCUGGAUUGAGAUGGCACGGGGUACAGACGUUCGAACAGCACUGGUGCUGGGAUUCUUUGUCAGAGUACGCUCUUUAGGAUCUUUAUCUGAUGCAGCCAAUCGGCUCUCCCAAGGUCUUGCUGACAUCCAGCGUUCCAUCCAGCUCCAGCCCCAGUUAGGAUUCCCAGGUUCCGUGAAAGUUGGGGUUAUAGUUCGACCAGAAUUCCUCCACUGCAUAAGAAGAAGAAACAGGAAAGAGUGAGAAACAGAGCAACAUGCAUUGAACAUGUCGCUGUAGAUACAGAUGUUAAGAAUGAGUAAACAAGAAAAAUAGGAACUAAACAGAAACAGAAGUGACAACUUACCUGGUGAGAAAAUGCAUAUGCGAGUGCUCUUUCUCGUCUUAGUGCAGCUUCCUGCUUCAUAAUUAGGCUGGCCUCAAUUUGCUCUUUGGAUUGAUGACUGUGAUCCCAGUCUUCAUCAAUCUGAUAAGAAAGUAGUGUCCGAGAUCUGUUAUAUCAGGACUGUCCUAUUAUAUGAUUGCAAAAUUCUGAUUACCAUCAUCUCUCCAAAGAAAAAUCUACUUCAAUGUGACUGUUAUUUUGACUAUGGUAUAACUCUAACUCUUUCUUCCGAAAAUAGGGAAAAUCAUUAUCUUUUUCCUAAAUAACAAUGUAGCUUAGAUAUUGAUAUCGAAAUGGCAUGCUCACCUUCAUUUUCUCAAGCUCUCUUUGAUGUUUCAAUUGGAGCUGCCUCUGAAGAGCCUGUUUUUCCUCCUCCAGCUUCACCCUUCUAGAGUAGAUUUUAGUUUGGACUCUUGCCAUCGUUUGUGUGCAAUGCAAAGUGUGAGCAGUUUGACGCUUGACAGCAUUUCCAUCAACAAGCGACUUCAAUCUAACUAGCCCUCUUAGUGCCCGCAAUGCUCUCCUUGCCUAAAAAGGAUAUUUUGCAAAUUUAUUAUCUUUGUUUUUUUCAGCUGUUACAUUAGCAUUAACAUCUCUUUAGUGCCAAAACAUUGGAAACAUCAAACAGAUAUAACUUUGAAAACGACCUGCAAGUGAAAUCUUGGCUGUAUCGUGAAAUGAACAAAUCGUACACAUACACAAUGAUGAAUUAGACAGCAACUCUUUACCAACCAAAUCAGAUGUCUUGCAAAAUAUUAACCCAGCGGUUAGCUUACGUGCAUGGACUCAAGUGCCCAUAAGUUUCAAGAUAGUGACAGGCAGCAGUCACAAGACCUAAUUGUCUUAUUAUACGGCUAGUCCAACGACUCAAACAAGAUAACAGAAGCCAUUAGUAAAUGACCUACAGGUGCAGAAGAAUUACCAGAUAACCCCUGAAGGCAGUUUGAAUUUUGAUGGCAGCAAGCUCUUCCCUUGAAUUAGCAGGCAUUUUUGGUGCGGUCGAGGUAACUGCUGUGAGGCGGACAACCUCAGCAGCGGCCUGGGCAGCAACUGCAGCAGCUUCUGCAGCAACAGCAGAUGCAAGCGCAACAGAGUAGGCAUGCUUGUUCUGCUCACUGUCUGUUUCAACUGGCUUGACAUCUCUAAUUUCCUGAGAGUGUGACUGAGCAGGUUGUGGUGGUGGCGGCUGCGGCAACGGAGCUACUGGAGCAGUCCCUGACGCAGUUGAGGUUGAAGGAUCAGAGUGCCUACACUUUCCAAAUGGCCAUCUCCUCCUGGAUUUUGACUUGUCCGCCUCCUCAGCCUUCAUAGAAGACAAAGGUCACACAGAUUGAAAUGAUAAAAGUCUGAUGACAAGUGGACAUUUUUUCUUGUGAAGUUGGGAAUUUUGACAUACCUUUGCUUCCUUUCCAGAUGGAUCAGAGGAGCUGAAGACUUUCUUCACCGCACUAAACCACUUUCCUUUCUUACCCAUUCUUUGUGUUCUAUUACUGUGUAUUUAAUGUCUCAGCUGCAAGCCUGCAAGUGCAAGAACGGAUCAAGGUUCAGUAACAAUGACUCUACUAGAAAAAGGCUGUAACCAAAAUACUUGACCAGCGGAAUCUUAUCUUCGCAACCGAAACCAAAACAUGAUCGAGCACACGACAAGAUCAGCAGUAAUAAAGAUAAGAGGUUCUGCUCCCCGUACAGUAAUUCAUGCAUCAGGAGUAAAAAUCAACAAAAAGUCAUAUUACCAAAAGAUAUGCUAAGUUCAACCACAAAUCGACGACAAAAUCAACUUCAAGCUGCUCCAUGUUGAACAGAAAAAAACACACCCCAAACUAGCAGGAUAAGAAUGGUAUCCCGAUAACAACACACCAAAUAGACUGAAUUGAGUAGAAAAAGAAAAGAUGGAAUUUAGCCCAUGUGUACAAAUAGAGGAUGAACACAAAACAUUCGCCAACGCACAAUUCUUCGCCAUAAAUGGCAACUUCAUUCCAAAAGAAAGGCCAGCUGUGCACACAAACCAAGCUUCGUGUGGGGCUCUCUAUCCUUCGGCACUGGAACUCGAUAAAUCGUUUAGCGGGGCCAAAAACUCACCAGAAGGUCGAAUCACAAACGGGAAGACUGGAUGCUACCCCAGAGAAACCCUCGCAGUUGUGCUUAAGGCACCCGCCGCACCCCUCUCCUUCCACAAUCGCGAAGAAAUCAACCCAGCAAAACCCCAAAACAAAGCCGCGGGCAAAGCCAGCCAAGAAGAAUCAAACAGCUGGGCGCAAAACCCCCCAAAAGAUCCGAUUUUACCACGAGAAAGGCAAGCUUUCACCUCGGAAGCAAGCAAGCAACCACCGAAAGCCCUGAGCCCCUCACCUUCCUCACCCAACUGAAGGCGCCAAGGACCUAACUCUGGUCGCCCUCGGAAGCCACCGCCCACCGCACGGACCUCUUACCACCGCCUCUACGGCUCAGUCAGAUCAAACCCGCGACCAGCGCCAUCCAGGACGAAGAAAAAAUAAACCGGGGACGGAAAGAAAAAAUACGAAAAGGCAAGGAAUGGCAAGCAGCCCACACCUUUUCUCACUUUCCUCACCAGUCCAAAAGCUCCCCCUUUUAUCGGCCAGCCAGCCCACCCGCGCACGCAGGAUCGAUUCGCCCACCCCACCGCCCCGACGGCGACCCCGUCCCGCGCUGUUCACCCCCACCGGGGUCCGUGGCCCCGCCUGAAGCCGCGGACCACGGCGGCUGGGAAGGCGAGCAGCCGGAGGUGGGGUGCGGUGGGGCGGCGACUGAGCCCGCUCUCGAUCUCCUUCCUUCCCGGCUUCGCCCCCUCGUGACGGUCACGCUCCCGGUGCCAGCCGAAAGGCCGCUGUCCUGCUGCACUCUUAUUGGCAGCGGGGCGGACCCCCGUCAAGGGAGACUAUGACAGCUGGGGCCCCCGCGGCCGCGGACCAGUCGCGGCAGAAGACGUUAGCCGGUUGCGACGACUGGUCGUACGAGCAGAAGACGUUAACGGCUUUGGCCGCUUGGCUGCGGCCGGUCAGAUUCAGCAUGGGCGUGAUCGGAUGCUGCGUCCAAGCUCCCAGGAUGCAAGAUCGUUUGGAUGGCUGCGCUAGGAGUUGGGUCAAGCUUCCGGCCAGAUUCCCGCCGUGCAGAGAGAUUGAGCGUUUCUUCAAAACCUAACUCACGUGAUGCGCGCAGGAACACGUGGCCUGCAUGUUAUAGAGGUGAGAGAUGCAGAUAUUCAAACAACCAAUUACUUACUCUUUGUAACCUAUACAUGUAGAUUCAUACCACCAAACCAAUAGUCUUGCUCAGCCUGGCCACCGAAAGUCUGGUUUAUAGGAACGGAUCUGGCUGGGAGCUGCAGGCAUCAAUCACACCACAUAGCCCCGCGGCCGCAGCUGGCCGGCCGCCGGCUCGUGGCCCACACGUCAUGGACGCAGGCGGGGGUUGCUCCGGGCGGCACUGUGCCGUGGGCAUGGGCAACGCCAUGUAGUACGGAAGUACCCCGACGCGCCCACAAGUACUAACUGCAGCAGGGCUACGUAUUUUCCGUCGGUUGAAGGAGCCCCACCAGCACCGUUCCAACUUGCUCCCGUUAAAUGCCGGGCGUUAAAUGAGGUAUUUACGACAACUCGGCCAUAAAACGUUCCAAGAGUGGAAAAGCCUGGAAAGGCUUCGCGCGGCCGUUUUUUACAGCUUUGUCAGUUGAUGAUGCAGUACCUGUAGAAACGCUGUUGGCCUUUGUACGUUUCGCAGUUUUUUGCCUGCCUGCCUGCCAUUCUUUACUGCCCAUGUUUCGAGAGGCGAGCGGGGAGGAGACGAGAACGAGGGGGCGUUUGAUACCACGACUAAAUCAUGUCACAUCAGUUCGGAUAUUAAUUAGGAGGACUAAAUAUAAGGGGUGUUUGGAUAGCAGGUGCUAAACUUUAGCAGUGUCACAUCGAAUGUUCGGAUGCUAAUUAGGAGGAUUAAACAUGAGCUAAUUACAAAACUAAUUGCACUGAUGGAGUCUAAUUCGCGAGACGAAUCUAUUAAGCCUAAUUAAUCCAUCAUUAGCAAAUGGUUACUGUAGCACCACAUUAUCAAAUCAUGGACUAAUUAGGCUUAAUAGAUUCGUCUCGCGAAUUAGACUCCAUCUGUGCAAUUAGUUUUGUAAUUAGCCUAUGUUUAAUACUCCUAAUUAGUAUCAAACAUCCGAUGUGACGGGUGCUAAAUUUUAGCACCUUGGAGCCAAACAGCCCCUAAGCUAAUUACAAAACUAAUUGUAGAACCCUUAGGCUAAAUCGUGAGAUGAAUCUAUUAAGACUAAUUAAUCCAUCAUUAGCGAAUGGUUACUGUAGCACCACAUUGUUAAAUCAUGAACUAAUUAGGCUUGAUAGAUUCGUCUCGCGAUUUAGCCUCGAGGUUGUGUAAUUAGUUUUUGUAAUUAGUCUAGGUUUAAUACUCCUAAUUAGUGUCCAAACAUUCGAUGCGACGGGGGCUAAAAUUUAGCCCCCUCCUCCCAAACACCCGCAAGGCCAAUGGAUUCCGAUGGAACGGGUGGCGAUGGCACGUCAUAUGAUUAGAAUAGCGUCGGUGUCAGUGAGGAUGAAGUGAUCCGUUGCCUACGUGAGUUUUUUACUCCGCCCGCCAGCUCGCGCGGCGUCCUAGACGUCGGAAUUUUUUUUUAAUUUUAACCUUUUCAAUCUAAAAUUUUAAAAAUAGCCUAGACUAAACUAAAAUUCCAAAAAGUAUCUAUUUUGAUUGUGCCACGCCACUCGGCACGACUAAUAACUGAGUUACACCAGUGUAUGUGACGCGACUGGCCCUCCACGCUAGCGCACGGGGUGGUCGAGUUGGCCGCUGAGCUGGACAGGGUGAGUCGCGCCACAUGCUUUAGUGCGACUGAGUCGCGCCAGGCGACGUGGCGCAACUUAGCUCAAUACACACAAGGCCCACCAUAUCCUUUUUUUUCUCCCUCCCCACUUCCUCCCUUACCCUCCCAGCUCUAGCCCAAGCUCUCUCCCUCUCAUGGUGCCGCCCCCACUCCUGCCCCCUCUAGAUCCACUCCAUCCCUCACCUGAUUCGAAGGGGAAAUAAAGGGAAAUUGCUCCGAGAAGGUAACUCCUCCACUCUAACCAAUUAGUUUUUUCUCGAUUCCGUUGUUUUAGUUGGAUAUGAGGUGGUUAGGUUUUAUGUAUGAUAUGAGUUGGAACUUUGGAUUGAGUACGAAUCGGCUAUGAUUAGUUGUGUUGUAUCAUGCAAAUGGUUGAUGGUAACCCCUUCCUAUCGUGUAGUUUCUCUUGCAUGGUAGGAUUUCGAUAUGUUAAUUUGGGUAAUGUGAUUUAUAAAUAAUUCUUUAGAAAAUAAUCUUCAUUAUUAUUUGGUAAUGUAGAAGUUGUAAGGAACUCAUGUAAUUAAUUUAAUUUGGUGGUUGUAUGUAGAUGGAUCGUUUAAUUUAUUUUUUCUCGGGUGGCACGGUUGAUGAUAAUGGAGAGUUUGCAAGAAUGAGGCAACGAGUAGCAAGAUAUGAUAGUCCUCCAACAUUUGAUGAUAUAAUGGGCCGAGUAAAUUCUUUGUUCAAAGUUGGAAAUCAGGAAGAGGAUUUAAGGAUUCGUGGAACGUUUGAUGUCGGUGACAAAAGAUCUCACUAUGUGUUGAUGCCACUUGCAUGUGAUGAUGAUUGAUUAUUUUAUAAGGAGUUGGUGAAAGGUUCUCAAGUUGCUUAGGCCGAGUUAGUUGUGGAUGUUUAUCCUCGGUGUAUAUCUCCAUAUAGCGAUGAGCCCAUCGAACACUUAACUCAAGAAGAUAUGUUACCGGGCAAUAAUGUUGAUGAGGAACAGGAUGAUGAAGAGGAUGGUGAUGAUAAUUGUUCUCAUAGUUCAAAUGGUAGUGGUGAUGAAGGUGACUUUGAUACAUGUAAAGUAAACAAUAAUUUUGAAGUUGUUGACUUGGAGGAUGAUAAGAAUGUGUCAUACAUACAUAUAUGGGUCCACCUAAAGGUUUGGAUAGUCCUAAAUAUGGGGCUGGACACCGAGACGCAUCUGACAUGGAUACCAUGGCGCAGGACGGCGUAGUCUACAUCAAAAGAUAGGAACUAGUCGAGGAGUACGAAAGUACUCGUUGUAAUAAGAGUAGAAUCCGUUUAGUCAUAUCCGACUAGUAUUUUUGUAACCAACCGACGUGUAACCCUGCCCCCGGCAAUAUAAGGUGAGGCAGGGACCCUCUCCAAAAUAAUUCAAUCCAACCAACACACAGGACGUAGGGUAUUACACAAUCUAGCGGCCCGGACCUAUCUAAAUCGUGUGUUUACGUUUACCUUCGAGUUCCUAAUUUCGACGAGCCCCACUAACCAAAACACUACCUCGAGCACCCCCCUCGGUAGGUUGCCGGGUUUAAAUAUCGACUGGAUGAGGAUGAGGAUGAUAUAUCUGUGGGCUCUAAAGAAGAACAAAGUGGUGGUGAAGAUGAUAUUGGAAAUGGUUGGGAAGAUCAAGUCUCAUUUGUUGAUGAAGCGAGACCAUCAGCUAAUGAUAUGGUGCCAGAACCAACACAUGUGGUGCAAUCAAUUCCAACUCCAAUGACGCAACCAACACCUGUGGUGCAAUCCAUUCCAACUCCAAUGACGCAACCAACACUUGUUGUGCAAUCCAUUCCAACUCCAAUCUCACAACCAACACCUAUGUUGCAAAGUAGUCCUAUACUUGAACCAAGUCCGGUGGGCCAAGCUACUCCAUUAUUUAAUGAGAUGGUGGAUGAGGUACUAAGAGGAUCAAUACGUACUCUUUCUGAAAUUCGGUUGCCACAAUUCACUCUGACUGAGCUGAGGCAGUUGGAAGCUGUACAUGUACAUGUACCUGAAGUUUCCAUAUUCAAUUCGGUUCCAAGGAAGGCUUAUUAUGAUUCUAGGUUACGCCUUACUGAAGUUAAAUCCGACAGUGGUGAGUUGUUUAUAGAGAAGGGAAUGAGAUUCGAUAGUUUGGAGGAGUUGAAGUUUUUCUUAAGGGAUUACUCGGUGUAGCACCAUAGGUCAUAUGAUGUGGUUCAUUCAUUGGUCAAAAUUAGAUACAUGAUUCAUUGCCAACAUGGUUGUGACUAGACGAUGUAGGCGCGUCCAGUACCUGAUGAUAGGCAGAAAUGGAGGAUCACUAGAGUUAUUCAACCUCAUACAUGUGGGACGUCUGAGGUCGCACAGGAGCAUUCUCAGUGCACGGCUCGUUACAUUGCAAGACAGAUCACUUCACUUGUUCAUGCGGAUCACGAUGUUUCUAUAGCCAUCGUGGAACCAUCAAAGGAUUCACAAAUUAUGUGGUAAAGUAUGGAAAAGCUUGGAGGGCUAAGCAGCAUGCUAUAGCCAUGUUGUGGGGUGAUUGGAAGGACGCUUAUGGUAGGGUUCCAAAAAUCUUACAAGCAAUAGCACGCUACAACUCGGGUACAAAGUGGUACACUUACACAACUGGUAAUGAGGAGCUACACAAUGGCGUCAUGAAGCCUGUUUUGGAACGGGUGUAUCGGUGCUUCCCCCAAUGUGUACAGGCAUUCAAGCAUUGCAAGCCGGUGAUAAGCGUUGAUGGCACAUUUCUAACUGGAAAGUAUAUGGGUGUUUUGUUGAUCGCCACUGGUAUGGAUGGUGAGGACCGAUUGAUCCCCCUUGCAUUUUCCUUCAUUGAGGGUGAGAAUAACGAUAACUUAUCAUGGUUCUUACAUUUGGUCCGUCGGGAUGUUGUUGGGCGUGAUAGGAGGGUAUGCAUAAUAUCAGACCGCCACCAAAGAAUCCUAAAUGCAGUUGAGGAUUACAUGGAAGGCUACGGCACAUGCACAAGAACAAGAAAGUAAUAAAACAGCUCAAAUUGGUUUGUGCAACCAAGACGGAGAGAAUGUUUGACGUUAGGCUACGAAAACUGAAAGGAAUGAUGAAUGAAGAAGCCACGGAGUGGUUGGAGGAGAAAAUGGAGAACAAGCAUAAGUGGCCCAAUGCAUUUGACAAUGGUGCUAGAUAUGGUGUGCAAAAUACAAAUAUAUCUGAAGUGUUAAACAAGGUCCUCAAAGGCGUCCAUGCUAUGCCAGUAUCUGCUAUUGUGGAGUUCAAUUUCUACAAGGUUAAUUCAUAUUUGGUGCGUAGGUGAGCAAAAUAAAGGGCUCAAAUUGAUCGGCGACUGAACCAAAUUCUAUGGGGGAAAGGAGCAACGAAGCACUUAGCAACAGAAGGCAAGAAAGCAGCAAGCAUGUCGGCCGAGUUGUUCGAUCCUACAUUGUAUGUGUAUUUGGUUAGGAUGGCUUCCGCUUUAACUAUUGGUGGUGAGAUGACAGGUGGGCGCAUCUAUAAAGUUGACCUCUCAAGUGUGACUUGCACGUGAUGUGUCCCAUAGUUGUUGCAUGUUCCAUGCUCUCAUAUGAUCGCCGCAUACCGUGUGAGAGGGGUGUUCCACCUAUCACCGGCAUGCAUGACACAACUAUAUUCUUAGUAUAGUAUUGAAAAUAUGGGAGUCUCGUUUCAAGCCUAUUUUAGAUGAGAUGCAUUGGCCGAAGUACAAUGGCCAUGACUACAUUCCUGACAACGACAGGAAAAAAAACCAAGGUUGGAAGGAGGAAGAAGAAGCGGCUGCGCAAUGAGAUGGACCAGUCAAGUGGGUACGACGUCGAUAUUUAUGGUUUUGGAGAGUUCAACCAAAACAAGGUGAAGCCACGUUGUAGUGUUUGCCAUGGGGAGGUUCACUGCAUUGAAUGGCACAAGCAGGGUUCGAAAAAUUUACCCAAACACAAGAGGAACAAGCGGCUUAGGAGUAGUACGAGUGCGAAUACGGUAUUAACUUUGGAUUACAUGUUUAUUCUUUGUUUUUUUUACUUUUUGCAUCAUGUUAAUUCCACUUCAUUUAUUUUUCAUAUACAAUUGUUCUAAUAAAUUUUCAUAUUUUUUAGGGAGAUGGCGUCACGGAAGCGUAACUUCAAGGAAUAUCAUGAGGGCGAUGCGGACGAACAAGUGCCCCCACCUCUUCCAGUCCCUAUGUGUGAUUGUGGCAUCUCAGCUCAGCUGAAGCAAUCAAGGGAUGAGACUACAUCCGGAAGGGCGUUCUACACAUGCGCAACAAAGUGGGAAUUGAAUACAUAUGGAUAUCCUAUCACUUCCUUGUUACUUCCACCAACGGAUUGAUGGGCCCAACAAGUUUGACCCUAGGAUCCACCAGUCAAUCAGCCAUAUCAUUAGUUCAGACGGUGGGUGCCACCACCAACGAAUCCACCUCCAAUGAUGGACGAGCAAAAGAUGGAGGCUGCAUGCCAGCAUGUUACAAACCCCCCAUUAUGCCAUUGUGGGGUUCCAAGUAAGUUGCGACACCCUAAUCUUGAGCUGCCCAUGAACUUCACACCAUUAUUUUGGUGGAAGCUAACAACACAUGUAAGGUAUAAGCAAAUUGGCACAUUUGAUCGGUUAUCAUGGUUGCAUUUGUUUCAUUGACCUAUGUGAUUUCAUUUGUUCUGCAGGAUGGAUGGCCGCUAUGUGAUUUUCAGCAGUACAUCUACGGUCCAAGUCCCAUUGGCUAAUAGAAGAGUGGGUGCAAGCAUUCGAGACUAUUAAAGAGAAGUGGCCAUGUGAUAGGACUCCUAGACCUUGUUGCAAGUGUGGGAUACUAGCUUGUAGGGGUGUGGUUUCGUCGGAGCUUGGAUAUGGUUGGUAUUGUGGCAACUCUUAUGGAGACUAUUGGGUAAAGUUACUUUCCUAAUUUGUUCUAUUUCGAGUCUCAUUCAUGUGGUAAAGGCAUUUGUUUGAGUACAUAUGGACCUUCCUAUUUUUUUAGGAGGGAAGGAUUUGUGAUUGGGAGACCUUUCUAGGUAGGGAACAACUUCGUCUACAUUUGGGGCGCUAUUCGGAAUGUUUGAAAACUGAAGAAACAUUCAAGAGGAAAAAUGAAGUAAGGACAGAGCACAAUGUUCCUAUUCCAUCAGAUAACUUGUUGUUUGGGCCCAUUUGCAAAGAUAAGAUUGCAGAAGAGAAAGUAUGUUAAAGUGUUCUACUUGGGGAGGCGGUUCGAGAGUCACUCAUUCAAUAUUGGAGGAGGAAUAGAAGCAAGUAUCGAUGGCCACUUAAUGCGGAUGAGAGAAUAAGGAAGAGGUGGAAGGAGGAGGAGGAGAGGAAAGAUGACAAGCGUAUGAGGAGGGAGAAGUGGCUUCAUGAUUGGAAUGAGUUUGAUCCAACAAAGAUCUUUCCUAAAGGGUCAAUGGAAGAGUACUUCCAACUGUUGGCGGCGAACAAAAGAGGCAUCGAUUUGAAGGGGGCUAGAAUAGUUGCAAAGUUGGCACAGUUGCAGGCAGUGAAGGCACUUGUGGGUGAAUUGCCUAAAGAUGAAGGGUCUAAAGAUAGCACAGAUGAAGUGGCUGAAAAUACUAGGGAGGAAAUGGAAGGUAUGGUAAGGGAAGCGCAAAUGGAGGCAAUGAAGGCACUUGUGUGUGACUUACCUAAGGAAAGGAAAGACAAGGAUGUUCCCUAUGAUGCAAAGGGCAAGGCCAAGGUGCAGUAUGUUGCCUAUGACACCAAGGGCAAGGCUAAGCUACAGGAUGUGGGCCACGUCUCGGAUAAGGGCGUCCAAAUUGACUCCAAGGGCAAGGACAUCGCAACAGAUAAUGAACAUGAUGUGCAGGAUGUUUGGGCUGAUGAUGAGUUGUUGUUCGAUGUCGAUUUGAACUAGUAUCAUUUAAUAUUUCAUUUAUGUAAUGGACUUGUUUAUCGUGGACUAUUUGAAUUAUGUAAUGGACUUGUUUAUCGCGGACGAUUUGAUUUCCGUAAUGGACUUGUAUCGUGGACUAUUUGAAUUAUGUAAUGGAGUUGUUUAUCAUAGACUAUUUGAUUUAUAUAAUGGACUUGGAUCGUGUACUAUUUCAAUUAUGAAAUGGAUUAUCAUCGUGGACUAUUUGAAUCAUGUGUAUGCAGGGUACUAGAUCGACAAUCAAGAUACAAAAUAGAAAUGUGGUGAUACAAACCAACAUAGUACAUGCAUACAAAAUGACAUAAAUGGAGCUACAUGCUCAUAAAGACAUUCACACAUAAUGAUACAACCAUGUUCACCCAUAGUAGUUGCGACGCCCAGCAAACCGUAGGUGGCAUGAAACACUGGUUAAUAUUCCUCGCUCGCUCCUACCGUAGUUCUUCCUAUAGUUGAUUGAUACGAUCAACAGCAUCUUCUCUUACAACAAUUUGUUCAUCUGUUCAUCUUUCUGCCUACUAUCUUCUAGCAAUUGGUUCACAUUAUGAUAUUUUUCCAUAUCCUCCUGCUGCGACCGAUCUAUGAGGACUUGGAGGUGCCGAAUGUAUUCUUGAACAUGUGGAACCAUAGGGCCAUCAAUCUAGCAUGUGAAACAGCAAUCGUCGAUCUACCAUCAAAGACAAGCGAUGGAUUUAAAGUUAUUACAUACAAAUCCAUCGAACAUUUGUACUGAUAAAUCAAUGAAAAAACCUUAAAACGUGGGCACCAGAAAGAAGCGUCGCCCGGCAUCACCAAAUAGCUCAUAAACCUGAACCACAGCGUCUUCUCCAUGGUAGCAUCCAGGCCAGAACUCACAUGGAAGGGCAUUAUGACUGUCAUAGAAAUCCCUAGUGGUUACAUCUAGAUGUGGGUGGGGAGGAGGUGGAUCUAGAGGAUCAUGCAUCCACGACAUGGCUUGAAUUGAUGCUGGAUUCACCUACUUGGGCGCUCCUUUUAUAAUCUGGGCCCGGUGCACUGGACCGUCCUCACAGAGUAGAGAUCUUGCCUUGGAUGCCCUGGUCACUGAUAAGGCUAAGCUGGCAAAAGGGUACGCAUCGAAAAGGCUAGGCACAUGGACCCCUGAAAAGACUAGGCAGUGUCACUGAAAAGGAUAUCCUGGCUAGGCCAUGGUCACUAAAAAAAGGCUAAGCUAGCAAAAGGGUAGGACAAGGACGAUUCGGAUAAGGGCGUCCAAAUUGACACCAUGCCUUCUGGAAAUCAUUGAAGGGGAUUCAUCCAAGUUAACUGGUUGAACUACGUGAUGCUUGUAUCAUGUGUGAAAUGUGAAGACUCUGUGGUGUACAAGUAUAGGAGUAAAGGGGAUUAGUCUAAGUGAAGUGUAGAAGUUAGUCGUGCCAAGCCACCUCACGCGAUUCCUUGUGACGAAAAUGACUACCGGGAAAACUGGUGGGAGUUCCCUUUGGCGCGACUCAUGAAGGAGCCGCACCAGGCGACCUGGCAUGACUGUCACAUGAGUCGUGCCAUUCUAGGACUCUUUUGUGAGUCGCGCCACACGAAACGCCCACUAGUUUUCCCGGUAUUCAUUUCGGCACAAGGAGUCGCGCCACAGGUCUUGGUGCGACUGUCGAAAGAGUUGUGCCACUCCAUCUGGUGCGACUCCUUGUACCAAAAAUGACCAAUGGGAAAACUGGUAGGAGUUUCUACUGGGGCGAAUCAUAAAGGAGUCGCACCGCCUAGCCUGGCACAAAGGGUAGUUUUGAGAAAAUAUGCACUUACACGGCUACUUCUAAGGCAGUAAAUGGCGUUGUUGUAGUCGAUGUAGCGCUUUCCUGGGUUGUCGUGGACGGUAGAAACGUUGUUCCAUAGGUACCUGACAGUAGCCAACGAGUCGUCGUCGUCAUAUGGCAAAUCCUGCAACACAUUACCAAAUCGAAUGUUACUGAAAUAGCGUGUGCCUGCAAACAAGUUAUAUAAGGGAUCAAAGUGUGUACCCCGUAUGCGCGGUGUUACAACCGACCUAUUGGAAGGCGUUCCCACAUCCACAAUUGGAGAAGGUACGCACAACCACUAAGAUUAGCAUUAUUUCCGAACCUCCUGCUGGCAUCACACAUCGAUGAUACAACCAUGCAAGAGUUGCAGUCCCCCAGCUGUCAGGGAUAGAUCCCCAGUACCUGCAAAGAAAGAAGAACUAGGACUCAUACCUUGUAAUCCUACUAGGACUCCUCCUUGUAACCGACUAGUAAUCCCGCCCCCUGAAGUAUAUAAAGGAGGGCAGGUGUUCCUAGAUCGGUAGGCCAAGACCUCAUAGAACCACAACAUAGGACAAAAUCCUCAAUACCUAACAACACCCAAGCAUAGGGCGCAAUAUACAACACCCCGAACAGGACGUAGGUAUCACGCUACUCUGGCAGCCCAAACUUGUAUAAAUCUGUGUCUUGUGUCCUCGCUUUUACUUUCGAGUUUCAGGUCCGGCGAUCCCCACCGGUCAAUCUACUAUCUCAAGAUACCCCUUGGUAAGUUACCGGGUAUAAAACACCGACAUCUGACGUGCCAGGUAGGAGUGAUACAGUCAUAUAGCGGGUAUAAAACACCCACAUGCUUUGGCGCGACUCAAGUAUUAGUCGCGCCAAGUCGCGUGGCGUGACCAAAAGAAUUACUUGUUGAAAUUUUAGUUUAGCCUAGACUAUUUUAAAAAUUUUAGAUUAAAAGGGUUAAAAUAAAAAAAUUCUGGAUGCCGGAUCUAGCUGCCAUGCCAACUCGGUGGCAGUCCUUUUGCCCUCGGUUCCCGGCGCGCUGGCACGUGCCGAAUGCCAGAUUGGGUGGCGAUCGCCCGGCCACCUGUACCCCACGGCCGCGGGCGCCUUUUCACCGUUUUUCGUACGGGGGCGGCGGCUCCCGCAGCCACAAGUCCAUCGCCGCCGCGGACGCCAGAGCGAGCGAUCGGUCCAUUGGUACGUUGCUGCGUGUUCGUACGCGCCUCGCGUCGUCAGGGUGGCCUUGCCGUGCCGCCCGUGCGUACGCAGAACUGCCAGUGGUUGAGGAUUUCGAAGCGGCGUGUACGCCGUGGUGGGUACGGGGGUAGCACGUGACCGUUGGGCGUCAGAUCAGUGCACGGCUUCGGCGAGCCGUAAGCCGUUCACCGGCACGGAGCUUUCGGGUCUACUCAUCAGCGAGUGAUGCCGUGAUGGCAUUCCGUAGCCGUUCCCCCACUCCCCCUUUCAUGAUUGGUCAGACACAGCGUCUUUUAAAAUACGGCUAUGACCUAUGAGCUAUGCGUGUCGGCAUUUUUACUUUUACUCUGCCGUUCAAACAUCGAGUUUUUUUGUACCGGGAUCAUAAGCGACACGAUAAUGCGGGGAUGAUUAUCUGCAGCGUGGCCAAAGAGCUAGGAGAGGCCACCUAACAAAUUUUUACCACUUACCACGACUCAUUGUGCAUGCGGAGCAUGUGACACGCGGAGCAAGAUGAAAAAGUUUUGCGUGCCUUGCAUGUGGCUAGGACUCACGCUGGAUGGCAGAAUUCUCGGCAUGUGUGUCCCACUGGAGGGGAACUGGGGAAAGCAUAACAUUUUGCUCCAGCGCCAUGCGUUCGUUAGCUCAGCCUUAUAUUCCGGGAGAGCGUAGCAUCGAAUAUUUAUAUACUAAUUAGAAAUAUUAAAUAUAAGUUAAUUAAAAAAUCAAUUGCAUCGCAUCGAAUAUUUAGAUACUAAUUAGAAAUAUUAAAUAUAGGUUAAUUAGAAAAUCAAUUGCAUCGCAUCGAAUAUAUAGAUACUAAUUAGAAAUAUUAAAUAUAGGUUAAUUAGAAAAUCAAUUGCAUAGAUGAAGACUAAUAUUAAUUGUGUAAGCUGUGGCUAAUUCGCAAGAUGAAUCUUUUAAGCUUAAUUAGUACAUGAUUUGAUAUGUGGUGUUACAGUAAAUAUGUGCUAAUUAUGGAUUAAUUAGUUUUCAAUUGACCCUUAAGCUUAAUAGAUUCGUCUCGCAAAUUAGCCUUUAUCUAUGCAAUUGGUUUUGUAAUUAACCUAUAUUUAAUACUCCUGAUUAGUAUCUAAAUAUUUGAUGUGACAUGGACUAAAUUUUAGUCCGUGUCUCCAAACUGGGUCUUAGCUAGUUAGCUUCACUGGCCCAACACACAAUGAGGCAUGAGGAACUCUGAUUUCUUCCGCCUAAUAGUAUGUCACAACAAGAAAAUGUUGGAAAGUUUCAUAUUCUUCAUGCGUGCUAACAAAUUGUUUGACAUCUUGUUAUUCUAACCGAUGCAACGGCGAUGACAGCUACAAGAGGCGGGAAUUUGAAGCUAGAAAUAAAGAUAUUGUACUGCAUUAUGAGCUUGGUUACGUCUUAAUAAGAACAUUUCCACUAUUCCUCCAUAGUAUUCUUGUGACAUUUUGGCUGAAAAUCUCAGAUGACAUAAGUGGACCAUCUUGUUCAACGUGAGAUCACGUCCGAACUUUUUUUUUUCCAGUUAAUUUCAAGUUAGGAUCUGAUCGUCCGGGAGAGUCCAGAUAUAUCAUCCCUACAGAAAAAUCAAAGUUUACCAGCUCUAACCAAAUCGUCUCUCAUGGUACUAUUAAUAAUUCAGAUCAACAGUCCCCUGGGACAAGAUCGCCCAGCAUGUGCGUCGAGCAACAACCUCUCCAGAAAAAGGAGCCCAUCCACUCCACUGAUCUGAAUAUCUGAUGGGUAUAGUAGCACAGCAGCUCGCUGGCCACUGGAUAGGGUAGGGAGCGUAGCGUAGGUCCACGGUUUUCAUGUGAGACCACGUACCGCCACCAGCAACGGCCAACGGCGGCGCGCCACUGCCCACUACACAGACACACUGUUUGCUGACGGGGCGCCUGCAUCCACUUGGAUCGAUCAGACGCAGCCAUCUGACAGGACGUUGCAGGUGUGGGGGCGGAGCGCUUCGAUUCCGCUCCUGCUCCUCUUGAAAAGGCUGCAAGGUCCGGUGCGGGGGCCGGGUCGAGGCCUGUGUGUGGGGAGCUACGUGCUGUAGGAUGCUCAGCUCAUAGCACUGUUGCUGCAGUGCACGGCUGCUCGGCUACGGCUACUCGUCCGUAGUGAUUGCUCCAACGAAGCCCCGAAAUGAGCGGUGACCCACUGACCCUGGCCCUGGAGCGUCUACGAUUCGGCCGAAAGAACGAAUGAUCAUUGCUGCUCUAGGGAAUCAUGCUAUGAUGGAGAAUAAUUGGGUGUUUGCUUUUGAUCGAGUGGAAGUUGAGAGCUGGGUGGGUAGCAGCAUUAGUCUGGUAGGAGUACCAUCAUAUCAUACGCUUCGUGAUGAUGGAUGGAUGGCAUGGGCAUCAGGGCGUCCGUGCGUGCGCGUUGGAGAUGAUGAAAAACAUUAGGUGGGCCCUUGUUUUUGGGAGGAAAAACAUUGGGCCCUUUGCUACAUCACUGCUGGAUGCGGGCCGUAAGCCCGUCAAUAGUUGCAAAUUGGACCGACGCAUGGGCCGAGAUGCACACAAGAACUGGGCCGAAGCACUCAUUUGCACGCUACAAACUGAAAGACCAGAAUAUCCUGGAUGGGCAGCGCCAUUCCUCCUCAUGAAAACAGUGAAUUGAUGUGGAUAAGAAUCAAUGGAAUUUCCAUUUUCAAAAGGGAAAAAAAACAUCAACUCGAAUUCUUGAUGGCUAAUCACUGUUCAAUGCAACUAUAAGUGACCCCUACCACGACCUGUCACACCCGGAUGAAUUGAUCCUCCAUAUUCCACGUUGUAUAAUACAGCUAUGAUAUGAGCAUGUUUUACCCCAACCAGUACAGCACUCUAUGUUUUUACACCACACGACCCGGCAAAACAAUUACACCAGAGAGACCCAGGGCUCCGUGGAGCAGCGGUACAAGCCACGCCGCCGCCGCCGCUCAGCUGGCCGAUCGCCCCUCAUUUCUUCCACAUCCCGCUGAUCCUCCUCAGCACGUUGCCGUUCUUCCUCGCCGCCGCGUCGUCCUCCAAGUCCUCGCACAGGCCCGCGUACUUGCCGCCCUCCCACGACUCGCUCCGCUCCACGACCUUGCCGUUCCCGCCCUUGCCCACCGUCAGCAGCGCCAUGGCCGUCUCCGCGGCCUUCCGCCACUGCUCGGCCUGCACCCGCAGGCGGCGGAGCUCGGUCUCCAUCUCCCCUUUCUUCGCCGCCUCCGCCGCGUCGGCCUCCGGCGUCCUCGCCGUCGCGGAGCCCUUCUCGGACUCGUACUGGCGUAGCUCCUGCUUCAGCUGCCCGUUCUCCUGCAGCGCGCCCUGCAGCUGCUCUUUCAGCGCGUCUGCCGACGUGUCCGCUCUCGCCUCGGCCUGCAGCUUCUGGUUCGCGUCCAGGGCGCGCCGUAGCUCGGACUCCUUGUCGAACAGGCUCGCCUUGAGGAAGAUGACCUCGGACUUGGCGCUCUCGAGUGCCGCGGCGAGCUUGCCGUGCCGCAGGUCGGAUUCAGUCUUUAUCUGGUCCAUGAGCUCGUACGCGCACUGCGUCUCCACGGUGCUAAGGAUCUUCUCUUCUUGAUACCUGGCCUCCGCGGCCUCCAACUCCGACCUCAGCUCGGCGGCUUCCGAGCCCGAGCAGUUGCAGCGCUCGCUGGCGGCUCUUGACGACGCCUCGGCGAUCUCCUCCUCGAGAGCCUUGGCCUUGGCGCGCGACUCCUCGAGCUCCUUGACCACGAGGCUGAAGGAGUCCAUCAGCUUGGAGCCGUCGGUCAGCAGCGAGUCGAUCGUAGCCCGGCUCGCCUCCAGCUGCUGCUUGCACUCCUCGUGCAUGGCGCGCGCCUGCGCCUCGGCCUCCUCGCUCGCCUUGAGCUUGACCCUGAGCUCGUCGAUGGUGGCCAGCGCCUCCACCACGUCCUGCCGGUGGUCGGCGCGCGCCGCGGCGGCGAGCUGCACGCGGAGGCGGUGCACCUCGCCCAUGGCCGCGGCCAGCGCGGCCGAGUCCGCGGCGUGCUGCUUCUGCAGGGCCUCCAGCUCCGACUGCCACGACCGGUCGCGCUCCUGCGACAGCCGGCGCAGCUCCAGGAGGCGGGCUUCCUCGGCGGACGAGAGCUCGGCGAGCUGGGCCUCGGAGUUGCGCACCUGCGCGGACGCCGCGGCGGCCUGGGCCCUGGCGUCGUCGGCCUCCUGCAGGGCCCGCUUCCUGGAGACCUCGGAGGAGUGGAGCUGCUCCUUGGCCUUCUUGAGCUCGUCUUGCAGCUGCGACAGCUGGGACUCCAGCUCUGACAGCUUCGUCGUCGGUGGCCUCCUUUUCUGGUGAUUUCAUUGCAUGAAAGGACAAAUUAAUGCCGACAAUAUCACUUAUGGUAACAGUAGUACUCCUAGAGCUUCAUUUGGAGAACAAAAAUGGUGGUGAUUUGAUUUCCACAGUGACACUAGUGUGCUUAACCAAUGUAGUGGUGGUUGUGAGAAUGCGGCUGGUUGUUCACGUUUUCUAGCCCUUCUCCAGUAUCCAGACAAAAACUUAGUUCCUCAAAUGUUGGCAAUUAGCCAAUGAUCUUGCUACCAAAUACUAGCUGGUAAUCCUGAUUAGUGUUCUUGUACGAGAAAAAGACCAGCAUGAUGCCAUGAUGGCACAUUCGAACAGAUAACCUACCUAUCACAGUGUGCCUAAAAUAUGCAACUACCUACAUAGCCUGCCUACUUUUCUGGGCGUUUGUCAGGAUCAUAAUCAGUGCAGAUAGAAUAACCACACACCGGUGUCAGUUACGGGUUCCCGGUCCCGAACAAGAGUUUGCGUCAGUUCUAUCAGAUACGCCUGUUUUGCCGUUGGUUGCAGAGACACGAUUGGUAGCAGAACUGGUACCGCUAUCUUAAUCAACCAGUUUGGUAGUAACACGCGGACGAGCUUCAAUUAUUUCGAAGGAUUUGCUAGCCAUUUAAUGUCCUGGACCAUCUGAUUCAGCUGGGUACCUAAUACGGCUGCUUUCAGUCCAAUUGACAGUUUGCUCCAUCGAGUGAGACAGAGCAAGAAGACCCAACUGCUCCUAAUUCAGUGAGGGGGUAUCAGAGAUAGACAGAUAUAAUUCGAGCCGUACUGUCUUAUCACAUGAACCCAUGAGAAAUGAUAUAGAAAUUCGACUCAUUUAAGCGCAGUUAACAGUCUUUCAAAAUCUUGUCACGAACUUAAUUGGGCGGUGCUGACACCACCGACGUACUACCAAACAGCAGCAAAGAAGCUUGCUUUAUCUUUUCUCCAGGCGAAAUUAUUGAAACCGCAUUCUGAAAUGGAAGAACGGCAAAACAGGGGUUCUUAUUUUGGCCAGUUACCUCUCUCUCGGCGCUCAUCGGCGAGCGGCGGUCGACCUUGAGGCUGAGUCCGGUGGGCGACUCGGCCAGCCUCCCCGUCCGGCCGGCCUUGUUGCUUCCCUGGGAGGACGUCCGAGUGGGGUGUUCCACGGAGCCAUUCCUUUGCAGCCAAAAGAAAACAACGGCGUCAGGUUGAAUCAGAGGACCUCAAGAAUCACACAAAGGCAGGCAAGGCUAGCUCACACUCGAAGCAGCAACAUUACCUGGAGCUGUUGCUGCUGGUAUACAACUUGAGAAAAUGCAUUUUGUUCAAGGAUAGCAUGCUUAGAACAGGGAGGAAAUUUCAGCGGCGCUCCUCAUGUCAAAAAUGCCAAAUGCAAGCCAAAAGAAAGGGGAAAACUUUCGCUUUGGGAGACUCCAAAAUCCAAAUCGAGUAGAACUGAUUCAAAGCUCUGAUGGGGGAACCAAACUAAAGAGCGCGGUGGAUUGUAUCUGAAGCCGCCUCCCGCUGAGCAAGGCGGAUCGAUGCUCCAGCUCAACCCAGAUGCAAAGCGGAGAAGCAGCAAGACGCAAUGGGGGAGCACAACAAAGAAUCCGAGGCCCGGAAAGCGCAAGAGGCCGACAAGAAGAGGAGGGGAGGAGCAACGCCGAGCUGGGACGGGAGCCGAGGAAAGGGGGGCCGCAGCAUUAGCUUAACAUAAUCUCCUCCGCCGCGUAGGCAAGCACGGGCGGGAUCAAAAGGGCAGAGGGCGAUGACUGAUGAGUGAUGAGGGAGGGGGGGAGUGCUUUGCUUUACAGAUGCGGGUUAGGCAACAAGUGGACCUGCCUGUCCUCCUUGGCUCCGAGCUCAAGAACGGGACAGCCCUUGCGCAUGGAGCUAUCUGCGAACAGUCACGGUCACAUGCGGCACUGAUUUGAAAACUUGGUCGCUUCCUCCUCGGCUCCGUGAAAAGAUAAAAAUAAAUGGAAAGGGAGGACAGACAGAUGGCGAUAAAAGGGGGAAAGCGUAGUUUAGAGCCGCCCAAUCGCAUAAUUCCAUCUCACAGCUCGCCGCUGGUAAAUUCAGUGCAGCAACCGUGGGUGAUCGGAGUCUUUGUUCUUUUUUUAUUUGUUAUCAUUGAGCGAUGACCAAUGAGUAUGAACAGUUCUCCAUGAACUUUCGUGAGACGUGUCCAGCCAUAGGCUCAUAGCUCGUGCGUGCUGAAAUAGAACAUGGGGGUAAUGGCCAAACUGAAGAGUGAAGACCAGAUCAGAGAGAGAAACCACGGUGCAUAUGCAACACAUUGACUUGGAGGGGAGAAUCUAACAUCGCCAGGAUUGAUGCAGAAGAGAAAAUAAACAAAGCAUGCAUAUGCAGCAAUCAUCAGACGGCACAUGGAAUUUAGCAUGGAAGCGGGAUGAAAUGAAAUGAAAUGAGGCAAAUGCGACGAACCUUGCCCUGGCCGCCGCCUGCAUGGCGAUAUCUUUAUUUCCGGAGCUCAGACUCAGAGCCGCCGCUCUACCACCACGGCUCCAAGAGGAAAGCUGCAAGGGGACAAAACACCAAAGCGGGAUCGUCAGCUAGCUCCCGCUCGCCCCGUCAUGGACUUGCUGCUAAAGCGGCGCGGCAGGAGAGACAGGGAAGCCAGGCGAGCUAUGGAGCUAUCUGCAAUGGCGACGGCGGAGCUAGCAGCUACCUCUCUCUCUCUCUCUCUCUGUCUGCACCUAUCUUCACGCGCGCAAAGGCAAAGCAACUAAAUAAUGGACAACACGGAGGAAUUGGCUGCUGGCUUGCCCGUCUAAUCUGGCACUAACUAGUCCUCCAACCACUUAGCCAACGACAGGGACAGCCGUGUGUGGACGGUCUCUAUACAAAUAGCACCAACUAAUUGGCAUCCUUAAACCGGGGGACACAUGGUGAGCUUCGCCGUGCGCGCAAUCCGAUUCUUUAAGCUUCGCCACGGGCGCGAAAUGGCUAGGCCCUCGUCAUGCUCCACGAUCGCUGCUACUACAAGUAUAGAGCUCUUUAGAGGGAGAGGCCAACACGGGCAUGGACAUGGAUGGCCCGGUCGGCCCCUCGGCGGAGGAUAGCGCAUUAUACGCGCGCCACUACAACCACCAAGCUUAAGGCUGCAGAAAGGUAGGCCUGAAGCAAGCGAGAAUCCACCACUCCACGGCUUCCUCUUUUGUUCGCUCUCGAUCUCGCUUAGUCUUUCCCCUUACUCAACGCCGCCCCACGCACAAAAGCAGCGGCGCCGCCCGCCCACACACACGCUCGACACCGCGGCCUGGAAUCAUGCGUGGUGCAUAAGUAGUUGGAGUCUUGUUAAGAUGGCCAAAUUGGCAACCACGCCCCUGGAUACGGUAACCUUUUUGUUGAUUAACAGAAGCACUACAACAACAGCCGGAAGAAGAGACACGUAUUAUUGCUGCUGCUAUCUUGGGUUUACGUACCUCUGGAUAACUAACUCUUGAUAGCCACGCCCAUGAGCUGGGGUUUCAGAUGCGUGGAGACCAUGAGACAAAGGCUUGGAGAUGAUCCAAAGCUUUACAGCUUGUCUGUACCUGGAUAGAUGAGUAGGUGCUAGACCAGGAAGCUGGUAGUAGGUGCUAGACUUUGACAGGUUAAUUUGUGAGAAAAGUGAAACUGGGGAUGGCUCCUCCAACGAGGAAUGCAUGCUGAACCGGAUGGCCAAGUAGCUCUGAACUUUUGGACCAGUUCCAAGUUCCAACAGAGAGGUGGCAACGCAAGCAAGCAUUCGGGGGCCUCUCUGAUUGAUUGGUCGACCAUGCUUGCAUGGCGCAACCGCCCAUGAUGUGCGAUGAGAUGAAUGCUCAGGAUUCAGGACAUGGCAAGCGAAAGAAGAAGCAGACUCACCUCACCUCUCCUUACGUCUCUCCUUGCUCUUCCUCGCCGCCUUCAUAUCAUGCUCCGAGACAUGGAACUAUGGAAGCCAUUGCCCGAAGGGGACGGAGGUGUGGAUAGGAGUCACCUGCACUUCACAGGCGAAGUAGGAUGUCAUCUUUUUUAAGUAAGCAGAAAACCAGACAAUGUCGUCAGGAUCUCUGAGAAGGCUGCAGCAGCGAGACGAAGAACAAUCAUUUGGGCGCGCUCGGCCUCCCGUGCGAGAAAAUCAAAUGGGAGCGAGAUAUCUGGAUCCGCACCUGAUGAUUUUCGGCAAUAUUUUUUGCCCGGAAUUUCAACGCUCGCUGAUGUUGCCGUUGCGCUCCCUCAGAGGUCGCUGAAUGCUGAUCCCGGAUAAUGACCGACCCCUGUUGUCCACUUGAUGACCGAUGAUGCUUUGUGGAGUACGGCUCAAAGGAUGGUAAAGCGUGUAGACGCUGGCACUGCAACACGUCACGUGGCAACGGCGUGAUCAAAGCUAAGGCAAGGGCUCCAACGCUCUGCUUCUUGGAGUGUUCUCCGCGAUCUACACGUCCCGGAUGGCAAAUACAGCUACGGCUCCAGAUCAAAAUCCAAACCAGCAGCAGUUUAAUUUCUUCUGUUAGAUCUACAGUGUCAUUCUUACCACCACAAAUUAAGGACCAGCGGAUCCACAAGUUUGUGCUCUAGCUGUCUAGCGCUCCGGCGCGCAUGCCGGCGAUGCCCCACCGGUACGAUGCGAUCACACGGGUGGGCGACAAGGAGACCGCUCAGAGCAGGGAGCCAGAGCCUCCCCGGCUCGCGUCCGUAACACGACAAGUAUCUUACUUCCGAGCGCGCUCGACGCGGACCAAUAGUCCACUACUCGUCGUCGCAGGCGCGCGCGACGGUGCAGUGGCUAGCGUACAAGCGAUUCGCGCGCGCGCGGGUGCAGCGGCAGCGGCGGCUCAUGCCCCGAUCGCCCGGGUACGCAGGUAGGCGCCAACGCCGACGCGAUCCAUCAGCGCGCCUGUGAACCCUGUCGCAGGAGAGUCCCAUCGCGCCUGUGACGAGCCAUCCUUUCGGAAAAAGCACGCCGGGGCUGGCCGUAUCGCUAGUUACAGACGGGCGUGAAUCCACGGGUGAAUUCCCGAGAUGUACCGAGUACCGACCUGAAGUUACAUGCGUACGCACCGAUCUGCGCUGAAGUUGCCCGGCAAGUGUGCCUGAGCAUCGAAGUCCGUGCUUACUGAUUCAACAUGUCCGAAACGCAUUGAGGGCCUGUUUGGUUAGCCUUGCUUAUAAAUAAGCAACUUAUAUUUAAGCAAAUAAGUUGCUUAUGACCCAAACACUCUUGCUUAUAGACUUGCUUAUAAGUUGCUUUUGCAUAAGCAAAUAAGCAACUUUUGGGUUGCUUAUAGUUGCUUAUGGAGCACUUUACUCCUACCCUCAUUCUCUCUCCUCUCUCCCCUUUCUCUCUCCUCUCUCCCGUGUGGAUUGCCUGGUGCCGCUUCCGCCGGCCGACGGCCGCUCCCGCCCGCCGGCCGCCUCCGCGCCGCCCGUCGCCGCUCCCGCCCGCCCGCCGCCCGCUCGCCGCCCGCCUUCGCGCCGCUCGCCGCCCGCUCCCGCGCCGCCGGCUGGAUCUCCCGCCCGGCCGCCCGCUGGAUCUCCUUGCUCCUCCUCCCGCGCCGUCGGCUGCUCCCGCCCGCCGCCGCCGCUCCCACCCGCCCGCCUCCGCUCCGCGCGCCCGCCGCCGGCCGCCCGCCACUCGCACCCGCCGCUGCCCAAACCAAGGGGUAGGAGCUGGGCCAUUUUCAGGGGUAGAGGAAAAUGGAUAGCAGGGGCAAAUAUGUCAAUCCUAAUCAUAUAAGCAAACCAAAUACCUAGACUUAUAAAUAAACAACUACAAUAAGCAAAUAAGCAACUUAUUUAUAAGCAAUCCUAAACCAAACAGGCCCUGAGAUCGAUUGCGAGUUGAGACGAUAAUAUCCGGAAGCGACUCCGUCUGCCUGGCCGCGGUCUCCAUCCUCAGCACAGGAUCGCGUCGGCCACGACGCAGCUGCCGGCGGCGGGUACGCGUCGUACUUAACUUGCUUGCCGUUGUAUCCACUGCUCGAUGGACACCUACAUCCAGCUCCGUCCGUCGCCGCCCACCGCCCGCUCGCGCUUGCAGCGCACGAACAAACGCAUUCAAUACGCCCGCCCCCGCCCCCGCUCGUGGCGUCCGCGAUCGCGACGCCGACGCCUCCCCACGCUUUGCUAGCAACCACCGGAGUAAUGGAAGAGAGAUACGAUACGGCCGGCGUGCUGCGUAUCACUAUCAUGCGUAUGUGCUCGAGGUCGACGGUCGGCGUCACGUAGAACGUCGACGUCGGGAGCGAGAGGCGGCUUCCAUUCGCUGCUGGGUCGGUAUCAGACGUCGCGCCCCUGUAGACUCGAGCCCCCGUGCAGCUAGCUCCGUGACGACCAGCCAGUGGGUGUGGGUACAGUGCGUGGCGUCGUCUUUCUACGCAGCUCACUGUAUCGGUGAAUCGCGCAUCGUUUUCGCGAGCCGAUCGCCCGUCCGGCCGGGAGAGGCUACGCAGACGGUUCCAGCAGCACAUCUGGUUCCAAGUCCGGGCCUUUUCUGACUUGACGUUGCGGUUGCGGUUUUCCGUUCAGACGAGGAAGAAAAACUGGCGCCAGUUUAGUGCAGAGGUGCCGAAUGAGUGGUGAAAAGAAUGUUCUCACUUAGAGCCGUGAAAGUGAGAAUUGUGCUUGGACUGGAAGCAUGGAUAAGGGGGUGUUUGGGAGACACUGGUUAAACUUUAACCCCUGUCACAUCGGAUAGGCUAAUUACAAAACUAAUUGCGCAACCCCUAGGCUAAAUCGCGAGACGAAUCUAUUAAACCUAAUUAGUUCAUAAUUUGACAAUGUGAUGCUACAGUAACCAUUUGCUAAUGAUGAAUUAAUUAGGCUUAAUAGAUUCAUCUCGCGAUUUAGCUUAGGGUUCUGCUAUUAGUUUUGUAAUUAGCUUACGUUUAGUCCUCCUAAUUAGUAUCCGAACAUCCGACGUGACAGGUCUAAAGUUUAGCCCUGUCUUCCGAAUGCAGCUAAGAUAUGACAGGUCUAAAGUUUAGCCCUGUCUUCCGAAUGCAGCUAAGAUAGCCACAAAAUAGUCAUGGUCAAUCGGUGGGAGCAGCGGAGAUUGUGAACUGGCACUACACAGCACCCGUAAGAAUCCCAACUCAAAACUUAACUGGUACUCCUACGUAGUGACGAGACACUGCAAAAGCAGUUUUGUAACUUGGAGGACGCGCAAACCUAGACGUCGAAAUCGAGAAUGCUCUGUCCUGUACGAAUGGGCGCUUCAAAUUGCGCGACCAAUCUCUCACAGAUUUUGCGUCGGAGAACACUUCAGAUUGGUCUUUGAGAAAGAAAGAAAAACUUCAGAUUUGAUCAAGCCAAAUCAUCGUUCCGACAGAUCGAGCAGCCAGAUUCGGGUUCGGAAUUCUCGAGCAAAACUCUGCAAAUGGGCUGUACCAAUUCCAUAUGAAUCUGAUACGGCCCGUAUAUAUUCCGCCCACCAGGUUACACAACAGGGCCGCCAUGUCAAGAUCACUACCUCUUUUUAGGGGAGGCCCAACUCAUCCGGAUCGCGCGCGCUAGCUCGGUCUGCGGCUUUGCGUUCCAUGCACGUCUGUCGUCUAGCAGCCAGCCAUGAAUGAAGAGGCAGGCCCAGUCCGAGAAAAUUGGGACCGACAAGGUCACUCGCGUAAAAACCACCAAACCCGGGGGGCCGAGCGACCAACCGAACGAAACAUUGGCCGGUCCGCGCCCACCCAGGCUUGGGCCCACGGGCCAGCCACGGCGCGCCUCCCUUCCGAGCCGCUUCCUCCCUCCCUCCCCGUCCCCCCGAUGGGUCAUGGCAGUCGCGCACUCGUAGCCCGCGCCCCCGCCCCCCUUCCACCCCCCCCCCCCCCCCCCCCCCCCCCGCGCCCUCAAAAAAAAAAGUUGCGCACUCGUAGAAUAGAGUGGAGAACAGAAUUAGGCCGACCCCCUCAGAUCUGAGGCGCCACUCGACCACCGCCCCGCGUCGUCGUCCUCCUCGCGCUCGCGGCGCCUUCUGGAAGCUCCGGGAGGGCGCGCUCCGCUCCGGCGGGCGAGCGGGAUGGGGGUGUUCGAUCGGCUGCCCCCGAUGGACCACCUGCGGUCCGAGAAGAUGUGCUUCGUGCAGCUCAUCAUCCCCGCCGAGAGCUCGCGCGUCGCCGUCACCUACCUCGGCGAGCUCGGUCUCCUCCAGUUCAAGGACGUGAGUUCCCUUCCUCGCUCUCGCCGCUCCUCGCUAGCCUCUCCGCCUCUUGCGUUCUCGCUCGGAUCUGCCUGAUCCAGCCUCGGGAGUCGUGAUCUCUCUCCCGACCCCGCUUGCGCGCGUCGCGCUCUGCGGUCUGUUGGAUCUAGCUCGAGGCCGUGCUCGAAUUGCAGGGCUAGUGUUUGAUCACGGGUGUCAUUGGAUCCUGGUUUGGCGCGUGUUUCACGUUCGAGCUUGUUUGGGCAGCUGUGAUUAUCGUUUAGUGUGGAAAGUUCUUUUAGAUCACAGGGCACGAACCCGGCAGUCUCAUUGAGCCCUCAGGUUCACGUGAAUGGGCUAAUGUGGUAGAGCCACAGAGGUUUUCAUGGCAAGCAUGGGAUUGGAUCAGUGUGCUUUAGCUUCAUUUGAAUAUUCAUAGUAUCCAUCUAUAUGAACUUAGCCACUGUAAGCAAACGAACUGGCACUGUAUGUUUUGUGACAGUCCACAGAAACGGAUUAUUGGAGGGUUAAGACAACUCUUUGUUGAUGAUACCAUGAACACAUAGUUGCAUGCUUUGAAAUAGAUCAAGUCAUACUGAUAUACUGGUUCAAUGAAAUGAGUAACAAAGUUUAUGUGAUUUUGAUAGUGGGUGUUCAAACCCCUGUAUGGAUAAAGCUUUUUUACUUUCUUAGUUUAUAAACUUUAUAUGUACCAGCCUGUUAUCAUUCUGUUUGAUUUUUAUUUUGAGGAAUCAGGUGCGUUGUUAGUUUGUUGCAAUGUUGUUUCUGGGGGAAAAUGAGAACUCCGGUUGGCUUCAAAACUUAUUAUUUUGUUGUUAAUUAUUUCAGCUAGUGGCUAUAUUCAAAGAAAGAGGCAAUAUUCUUUGACUUCGUUGUUAUGAUCUCACUGUAAAAAACUUUGUUGCUGUAUAUUGUGCCAUUAUAGAGAAAAAAAUAUAGCCUACAUUCAAUUUAAAAGUCUGUUUCUGUUUCACUGCCAUAAUGGAUUUUGCUGAUUUCUUUUAUUAUCUGCUGCAGUUGAACGAGGAUAAGAGUCCUUUCCAGCGUAUAUUUGUCAACCAGGUAUUCCAGCUUACCGUAUUGUUCAUUUCAUUUCUGUGUCGACAACCUUACCUUGCAUGCACCUAUCUGAUUCUACUACAGAAAUGCCUUAACCAUAUUUUAUUUUGUUUUAGUCUUCAUUCAUUUAUUCCCUUUGUUAAAAAUGAUGUUUACUUGGCUGUUAUGUUUGUGUUACUCAGAUAGCCUCCUUGGUUAGCUCAGACUAUUCGAUGUGCAGUCAGAUUUCUAGUUUCUUAAGUUUUAACAAGUCAGAGCAUUACAACGGAAUUACAUAGUGAGAAACCUUUGUCUAAUUUUCUUUUGAUUUGUUUGGAUUCAAAUGGAACACAAGAAACAUUAAAUAGGAAGCAGUUUUGCUGUUAGCCAUGCUAGGAGCUGUAUCCUUGUUAGUUUCUUUCCCUGAAAAAUAAGUACGUCAGCUAAGUCCCCCCUCCCUCCCUAAUUUUGGAGACACAUCGAUCAUGAUAGUUCAGUUCUUUAGUACCAGUACCAACAAGCAUCAUGGAUCGGGUGUUUCACUUUCAGAAUAUUAAUUAUGAAUGUUGCUCUUCCUUCAUAAGACAAUUAUGUAUAACAUAUAGGAUCAAAUUGAAUUAGUCUAUCAAAUGGGUGAGACUGAUUCUCUCCCUUUUGUUUCUGGAAAGUGUUGGAAGCAGCUAAUAGACAAGAAUUAUGAUAUAUAAAUAAGGCAUGACUCUUGUUGGGGAAGGGGUAAAAAUACAUGCUCAUUGCAUUAUGGUACUAUUAUAUAAAUUUGGUAUUGUGAGUAGUCUUUGCCCGAUCAAGUUGCCUGGUGACGUAUGCUCAUGGCACAGAGUACGGAUUGAGUAGAUGAUGGGAAAUUGGAACAGGAUGAUGAAGUCAUCAGUAAUGGAACUUAUUGUUUCCAAUGAAGUUUGCCUUUUGAAGUAUGGUCAUGGAAUUAAGUUCUCUUGCUAGAUUUAGAAUGAUGAAGUGAUCAAUAAUGGAAAUUAUUAUCUGGGCUGUUGCUUUCCUUUAUCGAGUUUUCAUGACACCAACACCCUGAUCCCAUCUAGAAUGAAAAAAAAAGAUAUCUGGUGCUGAGUAACUUUUUUAUAUUGACAAACCUGCAUAACUUCCCUGCAGGUAAAGAGAUGUGCAGAAAUGUCACGUAAACUAAGAUUUUUCAGUGAUCAGAUCAACAAGGCAGGUGUAAGAUCUUCAGUUCGACCUGCACUUGAACCUGAUAUUGAUCUGGAGGAGCUAGAGGUGCAUCAGUCAUCUUUUUAACCCAAAAAAUUCUGCCUUUUUUUUUCCUUUAGUAGCUGAUUUAAUUGAUAAUAAAUAGUUCGCUUGAGUGAAAAUAAACACUUGCUCUUGUUUAUUCUCCAGGCAAGAUUGGGUGAGCAUGAGCAUGAACUGCUUGAGAUGAAUACCAACAGUGACAAGUUACAACAGACAUACAAUGAACUUCUUGAAUUCAAGCUUGUCUUGACCAAGGUUGUGUCUCGACUCUUUUCAAACAUUGAACUUUCAAUCCAUGUACUUCCUACGGAAGAUCGAAGAUCUGACUCUAAUGAUAGCCCUAGUGAUUUUUCUUAUGGACAAAUGAAGCAUACCAGAAAAAUACGGUAUAGUUAAUGACAGUUGCCUUUUCUAGCAUUAUGAACUGUAAUAUUGCUUGCCAAGCAUAAUUGUCUUCUAUAGUUAUUGUCACUUGCCAGUAAAAUACCGACUUUGAUUUGAAUUAGUGUGUUUUCUCUUCUUCUCCAUAUUUUCUCAAACAACAUCUUGCAGGCAGGUGGCAUCCUUGCUUCUUCUCACAACCAUGCAGCUUCAGCUGAGCGGGAGCUAGAUGAAAACAUAUAUGACAGGGAAGUGGAUGAGGGAAAUGCCUAUUUGCUCGAACAGGUCUUAUUUUGGCUCUGAUCCAUAAAGUUAGCAUCAUUCCAUUUUCCUGUUCCAUUGUAAUAAACCAAACUGUUCCCAGGGAGUGCAUCAAGGAUCUUCUGGAAAUUCUGGGGUGAGGUUUGUUAGUGGGAUAAUAUUAAAGUCUAAGGCACUGGCUUUUGAACGGAUGCUUUUCCGAGCUACAAGAGGAAAUAUGUUAUUCAAUCAGGCGCCUGCAGGGGAACCUGUAACUGAUCCCAUAUCUGGUGAAGAGGUCUGAUAAUCAUGGUUUGCCCUUGCUAAUUCCUGUUGAUUAUUGAUUUAAAUGCAUUGCAAAAUUUGCCUCAAAUUAUUACUGAUUGCACUAGCUGCACUCUAUUUCAAUUUUGAUUUUGUUCUGCCAUAACCAAUGCAUAUUGGUACCUUCAAAACUUCUGAAUAAUAUUUUAACAUUUUGACAGGUAGAGAAAACUGUUUUUGUAGUUUUCUUUUCUGGGGAACAAGCAAAAGCAAAGAUACUAAAGAUUUGUGAUUCAUUUGGAGCAAGUUGCUACCCUGUUCCUGAGGAGAUGAUGAAGCAGAGACAGAUUUUCAAUGAGGUAUUUUACUUCCCUUUUUGGCACACUAGUUCAUUAAUUCAUUCGUUCACUUUUGAAAUGCAAUGCAUGAUUUGAUUUGAUUUGAUUCUGUAUAUUGCUAUAUUAUUGGAGUGUAUUUGAGGCUUCAAUGGUAGUAACUUACAAUUUUAUGACUUGUCAGGUAUCAGCACGCCUCUCUGACCUGGAAGUUACUUUGGAUGCUGGAAUCCAGCACAGAAACAAAGCUCUUGAGUCAGUAGGAUCACAAUUGUGGAGGUGGACAAUCAUGGUAAUAAAGUAAAUACCAAUUUCUCAUUUUCUAUUUCUGUACCUUUUCGCCCCUAAAAGGUCUAUGGCCUUUUUUCUGGCUAGUGCAUGGAUUUGUGAAUCACAACAUUUUUGUAAUCCUUUUAGGUUAAAAAGGAGAAAGCUGUAUAUGACACGCUGAACAUGUUAAACUUUGAUGUGACAAAGAAAUGCCUUGUUGGAGAAGGAUGGUGUCCUAUAUUUGCUAAAUCUCAGGUCAGCAACUAUACAUUUAUUUGAAUCGUCGUGGCCAUUCAUUUUUGUUUUCAGAAUAAAAGCUUUAGAAGAUGUUUCUUACUUCCAACUUGUGUUUCAGAUCAAGGAUUGUUUGCAGCGUGCAACACUUCACAGCAAUUCACAAGUUGGAAUAAUAUUUCAUGAGAUGGACACUAUGGAAUCACCACCUACAUAUUUCCGAACUGAUAAAUUUACCAACGCUUUCCAGGAAAUUGUUGAUGCAUAUGGGUAUGUACUUAGAUGCCAAACUCAGCAUGAUGAAUAAUUGUAUUUUGUUAAUCUUUUGCCUUCUGGGACUUGCUUAUAGUUGUCAGUAAAUGCUUAGCAAAUUGUAACUACCAAUAGAUGCUAACAAAUUAUUUGCCUUUGGAAAUCAAGUAUACUUGCUAAUUGCUACUUUGCCAGGACAUUUUUUUUCUUAUGUUGUUUUAAAGUUAACAUGAUUGAGGUUGUUGAGUCUUCAGCAUUUUCCUAGAUCUUUCAGUAUUGUUGAUCUUACAAGGCUGAUUAUUUCUUGAAACCUUAGUGGUUAUUUGAUUGUGCUUGAUGUGAAUUGCUUUUGUCUGGGACUGUUUUCAUGUUUACCAUUCUCUUAUGAAAGAGGAAUGCUUGUUCACCAUGAACCUUCCAUAGUGAAUUGAUUUUGAUUUUGUUUUGUUGCAGUGUUGCUCGAUAUCAAGAAGCUAAUCCAGCUGUAUAUUCUGUUGUGACAUUCCCAUUCCUUUUUGCUGUUAUGUUUGGAGAUUGGGGUCAUGGGAUAUGUCUGUUACUAGGAGCUUUGGUUCUUAUACUUCGUGAGAAGAAACUCUCCUCACAGGUAUACUUGGCUGAACUUGGUCCCUUUUCUUUCUUUCCUUUCAUAGCCACUAGAAACAAAUCAUGUAUUGGGUUAUUUGUGCUAAAUAGUUUCUCCUAUCUAUAGCUAGUCCAAUAAAUAUUACAAAGGAAUUUGAGCACCUGAAUAAUAUUCUUAAAAUGGAAAAAGAGUCUACUCCCAAUUGUUUCUGAUAGUGGUAUAAAGGCACAAGGGACCUGCACAGUACUCGUUCAGAAACAUUGCAUUUAACCUAUUUAGUCAUGAUAUAUUUGCAUACUAGUAGACAAUUCCUCUGAUAAUGUAUACGGGAUCCAGCGUGACAAAUCUGCCCCAAGGAGCGCAGUGAAGAGGUGUUCUGGGCUUUCUGGCUCUGGCGACAGUUGUCUGUUCAAGUUUUAGUAAUUUUGUGCAUUAAAAAAUACCUUAAUAAAUAUGAUAUAGUUUGGAAGCUAUUAGUUGCUUUUAGUGUGUCUUUGAGAAAUUUGAUCUGAGCUUGGCAUCUUGCCUUUUAUUCCACAUUGUGAUGCGAGUUUGCUUAACCUCUUCCGGUAACCUCUGGUCCAUAACUUAUUUCAGAAGCUUGGCAGCUUUAUGGAGAUGGCAUUUGGUGGACGAUAUGUCAUUCUUCUGAUGGCAAUAUUCUCAAUAUACUGUGGCCUUAUAUACAAUGAGUUCUUCUCAGUUCCGUUUCAUAUAUUUGGCAAAUCUGCGUAUGAAUGCCGAGAAAAAAGCUGCAGGUAUGUCUGCUAUUUGAUGUCUUUAAGUGUUAAUGAGACAAUUGUUCUCUGAAGUUUCUAGAAUGAUGGAGGAAUAAUAAAAUGGUUUAAAUCCUGCCUAAGCUCAGUUAUUGUUAAUUGUUAUUCUGUUUUGCUGGUUGCUGGAUGAUCGAAAUCCCUGCCUUAUCGGGUCCCAGUCUCUUGCCAGGACAGUGAUCACUGUAUCUUCAGUUUGCCCCCAUGUUGCUAUCACAGAGUAUACAGUCCAUGUGCUAAACAUGUUGUAUUACAGGAAGUAUAUAGCUUUAUCUUUUGUACUACCAAAGAGCUAUGUGCAUCAAACAUUAGACACAUGUCGUCGCUCAUUCUUAAUACGCGAGCGUUUUAAAUUUUGACCUCAAUUGUACGCCCCUACUACAUAAAUCAUGCUAGUGAGUUUCAUUUAAUGCAUUGUCUGAAGUAUUUUUAUGGCCUAGGGAGGCAUAUUUAUUGCUCGGUUGUAGCCAGUUGUGUUGAUGGUCUAUAGAGCUUUAUCCACUUGUUUAUUCCUUUUUCUGAAUGUGGCUUGUAGUCAAUGUAAUGUGGACCUCCUUGUUAUCAUAUAACAACGUAGCCAUGUACCAAAUGUUUUAUUCUGUAUAAAAUCUAACUCCUAACCUGUGUGCUUUAGUGAUGCACAUACUGCUGGUCUCAUCAAAGUCCGUGAUCCCUAUCCUUUUGGGGUGGACCCAAGUUGGCGUGGAAGUCGGUCUGAGCUACCCUUUCUAAAUUCGUUGAAGAUGAAGAUGUCUAUACUAAUGGGUGUUGCCCAGAUGAACCUGGGGAUUGUGUUAAGUUAUUUUGAUGCGCGGUUUCAUGGAAAUGCCCUUGACAUAAGGUAUUGUAUAUUCUUUUGUAUCUUCUGUUCUGAUGGAUCUGAAUCAAAGAGGGGAAAUUGCAGCACUUUUAACUAUUCGCAUUUUUUCAGGUAUCAGUUCAUACCACAGAUGAUUUUUCUGAAUAGCCUUUUUGGUUACUUAGCACUCCUGAUUCUCAUCAAAUGGUGCACGGGCUCUAAAGCUGAUCUUUAUCACGUGAUGAUAUACAUGUUCCUUGAUCCUGCUGGAGAUCUUGGAGAAAAUCAACUGUUUUGGGGCCAAAAGGAACUCCAGGUUCAAUAAAAUGGCCUCUUUUCUCUGUAUUUCUAACAUCCCUUAUGUGUUCAACUUAUCUGCUUUUCCCUUUCAGAUACUUUUGUUGCUUCUGGCUUUGGUAGCUGUUCCAUGGAUGCUCUUCCCAAAGCCUUUUAUUUUGAAGAAACUUCACAAAGAGGUAUAUUGAUAUGGAAAAUAUACUUGGAAAACACAUAAUGUUCUUUUUUCCCAUGCCAAAUCUUAUAAUUAGGUCAUCCCCAAAAUUUCUCAAAAAAUUCCAAGUAAAGGAUCAAUGCUUAUGAUAACUAAAUUGAAAUACUUUUUCUGCUUAAGCAAGGUGAAUACUAAUUUUUAUAUGGAUGCAGAGAUUUCAAGGGCAUACCUACCGUUUCCUAGGGACAUCUGAAAUGGAUCCAGAUUCUGAACCUGAUUCAGCCCGAGCACGUCAUGAUGAUUUCAACUUCAGUGAAGUUUUUGUCCAUCAAAUGAUACAUUCCAUUGAGUUUGUACUUGGUGCAGUUUCAAAUACUGCAUCUUAUCUUCGACUUUGGGCCCUGAGGUUUGCCUCUUGUGAUGUUUUGCUACCAAAUUUUAGUUUCUCCCAGUUCUACUGCUCACUUCUGUGUACUUUUUGUUGGUUUCAGCUUGGCACAUUCAGAGCUGUCAACAGUUUUCUAUGAGAAGCUGCUGCUACUUGCCUGGGGGUAAGCACCUUGUUCAUUGACUUUGACAAACUUCUCAAUUAGUUUCCCAUAUAUUGUCUGCAUCUCAUAUCCUUCUGGAAGAAUAUCACCUCAGUUUGGUUUUGACCAUUGAACUGCAAAAUGUUUCACCACCCAAUUCUUAAAACCGUUCAUAUUUGGCCAUCAGGCGGUUUUGGUGGGUGGUUUUGCUGACGUGGACGCCACAUAGCGGUGGGGCCCACUUGUCAGCUCUCCUCUCCCUCUCCUCUCUCUUUCUUCUCUCCUCUCCUCCACUGACAGCCGUCGGCCCCGCGGCGGCUGCCCCUAUGCAAGCCUCCACCGCGCCGGCAAGCUGGAGGCGCUGGAGGUGAGUGGGUGGAGCGACGGGUGGCCUCCGCGGAGGUGCCUGCCCAAGUCGGGCUGCAUGAGAGGAGGCUGAUGCACACCGCGAACCCCGAGACACCGGCGCCCCCCAGUCCCAGGCGGCGACGGCACGGGGUCUUGCGCAUCAGUGGCGGCGAGGGCAACCACAGUGACUGGCGUGGCAGUGGGAGGCGCAGGGGCGGACAGAGGCGCGGGGGAUGGGCCGGCAUAGGAGAGAGAGGGAGAAGGGAGAGAGAGAGGAGAGGAGGGCUGACAAAUGAGCUCCAUCGCCACGUGGCGUCCACGUCAGCAAAACCGCCCGAUGGCCAAAUAUGAACGGUUUUAAUAGUUGGAUGGCUAAAGAUUCCUGGUUUUGCGGUUCGAUGGUCAAAAUCAAACUGAGCCAAUAGUUGGAUGGCCAAAAAUGGACUUCUUCCUAUCCUUCUAUCAAACUUUUCUUUCGUACUUGCAUUGCACAGGAUUUAAUGAUCGCUAACUUCUUCAUUCUUUACUGUAUUUUUUAUAGGUAUGAUAGUCUUAUCGUCAAGUUGGGGGGACUUGUAGUUUUUGCUUUUGCUACUGCCUUCAUAUUGCUCAUGAUGGAAACAUUGAGUGCCUUCCUGCAUGCAUUGCGUCUGCACUGGGUUGAGUUUAUGAACAAGUUCUACCAUGGGGAUGGCUACAAGUUCAAGCCAUUUUCAUUUGCUCUGCUAGCAGACGACGAGGACUGAUGCAUGUGAUUUUCAGCACGUAAAGAGACAAUUCGUUUCUUACAAAUUUUUGGAGCACGGUAAUGGAACUUUGUGGGCGAGAUGGGUUUCCCCGAUACACAGCGUUUUGUCAGACCGCCGGACUUCUUCCCUGGGCAUGCGUGCAGUCGUCGUUGAGAUUGCCACAGCAUCGGGAGGAGGUUUUGUAAGUUUACGGCAGUAUUGUAGAGGGCAGGUUCAUCGUACAGUUCCUCCAACAGAGAUGCAGAUUAUAGUUGCUAACAAAAAACAUAGAAAUGUAGAUUUGCCCCCGCCUACUUAUAAAUGGAAAAGACAAUUUUUUGGCCAUUCUAGUGCCGAUGCUGGAAGAAAGGCAUGACAGAUAUUUACUGUAUUGUUUUACAAUUCAAAUAAUAGUUGUCCUUGUGAUUAUUCUUUUAAAUGCUGCUUUUUUGUCUGCUGUGUCCAGGUUCAUGUACUAGCAAGCCAUGUGUGACCCAUGACAUGGUAGAAUUUAAAGAAAAUGGCAGACAUAAAAAUUCAAGCUAAUUUCUAAUAAAAAAACGUGUAUCUUAAUUUGUUACAAUCUAGCACCUGCAAUUUUAACGAAUUUUCAUAUUCCCCGUUGGCAAAAAGACCUCUGACAUGGUUCUCGUCUAAGUAUGACGUUCCAUCGUGCAUCGGGUAUCCUUUAAUACAACUUGGAUCACCAAAAUUUAAAUUUAAAUGGAAGAAUUGACGAAUGAUGCAACAGAAAUGCCAUGUGCGAGAUGAAGAAAAUAUACGAGUGGUUCACACAGAUUACAUAGCACCUAAGCAAUGUUGGAGCACAUAUAGGGGUAAUAACAAACAAUUUUGGGUUUGGUUAACUUUACUAGGGAGAAGUAGAGAACACGCAAGUUUAUUACAGUUGCAAGUGUUAGACUAACAAAUCGAGAUGGGGUAUCUAAAACCCCUAGUUAGGUUUUUUUUUUGUAUUUUUUUCCUUCUAAAAAUAUAUGCACACUCAUGGAAAGUUCGAUUGAGUAUUCCUAGAUUUAAACUAGCUUUGCUAGCUUCAUCAUUGACCUAGCUGAUGGAAAGUUUAAUUUUGAGUAUUCCCAAUUCAGUUGUGCAGGUGGUAUUUUUGUAAAUCACUUGGAAAUACCACGCAGAGCUUCGCUCUGGGAUAACAAUAUAUUGGUGGUUAAUAAUUGUCGGCCACAUUGGUCAAAAAAAAGUUUCAAAGUUGAACAUGUAUUCCCGUGAUGGGACGGUGUUCCAUUGCAAUUUUAGCAAUGCCGGAAGCCGUUGUAGAGAGUAGGAUCAAGCACAUCAUGGUUACCAUUGUAGAUAGUUUUUUUUAUCGAAGUCAGUAGCGUAAACCUCUACCUAUUUUUUUAUAAUUUUUUUAUUCCAUACUUGUUUAAUUCGCUUCCACGGGGAGUCUAUUUUUUUUAUAAUUUUUUUAUUCCAUACUUGUUUAAUUCGCUUCCACGGGGAAUCUAGGUGCUACUCAACCACUUAGGUGUUCUAACCACUAGAGGUCCUUUCGCACCAUUGUAGAUACUCCCCUCAUCCCAAUUAUUAAGUCUAUGAAUCUACUCAGGUACUCUAACCACUAAGCUAGAGGUGUCCUUUCGCACCAUUAUAGAUACUCCCUUUGUCCCAAUUAUUAAGUCUAUGAAUCUAAAAAUACCAAAACGACCUACAAUUUGAAACGGAGGAAAAAUACCAAAACGACCUACAAUUUGAAACGGAGGAAGUAGUUGGUAGUGGAAGACAGGAUCAAGCACACCGUGGCUACCAAUUCGAUGGAGAAGGGUACACGAGAGGAGAAAGGUGGAAGAUAAUGGCUUUGAAGAGGAGAAACGCUAACAACCAUUAGCCAACCCAGAGGCACCCAGGUACUCAAUGCACCAAAAACUGCAUGUAACAAGAAUAUGAAUAGAUGGAUCAUAAAAUUAUCUAUGUGCAUAAAACUGGUGCAAAGAGAAAAAAGAGAGGGACAACCUAGCAGGAAUGAAGUUCCAGAAAAUGAGCAUAGACUGAUAACAGACUUAUAUGGUAAUCACCAUUAUUUGCGCCUAGGACUACUACAUUAUAUUUAUGCUUCAUAAUACAGAUCUGUGAAUGUAAAAGGCUGUCAAAAUAGCAACGGUCAAAUCAUUCUGAAUAUACAGACAAAAGCAAGCCCUAAACCAUUAUAGGUGAACUAUUCUCCUGGAAGCCAAUUUACAUCUGAGAGGCAGCCAUAGCAAAAAGUUAAAACACCCUUUUUAGGUGCCUUCGGUUUUCUGCUAAUAAACACGGAAGCAAUGUAGAGACUUCCGUAGCUCAUGGAUAACCACUGGAGAGAAUGAAGCAAUUGUCAGAACAAAAAAAAGCAGGAACCAUGCUGUGGAGCUUAAAUAUGCAUCUUAGGUUCCCUUGAUAAACAGAUACAGAUUUUAAGAGGGAGAGGUAGCAAAUUUGUGUUUAUCAUGAAAAGAAAAAUGCACUAAUGUGGCAAAUUAUCUGUGUACAGAAUCUUUAACAAAAGAAAAGGAUUCAGGGAACAAUAAGAUUACCAUAAAUUGCUGCUGUCUUCAGUUUUUGCCCUUCAGGUAUCCCCAUUGUGAUACUGAUUGUGUACAGGGAGAAAAUUGUCAGUGAAAUAAUUUAGUGUUUGAAAUUUUGUGACAUGUUUAGUAUCAGAGAUUUACUAUAGCAUUGUUUCACUAACAAAUAAAAGUAGGAUACAUUACCUGUGGUUGCAUGUAGCCCAUCCCUUGGUUGUAAACUCCAUGCUGAACCAACUGCAAGUAACAUGAGUAGGUCAGUUUCAAGAAUAACCAGGAGGAGACCAAUACAAGUUAAAAAUACUAACCUGGUUACUUGAGCUACUGGUGCCACCAUGGGGACUAAUUGCAUCCUUCUUUACAGAGCCCUCACCAGCUUUUGUAGACAACUUACUGUCACCCUAGCAGAAUUUUGCGAAAAAUUGUGAUCAGUAUUUCGCUGCAUCUUGGAUAUGCAAAUAGGACAUGAAAUUAUUAACUUGCUCACGGCAACCAUAGUAGUAGCACAGAAACUUGUUUGGUAGCCGGAGCAGUCCAACAAAGAAUAGGCAAUUAUCAAAAACAAAUAGAUCAUCCAUGCAAGUUUUUCAGAACUGGCAUCUACAAUGCAUUGCUUGUGAAUUUUGGUUUAUUGCCUGCAGGUACCUUUACCACAUGGCAUAGAAACCAGCAGGUAUCAUUCCUACAAAGGCAUACAAACCAGGAAAAGAAUAUAUCCAGCCUUGUUCAGGUGGUUAAUGUUCGCUAGUUCGCAUUCCUCAAAGCUGAUUAUGCGCAUUUCCUCUGCCAACUGCCAAAGGUUUUCUAACUGAGGGAGGGGUUAUAGUUCAAUAACCUGAAUAGGUUGUGUCGACUAUACAGUUCAGCCUAAGAAAGGUCAAAUACGUUCUGAUGGAGAAAUUAAAUAAGAGUACGAAAAUCAUAUACCUCCAUCUGCAGUCACCAGACCAGCCCAUCCCCAGAGGAGAAUAUGCAAGGAGGACAGAGAAGCGUCAUGAGACAGAUGCAAAAGAAACAUUAAAAAAAGAAGAAAAAGAGAGAGAAGAUCCACAUCUACACAACAGUGAGCACGAGCCAUCACUGACCUCUCGAUACUUUUGUAGGUAGAUCUUGAGGGGGUCGACGUAAUCCUCGAAUCCGAGCGUGGCCAUCGCCCAGAGCAGAUCGUCCCCGUUGAUGGUCUUGCGCUUCUCCUUCUGGCACUUGUCGCUGGCCCUGAAAGCACCACCGGCGCCGCCGCCACCGCACAAAUCAGAAUCACCUCAGAACAAAAAGAGAAGCCAACCUGAUCCAAGGCCGAGGGGCUACGCUACCGGGCCGUGUCAACUCACUCGCUGGUGACGAAGGAGAUGAACUCGGAGACGCACUCCUGCAGGGUCUCCUUGGCGUCCUUGGCGAUCUUGCCGUUUGCCGGGACGGCCUUCUUCAUGAUCCGGCUGAUGUUGGCGAUGGGCAGGAACCGGUCCUGCUCCCGGACGCCUCCGCCGCCGCCGCCCUCGUGGCUCCCGCCGUCGUCCGCCAUCGCCGGGGACCGGGCGCCUCCGCCGAAACCCUAGAUCCACCAAGACGGAGCCACACGGCAUCGAUCGCGUCAGAGCUCAGAGAGGCGCCGCCGGGAAACCGGAGGGUGGCGGGCGGGCAGCGUGUCGACGCGCCGUACGUACCUUAUAAAAACGCGCGCGAGGGGAGGCGAGGAGGGGAGAGAAGGGGAGAGAGGGGAGGAGAGAGGGGGGGAGGUGGCCGCGGAGGGAGGAGGAGAGGUGGGGAAUGGGAAUCGGACGCUGGAGAAGAGGAGGCGGUCCGGGUGGGUGCGAUGGAGGUGGCCGGAGUAUCCGGGCCGUUCGUCGGCUGCAAAUAGGGACGAGGAAGGGAGUGGGCCCUGCUGGGCCCCCAAACCUGCCCGUGGACCCGCGGGUUUAGCUGCUUGUAUUUCAGUUUUUUCUUGAAUGAGGAAACUUUGGAUUCUACUAAUAUAUCUUGUUCUUUUGCGAGGGUUGGAAUGUAAAUUUAAAUUUUUUCAAUUUUCGUUGAGGGAUUGAACAGUUCACGGUUAAAAGGAUUCGCCAAACCAAUAGACCGUUUGAUUAUCUUUCAACAUCGUUAUAGCAAAUUCGAGGAGUCACGGGCUAUGAUUGAUCAGCCAAAUGUUUUACGGGCUACUUGGUUUGAGAAAUCACUUUAUAUAGAAUGAAAUGAUCGGUCAUCUAGUGAUUUUGGUGGGAUGAAUCUAUACCUCGUUAUUUUAGGCUUUUAGCUAACUGUGUAUCUCAGUAUCUGCGAGGGAUGAUGCAGUGAAUUGGUGAUGACUGAUGAAUCAGCUUAUUCUGCUCCCAAAACCAAACAAAAAAAAAAGGUGAAAUAAUGUUAAUCACUUCAUUUCUCAAACCAAACGUCCCAAUUCAAGCUACAUUUCAUAUUCUUCAACUCUAACUCCAAAGCAUACUGGGGUUAGAGGAAAACCAUGAUUUUUUUUCCGAAAGAUUUUAGCCUGUAGAUUGGCCCAACGUUGACGGUGGAUCCGCAAUGAGACGACGGAGUCACGGAGGCUUCGGUGGGGACGUGGGGUGGCGGCCGGUGGCCGGGGGGGAUCAACAGCGCGCAGCAGGGUCAGGGGAUGGGCACUGGGCAGCCAUGGCGCGGGGCGUGCUGCGUGCAAGCUAGCUAGGACGGUGAAGGGCGCGGCGGCGCCGUCCAGAGGAAGCAGCAGGAAAAAUUCUUCUGGGAGAUUGUUGUAGAGCUGUAUCUGACGGAAGCUUCUAGAAGAGUACAUCCAAACAUCCGUAUAACUUUCGAGAUAAUCAUAUCACAAUCCAACCACUCGUAGAAUUCGACGAGUACAGUUAGAGCCUCUCAGGGUGCAAAGUAUUUUUCCCUUUCGCCAUUCGUCACCCCACAUCAACAAGAAAAGCAAGAGGAGGUUCAGACUACUAGCUCUACCACGAUGAGCACCGGACAACCACCGAGCAACGUAACCUCAAACGCAAAACAGUCAGAUACUCAGAUAUGGAUCACAACACAACCAGAUAUGUAUGUGCCUGAAAGUGGCAUGGAUCACAAACAACCAGAUAUGGAUGUUUCUGAAAGAGGCGAGCUACUAACAUUCUCAGCGAACAAAACAUGAUAGUACUAGUCUCUUAACAGAAGCAAAGUCUGACAAGAAGUUUUCACCAACACAAUCUUAGGUUAACAACUGCAACAGUGCGCUGUAAACAUAGCAAGCAACCAUUCUUAAACAUCUAAAGCCUCCAAACUUUCUACCCCAUGCUUGCUGAUUUUGAGUGUUGAGAGCAAUCUAAGACCUUGGCUUCUCCUUCUUCUCCUUGAAAAGGGCAAGCAGAGACACGCCCGAGACCUUGACAACCUUGAACCGGACACCAGGAAUAUCUCCCACAGCAUGACCCUUACGACCGAACCCAGCAAUCAACACCUCAUCCUGGACAGAUACACAACAAAAUAGAAGUCAUGCUUCUGAUGCACAAUAGGUUGCAAGACAAGAAUUGAAAGAGAGCUCUGAAUGAAGAAUACAUUUUCCUCAAUGUAGUUCAAGCAACCAUCAUUUGGCACGAAGGCAGCAAUCUUCUUGCCAUUCUUCACAAGCUGAACACGAGCACACUUACGGAUAGCAGAGUUUGGCUGUUUGGCCUCAAUACCACUGCAAUUGAAUCAAUGCCAUUGUCAUUUGUUCAGUUGAGUUCAAAAUAAAGUGACCAAAAUAGCACAGUUCCUGCAUCUGCUUACAUCUUCUCCAGAACGAUGCCCUUGGCAUGAGAUGACCCAGCAAAGGGUUUCUUCCACUCAUUGCCCAAAUGGCUCUUUUUGUAUGCCUUGUCAGCCCACCUUUGGUUCCUGCGGUGGGUCUUGAGCUUGCGCCCAGCUCCCAUACCACGUGUCUUCCUGUAUAAGACAACUUAAACAUGAAUAUUCACAGCUAAACAAACAGCAUAACCCGCUAACAGACUACCAUCUUACUAUUGACAGUCCAUCCAAAUGAAAUGCCUAUUACCAGUGUGCUAAAAAAACAUUAAUAAGGGACCAUCAGGUUGAUACACUAGUGAUGAAAGAACAGCUAGAUAAUCAAUAACAGCUCUAUCAUGAAAAGGUCUUGCUGAAAAUUUCAGAUCUCUGAACCAAAUAAACAGUUGGAAUUGCAUGAAAUGAGACAAAAGAUUGCAUCUAAGCAUAGAAGUCCAAAUGCGGCCACAUUUAUCCAUAACCAGUUACCUACAUACAACAGUUUAAAUAAAGAUUUGACUCUCCUCACUGUAUGCUAUGAUUAUUCUUCAGAACACGACAUAUCAAGCAGCAAUACAAUUACAAUGUUUACUGAAAUAGCCUAAUUGUUGACUCUUGAAUGGAUUGAACUCUAGUAUCUUGAAGGCCAAAGGCUCACGCUUUUGCUAAAAAACAUAUAAAAUUUCACUACACCAAGGGCAACUCACUGAAAUGUUACAGAAGAAUGAGGAAAGUGUAUGCUACCACGCAUAACUUCCCAGAUCCCAAGUAACCGGAUCAAGAAAGAUUAUAGCUACACGGCAGCAACGGAUUAUUAUCGCUUAUGAGUAUGUUUAGCACUGACGUUUUUGAAUCUGAUCAGCACUGGACCGUCAAUAAGCUUGGGUACAUCAGACUCAAUAACUAGUAAUUCUCGACAAAACAGUCAGACUGAGAUGAAAUCCGCAACAAAGAAUCGAAAAUCACGUCGUAUACUUCCUACCAGGGCAAGAACGCAUCACGCUACGAGAUGCCGACACACCAAACCACACUGGAUUCAUAAUCGCUAAGGCCAGAAAACAGACGACGACAAUAAGAGAUCGCAAGAGCGCGAACAGGAGAGAGUGAACUACCCCAUGUUGACGAAAGUGUUCCGAAGCGCUUCGCGGCGGAGGUGGGAGCGGCGGCGGCGAGGAGCGGAGCACGGGCUGGGAGCGGCGGCGGCUGCAAGAGAGGGGUGAUGAGGGGAGGCGAUGGGAUUUAUAUGCGGCGGCUUUGGUGUUAGGGUUUGGCUGUGUGGGUGCCUGCUUUGUGAUCUGUGCUUCUGGAGGGAACCUACGGUCGUGAUGUUGAGGAGGGGAGGGUUGGACACGGUAGACCUGGUCUACCACGUGGAUGCACAGGUAGGCUCUGGAUUUGUACCUCCAUCCUAUAAAGAGUACAAUCCUAAUUAAAAAAAGUUAUAAAAGAGUGAAAUUUCAGAUACAAGACAAAGGUGAAAACCAGAGUGCAAUUUCAUGAUUUGAUUAUCUGCAUGCUGUAAUAACCGACGCUAAGUGAAAACCAAACAACUUGCAUGUCUAAAUAAAUAAGAUUGAGACAAUAAUAAAGGAUUUCAUGAUUAUCUUUCGAUAAUAUUAUUCUAUGUAUCUGAAAAAAAUUAGAAUUGCACUUUUCGUUUGCCAACAACUCUCCCAAGUUGUAUCCACGAGAAAAACCAAAUUGAAGAAAAUUUGAAAGGGUAAUUUUGUUGAUGGACACUCCUUAGUGUUGGCAUUUGUUGAUGGACAUUCUUCAAUUUUACCUUUGCUGCUAGACACUUCUUAAGUUUUGAUAUUAGCUAGUAGACACUAUAUCUAUUAAAAUAAUCAUUUCUUGCUAUAGAGGGGAGAGAAAAUCAGUGACAGGACAUGUCAUGCUGCAUACAGACAUAUUUUGAGUCGCUAAAUAGACAAUGUAUGAGGCCAAUUAAACCGUAUAUAGGUAAACGAAGCAUAGAGCCAUACAAAAAAUCAAAAUAAAAUAUAGAUAUGACAAGCUUUAAAUGCUCUCAGCCAUAUUUGACAAAAAUAUAAGUUAAACAAGCCAAAACAUGUUGACAGCCAUUAAGGUUCAUAAUCCAUACAUGUUGACAGCCAUUAUAAGAUUCAUAACCCAUGAGAGGUCGAGCUUCUUUGGCAAAUCCACACUGCACAAAUGCUCUUCAUGGCGAUCUUCACUAGUUCAUGGUGCGGAUGGAGGACGACGGGUAGAUGCGGCCGGACGAGCAACGGAGAGAACAAGUUGGGCAGCUCCUGCAGUGCCAAGACGCGGGUCAGGCAGCGGUGGGCACCUCCGGCAUGGGCGGGUUGGGUAGCGACAACUUCUUCGCGGAGGCGACAACGUCUGGUAACAAGGGCGCCGAUUCGGGGGCUCGGUUGCUCCGAUUCAUGGGUUAGGUGGGGUACGACACAGAUUAAUGUUAAGGUGGCACAGGGACAUGGCAGCAUAUCCGUUUAUGAUGGAGUUAGGGGACGACAGCGCUGGGGCUUGGGCUGCCGUUGGGGGCGGCGGUGCCUCCGUGCGUGUCGUGGGUGGGGAACAGCGCAACGACUGUACAUCGCAUAUGUGAUGGGAAUCAUUUUGUCGCCUGAAGGAGUUUGGAUGGGCCAGUACGUGUCAGCCAAAUAAAAUCUGCGAUUGGUGUGUGAUGGGGUCCGCUUAUACUAUUUUCUGCGGCGUGCAUGAAAGUGACAGCGCCCAAUUCAGCACCACCACAGCACAUGCACGUCAGUACUAUUUUAUCACUGUCACCUCCUCCCAUGUUGCUUUGUGCAUGCACGCACUAAGGCACAUGCACAUGCAUUUUUCCUUUUUUUAUCUUUCUUUGUGUCUUCUUUUAUUUAUUUUCCAAUAUAUUUCUUUUCUUCCUUUUUUAUCUUUUAUUUUUCUUUUCCUCUCACGUUUUUGUUGUUUUUCUUUUCCUUUUUCCUUUCUCUUCCUCCUUUUCUUUUAUUCUUAUCCUUUAUUGUAUUUUUGGUAAUACUAUUUAUUUUCUUUAUCUUUCCCUUCUUCUUUUUUCUCAUCUUUUCUUUCUUUUGCCUUUUCCUUUAUUUUCGAUUGCUACCGCAUGUAGGCUACUUUCACACCAUAUUCGGUUUCUUUUUCUCAUUCUUUUUUCUCUUCCUCUCUCUUGUUUCAUUUUACUUUUUAUUAGUUUAAUUCAUGUUUUGUUUUUCUAUUUGAAUUUAGAUUCUCUUCUACAUAUUCCUUCUUGUACGUAAUUUAUCUUGUUUUCCUUAUUGAUUUUAUUUUCCUUUCUACAUUUCUUUAUUUACUUUUACUCCUUCUCUUUUGUAUUUUUAUGACCAUAUGUAUAUUUUUCCUAGUACAUAAUUUCUUUAGCGGUACUUUCAAAAUUAUAUUUUAAAGUAAUCUACUAGAUUUUGGUUGCUUAGUACAUUUUGUUGUUCUAUAUAGACUUAUGAGUUCGCAGUGUAAAAUUAUGUAUUCAAUUUAUAGGUUCAUUCCUUCACGUAGCUGACUCAUUUAUUCACCUUUUAUAGAUUGAAUUGGUUAAUGAUAUAGACUUGUUUGAUUGUUGAAUACUAACUUUUCUUUUUUCUUAUUCUUUUUAUAACAGCUUGUUGGUCAUGUAUAAAAUUUUUUAUUUGCCUAUCAUGAUAUGAAUUGGUCAGCUAUGUAGAUUGGUGUGUUAAAUUGUUUGUUCGCUUUAUAAACUGAACUAGUCAACCAUGUAGAUUCGUGGAUUACAAUAUUGUUAUAUGUUCAUAAUGCAUUUAUUUUCAAGUGUACAAAUUUUUAUUCGGUGUGUAUAAAUACUUAUUUUGUGAGUUUUUUCAAUUUAUUCAAGGUAUAUAGAUCUUUUAUUCCGUUAGUUCAUAUAAUUUGUUCCAUGAGUUCAUAUAAUUUGUUCCACAUGUAUUUAUUUUUUGUUUUCUGUGAGUUCAUUUAAUUUGUUCUAUGAGUAUAAUUUUUCCUUGAGUUCGUAUAAUUUAUUCCAGAUAUAUGUAUGGAAAAAAAAUCUUCCAACUUGAUGCUCAUAUUCUACUAUUUUGUCUUACAAUAUUUGGUUUUGUAGAUUAAAUUGUUUGAUGAUGUGGAUUUAUUUAUUCAUGAUGUUCAGUUUCUCCUUUUGUCUUAUACAAUCAAAUGUUCGUGAUGUUCAUCUUUUUGUUCGCAUCAUACCUUUGUUAUUCGUCAUGUUUAAUUUUUUGUUUGCAAAAAAUAAUAAUUUGUUCAUGACGUUCGAGUAUUUGUUCACAGUAGUUAACUAAUUAAUCCAUAUGUAAAAAAAUAUCUUUUAAAAAAUAUUACCAAAUAUAGUUAGGUGGAGUCUUGUUUUGAAGAUCUCGUCAUAAUAAACGUAAUGGUGCAAAUAAAAUUUAAUUUGGAUGUUCGGUUUAGGAGUUAUGAUUUUUUUAAAUUUGCAUGUACGUCGGUCGCGUCAUCAUUUUUGUCUUUUCUGCAUGCAUGCAUGCAUGCUCUGUCCAUGGACUCUUGCAAGCAUGCAAAGUGUUUGGAACUUAAAAAAACUAUAAAAUCUUACACCAAACAUCAAAAUUAAAUUCCGAUUGUACCAUUAGAUUUCUAACAAUAAAGCUUUACAACAAGAUCUCACUUGACUAUAUUUGGACAAACUUUUUUAUUCAUAUUUUUUAAUCAAGGUUGCAUAUUCUGUGAGAUAUAUACACGUGGAAUAAAUUAUACAAACCCAUGGAACAAAACAAUUGCAUACAUCAAACCAGAUAUAUGAACUCAAAGAAUAUGUUUAAUUUUUUGUUCGCAGAAAAUAGUUAUUUGUCCGUGGUGUUCAAACAUUUGUCCGUAAUAGCCAUAUCUAAAAAAUAUUUAAAAAAUAUUCUCCAAACAUAUUCAAGUGGGGUUUUGUUUUGAAGAUCUUAUUAUAAAAAAUUUAAUGGUGUAAUCGAAAUUUGAUUUGAAGGUCCGUUUCAAGAAUUAUGAUUUUUUAGUUUUUGGACCCUCUUGCAUGUGGAUGACAUCACCAACUCUAGUGAGCUAUUACUUCACUCGAUUCUUGCACCCGCGCAGCCCAAUAAUCAUCAUGCAGCCCACCAAUUACGCUGCAGGCCGGUAACAGAAGGUGACAACGACUGACCUAUCGUCUUUCUGCGGUGCAUAACUGCACCCGGGGAACAGGUUGGUGGGGAACGGGUGGAAGGAGGAAUCGGAUGGUGAGGGUAAGAUACGAGGGGGUAGUUGUUUUUUUUUAAUUCUCACUUCUUUCAUCAUAAAAUUAAUAUUAUAAUAUCUAUAGUGUCUUAUAGCAAAUAUACGAACUUGAAGAGUGCCUACGAGCAAAGGUGAAAUUGAGCAGUGUCCAUCAGCAAAUAUCAACAUUGAUGAAUGUACCGCAACAAAAUUACCUAAUUUGAAAAUAUAUAAACUCAAAGGCUGAAAGCCCAAAGGCCCAUCGUGCCAGUCAAGAAGCCCUCACCGCGGGCGGCCCAGUAUCCACAACCACCAUCCAAUCCAGUCUCCCCACGUCGCCACGUGACCACCAGCACCUCUAGAAACUUCCUCCUCGCCUCCGCCUCCGCCUUCCGCUUCCUCCCAGGCAGCCCCAAACCCACGAAACCCUCCUCUCCUCGCCGCCGCGCCGCCGCGCCGCCGCUUCCUCCUCCUCCCGCUGCCCACCCCCGGACCCAACCCUACCUUCGCGACAGCGGUAAUCGGAGCCGCGGGACAGGAUGCCGCCGAAGAAGGCCGCCCCGUCGAAGGCGGAGCUGGCCAAGAAGCAGAAGGUCGUGGAGGACAAGACCUUCGGGCUCAAGAACAAGAACAAGAGCAAGAACGUCCAGAAGUACGUCCAGUCCCUGCACCAGGCCGUCCAGCCCAAGCCCGACCCGACCAAGACCGCCGCCAAGGUACCGGAGAACGCUCAGAUCGAGAGCCCCCGCGGGCGCUUCCGUCGCUUCUUCCUCCGAUUGCCUGGCUCUUCUGAUUUUCCUCCUUUUCUUUGAUGUGGAUGUGGAUGUGUGUGCACAGAAAAAGAAGGAGGAGGAGAAGGCGCGCGAGAAGGAGCUCAAUGAUCUGUUCAAGGUCGCCGUCAGCCAGCCCAAGGUCCCAGUUGGUACGGUCUCUUCUCCUUGUGCUUAGGCAUCUUAAGUUGUCCUAUCCUAUAUAUUGCUGUAUAGUUCGUAUCGGUUUACAUGUGGAUGAAAUGAGUGCUACACAGUUCCAUUCGAUGUCAUUUAGUAUCAAAGUGGUCUGUGCAAUAUAAGUAUAAUCAAUUGACAUGGUUUUUUUAGUUUGUUCAGUGUAAAGUUGUGCAUUGGGAAAUGCCAACACCUUAGAGCUCUUUCAUGCCAUGUAGAGUGGACAUAAAUAUAGCAAGUUAUUAGGAUUGGUACAACAUGGUAGUUUUACGUGUUGUGGCUGCUAUCCUGGUGAAAGUCCGACAGAUGCUGAUGCCUCAAAUUAUGCUCUGCAGGUGUUGAUCCCAAGUCAAUAGUGUGCGAGUUCUUCAAGGUUGGCCAGUGCCAGAAGGGUUUUAAAUGCAAAUUCUCACAUGACCUGAAUGUCCAGAGGAAGGGUGAGAAGAUUGAUAUCUACACAGACAAGCGUGAUGCAGGUAUUGGACAAACAUUGCUUGGACUAUCACUUUCUUCUGUUCAAAUGGUUUUGUAUAAAUUCAUAUGCUAUUUGUUAUUGCCAGAAACUAUGGAGGACUGGGAUCAGGAAACUUUGGAGAAGGUUGUUGAAUCGAAAAGGACAGAGUAUCAGCAGAACAAGCCUACUGAUAUUGUACGCACUACUCUCAGCCUAUUUUGCUGUCAAUCACUAAUUCUAUCCUGUCAAAUGUUGCAUCACUUUCUAUGUUCCUUUGCAUGUUAUAGUAUGUUAAUAUCUAUAUUUAUCAAGUUUCAAACUAGGUAGAAUUGUUGUUAACCAUCUUGGUCAUUAAAUUUGAAACAUUCAGGAGAUGAAAUCAUAAUUAAGCAACUUAACACGCUGGCUGUAAAAUUUACUUAGAGGUUAUACUAGUCAAUCGACAUGUAGAAAAGCUUCAUGUCUGUCAUAUGCUGACUAACUGAAUGCAACUGUAUAGGCACCGAAUAUCAUGAGUGCAAUUUUAGAAAGAUUCACCAUGCUAUCAUAUUCUGAUGUAUUGGCAUCUGAGCUAGCGUUCCAAUUUUUUAUUGUCUAUAGCUUUCAUAAUCAGUGUUUUAUUUUGUCAUAUGAUGUUGUUUGUUUUCUUUAUAAACAUGGUAUUACAACGGUUUCUUUCGCCUUCAGUUGGUAAUAUGAAUUUAUUUGCACUAGUGCCUUGUCUACUCAGUCGGCAACCUGUUGUUAAAUAGGAAAGCAUUUUUGGUAAUUUGUUUGUUCUGUGCAGGUCUGCAAGUACUUUCUUGAUGCCGUGGAGAAGAAACAGUAUGGAUGGUUUUGGGUUUGCCCAAAUGGUGGUAAGGAUUGCCACUACAGGCAUGCCCUUCCACCUGGAUAUGUGCUAAAAUCCCAAAUGAAGGCCUUACUGGAGGAAGAGAGUGAUAAGAUAGCCAUUGAAGAUGAGAUUGAAGAUCAGGUAAAUGAAGUGUAAUAAGCAUCAUUAUCUGGAACUGUGAAGUCCCUGAUUCCCCCAUUUCUGUUUUGUAAUUGGAUUCCUUUAACGUUGUUAUUACAUAUUGUCUUGAUGUGUUGGUUUCGCAGCGUAAAAAGACAAAGACUACCACCCCUAUGACCACAGAAUUGUUCAUGGAAUGGAAGAGAAAGAAGGCAGAAGAAAGAGAAGCUGGCCAAGCUGCCUUGAAGGCAGAGAGGGCUAAGAAUGAUCGCAUGAGGUAACCUUCAUUUCUUUAAGCUGAUUGUUUUCUGCCUUUCUCGAUUUACUAACUGUGGUUGCAUUUGUUUCCAGUGGUCGUGAGUUGUUCAUGGCUGAUGCAAGUGUGUUCGUUGACGAUGCGGAAGCAUAUGAAGUCUAUGAGAGAGAGGAAGAGUCUGAGGCCAACGAAGAAUCGGUAAAUUUACCUUCCUUUGAUGAUAUGUGUUCCAUUUUUAGUAGGUUAGUAAGGUGAGAGUUUGAGAGUGUGCGCACCUGGCCCGGCCCCAUUCGUGCCCACAGAACACACAAAUUAUCCCACAGCCCACCCAAAUGGAAGCAAAGUGGUAUAUGUCAUGUCAGUUCUCACUGAAAUUAUUAUGUACUUGUUCUGUGUCUUAAUGAAGGAAACACAAAAAUGAGUAGGCUCAAGAAACUUACCUUGGUCCAGACAUGAUUUACCAUAUCCAUCCUAUAUCCAUGUAUAUCUUGGCCUCCAAAAUGUCCAAAACAUAAAGUGCAUGUUGCUGUUCAGAUCUAGACUUGGUGCCUUGGUCUUUAGCUUGGAGGUCCCCCCCCCCCCCCCCCCCCCUCCUCCUUCCCUCCCUCCCUCCCUCCCUCCCUUGCUCUCCCUCACCCUCCCUCCCUCCAUGUGAUAGAAGAUCAAAACAUCUGAAAUUGCUCUAUAUAAGUAGUGUCUAGACUCAGGAAAUUUAAUUUAUGUACCUUUUUUUAGUGAGCACGAGGCAAAUCCACAGGUGGCUAUGUAUUUGUGUAUGCUCAUUUAGAAAUUUGAUAGAUAAUCUUUGGAUGCAUUUAAGAAUCAAAGAAGUAACCUGGCGAUCUGAACAGAUUCUAUGGACCGCGGAGAUUCAUUUUUCUCACACCUGAUAUUAUUCUCAGAACGUGUUACUGCUAUGAUGAUGUUCACAGCUAUAUCUCUUAUCCACCUUUAUCCCGAAAAGAAAUAUAUAGGCAUGGAAUUAAUAAAUUGGAAAGAUAUCCAAGUCGUGGAUCUGAAAGCACAUUUAUAUUAGUUUACUGAAUUGAAAUGUGUAUCCUAGAAAAGGAGCUUUUGUUAUCAAAUUUCAAGUUAAAGGUGAAUUGCUUUCAGUACCUGGGGAAUGGCUUAAUUCACUGUAUGUUUUAGCAUGGAAUUUGGCAGAUGCUAUGAUAGUACAUCUAUAUGCAGGCUGGUUUGCAAUUAACUUGCACAGUAUUAUUCUCUCUUAUAGAUCUAUUCUAAUAUGUAUUUUGCACCCCAUGUGACAGAGCAAGAAAAGUCAGGAUGCAGGUCCAAGUUCAUCAACUUCUAAUGGCAAGGAGGUUGAGGAACUAGAUGACGAAGAUAUCGAUAUUGAUGAUGACUUGGACAUUGAUGAAUUAAAUGAACUUGAAGCAAGCCUGUCGAGAGCGUCCAUCCAAAUCCGAGAGCCUGGCGAGGGAGCAUCAUCCUGAGCAGUAGUAUUAUGGAAGAUCGUUGAGAAUUAGCUCUCCAUUUUUGGGCUCCCAAACCAAUCAAGUUGCUUUUGGAAACAGAAAGGUGGAGCAUAGAUGCAAGUGGAAAUGAUUUCUAGUUCACUAGCUAUCUUGAGGGAGCAACGAUCAACGAAUGACCCAGUGUUAUGAUUACAUGACAAUUGAUGUUUGCCGUGUGCCCUUUUAUCAUGUAACCCUUUUGGGGAACAUGUUGGUACUUGUGAAUAACAGGACUAAAUUAUUUUUGUUGACUUUGCGUGGACUCACGAGUAAAAUUUUGAUGCGAUCGUUACACCGCGAUGGGUCACAAUUAUGAUAGUUUGCUGAUUUUAUUCAAGCGCUGACGUGAGUAAUCUUCAGUUAUGCACUGUCUUUUAUCAGCAACCCGUUAUUAUGAUAAAGUUUUAUCAGCAACCUGUUAUUAUGAUUAUGUUUUUCCCUUUCUGCUGCGAAGAAUCGCAUUACAAUGUUUUUUUUACUGAACAUGUUUUGUUUCUUGUUGUGUACUUGCAUAUAUUUUCCCCAUCCAUUGUAUCAAUAAAAAUGAUUUUAUUAAAUUCCUGUUGCACUUAACAAAUCGGUUGUCUCAUUUGUAAGAUAUGUUUACUUGGAUCCUUGCAGUACUUUGCGUUGUACUGCUAUGGUGCUAACCUGAAAGUUUUCGUAAAUUUUAUGCGAAAUAUUUUACUUGUAAGAUCAAGCUGAUUCGCAUCAAUGAUAUUAGGGACGUAUGAUUCCCCUUUUCUUAGUCAACACCUGCAUUUGUUCCUGUCGAUUUGCCGAAUCAUUCAUGGAUAAGUACGGCACCAAAGCUUGUAGUAACUUCGAUGCGAUGACUCUGAGUCAAGGAAAGUCGCACGUACUAUAGCUCUGUUCGGCAUGAAAGAAUAUAUACGGGGUGUUUGGAUACACCUCCUAAAGUCUAGUAAUGUUUGAAUACUAAUUAGGAGUAUUAACCAUAGAUUAUUUACAAAAUCCAUUGCAUAGAUGGAGUCUAAUUCGCGAGACGAAUCUAUUAAACCUAAUUAGUUCAUGAUUUGACAAUGUGCUGCUACAGUAAAUAUGUGCUAAUUAUGGAUUAAUUAGGCUCAAUAGAUUCGUCUCGUGAAUUAAUACAGGGGUUCUGCAAUUAGUUUUAUAAUUAGCUCAUGUUUAGUCCUUCUAAUUAGCAUUCGAACAUCCGAUAUGAUACUCCUAAAGUUUAGCACCUCGUAUCCAAACAACCUAUCGCCAUUUCAGGUCGAAUCAGGCUGGGUGUCAUGUCAAAUUCUUGAGAGGGUUGUUGGGUUCUGCUAUACAUGAUAGAUCCGCGAAUCCGACGGGGUUCGCGAGACAUCCACGGUGGCAGCCGUCCUAUCGAGCUUUGAAGAUGCGCUCCGUGCAUGCUUACUCAGCUUGGCCGGCCGGCCGGCGGGUUGGAGGAUAUGCGGAUCUGCCGUUCGUGCGGCCACGGAUCUCACACGCACUGCGCACCAGCGCACGCUCGCUCGCGGUUGCGCUUGCGCACCGGCCGGCCACAGGCGCGCGCGCGCGUGCCUGGCUGCUCAACGAUUAUUUACACAUAGAUGCUUGCCGCAGCACUGGAUGCACAAACAGUACAGGGGGACGGGGUGUGCAACACAUAACAUCAUCUUCGUUAUCAUGCUUGGUUACAUAUAUACAUGUAACACGAGAAAGAGCAGAACAUAAAACUCGCCGACCCUCCCUAUUUAGUACUUAAGCUGUCACACCCCCUGAUUCCCUGAUUAGUGAUUACUACUCAACAUGACACAACAGAACCAUAAGCUUGGACACUCAUCAGAAGACGCGGCACAUUACUACCACCGUAACAACAAGUGCACACUUCCCUGAUGAAAACCAGUAAACAUUUAUGAAGGGGUUAUUUGUCUGAGAAGCAUAAACUCCUCAUGCAUCACACUGGUGCCUAAAAAGACUGCCCUCUAACAGUUGGAGACUUCAGGCCCAUCUCCCUCCUUAAUUCUUCCAUCAAACUGUUCAUCAAGAUUCUAGAAGAAAGAUUGUAACAGGUCAUCCUCUACCUAGAGUAUGCCAAUCAGUAUGGGUUUAUCAGCUCAAGAACUAUUCAUGAUUGCCUAGCCUAAGCUUUUGAAUUCAUCCACUUGUGCAAAUCCACCAGGAAAGAGGUAGUUAUCUUAAAAUUGGAUUUUGAGAAAACCUUUGAUAAAAUUGAACACCAGGCCAUCAUAAAAAUUCUGCAGAAUAAAGGCUUUGGUCCUAAGUGGUUGGGUGGAUCAGAGACAUUCUACAGUCUGGAACUUCUUCCGUCCUCCUUAAUAGUGUCCCUAGCAAGGUCUUCCAUUGCAAGAGAGGAGUCAGACAAGGAGACCCAUUAUCUCCACUCCUAUUUGUCUUAGCAGCAAACUUACUUCAGUCCAUGGUUAAUCAAGCAAAAUCCCAAGGCCUUAUCCACCUACCCAUCCCGGAGAGAGUAGGGAAAGAUUUCCCAAUUGUACAAUAUGCAGAUGAUAGUCUUUUUUGAUGGGUACAUGUACCAGGGUACCCUCAGAAUAGGGGCUAAGGUAACUAGGCGCCAAAAGGCCAAAGGCAACAGCUAGAAGCGGCCCAGACGACGUUGCGGCCCACCGCCCGACCUCCCUCGGUUGGAAGACAAAGCCACGACUCGCCGGCUCAGCUAGCUCGGGGGUGGAGCCCGCAAGGGGCCCACAACGCCUCACCCACUCCUUGACUCAGGAAGACCUGCGCCGUAUGAGAGCCAUUAUUGCACGGCGUGGUCCCCCUGACCGUCCCACGUCGGAGACAUGACCGGGUGAGGGGAGCCGACCUUUAACUAGGGGGUCCGAGGGUGAGGCUACACCCUUCGGACCGCCCAGGACGGCCUGCAGGAUGAGGUCACGCACAGCCGUACGUGCCUCGGCAUCAUCAUCACCUUCGCCGUCAAGAAGACCCAUCAAGAUUAAGGCCAUGCCACCGUCCCAGGCCAGUACGGUCCUGCAGGCGAUAUGGGACCCAACGACAAAGGUCACGACGAGGAGCGGCCGUGAGCGCACUAAAGAGGUCGGGGAAAGCCAGGACGAGCGGCGCGCCCCGUCCAGGCCACUAAUCAUGACCCGACCAUUCGUCACCAGUACGGACGACAGCAACAACACCCAUCCCAUUCACUGCCACGAAGUUGGCGGACGGGACAGGAGAACGCCACGAAACAGGAGUGUGUGUAAGCAACCCACGCCGCACAGGAGCUACCGUACAAGGCGUGCGAAGUCCAUGACCAGCGAAAGGGACAGGACAAGGAUGCCUCUUGGUGCAAGGAAUACUUGACCACGCCACAACUCCCGACCUCUGAGGUCGGGGACCCCCUCCAUUUCUCAACGUUGUUGUCCGGUCCCUAGCUUAUAUAAGGGGAACCGGGCCUCCUUUCUAUCUCUCAUUCAACGCAUACACCCACACAUCGCACGAACGCUUGCUUGCAAGCACCCCGUUGUAAGUCCAGUGCACUUGAUCCAAGGAACACAACUCCUGCCGAAACUGGAUGUAGGGAUUUUUUCCCCAAAACCAGUAUAACUACUUGUCUCUUGUAUGCUAGCCAUCAGAAGUGAGGAGAGCGCGGCGUAUACUCACUAGUCGGCGGUCCGAAACACCGACACUUUUGAUAAUGGAAGCUUGUCCUAGGCAGUUGCUAGUUCUAAAGGACCUCCUCAACUCCUUUGCAGCAACCAUUGGCCUAAAGGUUAACUACAAUAAGUCAGUAAUGAUCCCAAUAAACAUAUCUGAGGAAAGACUGCAAUCUUUGUCGAGCACUUUCAAUUACCGAAAAGGCUCCCUGCCAUUUACAUACUUGGGUCUCCUUUAGGCACCACUAAGCCUAAAAUUGAAGAAUUUUUGCCUCUAGUAUAGAGAAUUGAAAGAAGGUUGACUAGCGCAUAUGCAUUCCUCUCCCAAGCUGGUAAACUCGAGAUGGUAAACUAUGUACUCCAAUCUUUUAUUGUUGUACUCUCAAGCUACACAAGGGAGUGAUCAAACAACUAGAUAAAUACAUAAAACACUGCCUCUGAAAGAAUACAGAAAACACUACCCCUGGAAGGGAUUAGAUCUAAAAGCAGCAUGGCCAAUGGUGUGUCUACCCAAAAAGAAGGGAGUAUUAGGUGUUUUAAACCUCUCCACUCAUAAUGACUCUGAAAUUCCUACACAAAUUCUACUCCAGAGCCGAUAUACCUUGGGUGCAUCUAGUUUGGGAUAACUAUUACUUAAAUGGUCACUUACCUGGAUAACAAAGGAAAUGUUCCUUCUGGUGGAGAGACAUUGUUAAAUUAUUAGAUCAAUUCAAAGGAAUUGCCUCAAUAACUGUACAUGAUGGCUCUUCAGUGCUCCUCUGGCAAGAUAUGUGGAAUGGACAGAUUUUGCAAAAAAAUACCCCGAGCUCUUCUCCUUUGCCGAGAACCCCAAUAUAAUUUAUCAAAAAGCAGUGAGCAACACUCAACUGUCAAGCAACUUCCAGCUACCCUAUCCAUCCAAGCUCAUCAGCAAGUCUUGGAACUGCAAGGCACCCUGCUUGAUAACCAACAACUGACUAGUCCUAACCAGUGGAGUUACAUAUGGGCUAAUGCAAACUUCUCAGCAUCUAAAGUAUACAAAUCCUUAAUUGGUCACAGAAGCAUACACUCAGCAUUUACCUAGUUAUGGAGAUCUAAAUGCCAGAUGAAACAUAAAGUCUUUUUCUAGUUGUUGCUCAAGGAUAGAGUGAACACAAGAGAUCUCUUGAGGCAGAAAAGAAUGGUUUUGGAAUCAUACACAUGUGAUCUAUGCAUCCUGUAGAGGCCUGAAACUGUGGCACAUCUCUUCCUUCGUUGCAAUUUUGCUAAAGCAUGUUGGGAAUCCAUUGGCAUCUCAGUGGUCACUACGAGACCUAUCCGUCAAAUCUUUUCCAGGAUCAAGCAGCAGUUAGGAGUUCCCUUUUUCAUGGAGAUCAUCAUCCUCAUGACAUGGAGCAUUUGGAAAACAAGAAAUGACUGGGUAUUCAAUGAUAUGGACCCUUCAGUCAUUGAUUGCAAAUGGAGAUUCAUUGCUGAAUUCUCCCUUAUCCUCCAUAGAGCUAAACCCAGUCUAGUCAAUGUUAUGAACUAAUGGCUUCUUUCUCUUUGCUUUGUUUUCUGUAGCCUUUUGCUUUCUUUCCUUUUCCUUCUUUUCUUGCAUUCUGUAACUUUUAUUCCUCUUUAUUAAUAUAUAUGAAUCAGUAGGGGCUCUGCCCCUUCUGUUCCUUAAAAAAAACAUUUUUGUCUGGCAGCUUGCCAGCCAAGCACACACAAAAGCAAACAUUACCUACCGGCCGGUCUAAGAGGAGACAGAGGUGGUUUCCUCUCUCUAGCUAGUCGUCUCUGAUCAUUUCUUCCUGGCCCCGGCGUCUUUCUUGCCGGUGCCGGCGCCGGCCGUCUUGUCGCAGGCGAGGACAGCCGCCGUGGCCAGCGCAGCCGCGAUGUCCCUGACGAUCCUCUCCUUCACCUGGCCCCUCCGUGGCAGCGGGUUCCCUGACGGCGUCUUGCUGAUGGAUCGCCUGAUGACCGGAGCGGCGUCGCUGCUAGCAGUUGCCAUUGACUACGGCGUUCUAUACUAGCCACUACAGGCUUGGUCUGGUGAGUGGCGACUCUAGCUAAGCAGGAGCAGUGUGCUGUGUACUUUGUGAAGAGCUGGCAACCUGACACCAACACCUACCCAAAACUGGGUAUAACACCUACCCAAAACUGGGUAUAAAUAGGGGAGGGAAAGGCAAGACCGCACGAGGCAUGGAUGGGGAGAUGCAUGGAAUGCAAAGUGCACGCCUGGCGAGCCUCGGAUCCUCACCGGCGCCGAUUGGCCGGCGGCGGGGCGGAUGGAUGAGGAAUAAUGGGUGGUGGUGGUCAAGCCGUCAACGGCGAGCAUGGUGCGUGGCCGGUUCGGCGCAUCUGAUAUUCGCAGUGCGUUAGUUCGGAUUCUCUGAACAGCAGAAUGGAUGUUGCGAACUGCUUGCAACUGAAAAAAAAAAGUGUGCUAAUCCGGAGAGAUUGUAUGCCGCGCGCAUGACCUCACGGCCGGAACGUCACAUGCUGCCGUGUCGAUGUCAUCGUGUGGCUCGGGGAGAUAGGAAAGAGAAGGCAACAUGUUCGGCCCACUUUUAUCUUCUCAGGCGACAGUAGGUUGGGUUCCAGAUAUUCAGUUCCCGUGAACAACAGCAGUGCUGGCAGCUGUUUAAUUUGCAUGCAACAUCUCGUGGGUUCUAUACUAUUCGAUCAUAUAAAUGUAUUAGACUUCAUGUGAAUAUACGAUCCAUUUAAUAAAAAAACAUAUUGUUAUAUUUGCCUAAACAUUAUUAUGCAAUUUGAAAAACAAAAACUAACGAUAAACGCGUGUGUUUUCAUAUACUUUUGUUGUGGAUACAGGUAGAAGAGAUAAGAGGGAAUAAAAUGAAUAAUCCGAGAAUCGCAAGUAGUUCGUAAUUUAGAUGUUUAUCACAGACGCAGAUUUCACUAGCAUCUCCAUGUGUCACCCUGAGCUAUCUUUUAGCCUAACUUAGUGCUCCUAAUCAUUGCGCAUAUCGCUCCUAAUCCAACCAACACUUCACCAAUAGAAUGAAGAACCUAUCGCCAUGCUCCGGCCGUUGUAAUGGUUUUCCUGCCUGGCGAUGUGAUAACUGAUAACGGCCUAGUUUGUUGGCAUGAUGGUUAUUAACGGUAGAUAAAUUAUGUUGAUCCUGGCGAUGCUAAUCUCUGUAUUGUGGCUUUGUUUAAGUUCAGUGCCGAUAGUAUCACAUCGAACAAAUACGGGGACCUUUCUACGGAUCCUCUCUCUCUCUCUUUCUCACUGCUGAGUGAUAUCUAGAACUUAUACUGCAUAAAUCUGCUGCACAAUAUUUAAUUGUCAGGUACAGAUGACAAAGUACAGGUUCAUUAACAUCAGCACAAAGGCCAGCCAUACCACUCGUAGAGAAUAGAGAGAGUGGGAGACCCAUGGAUCAGCGGAGUUCGGAGACUGCACCGGGUCACCGCCUCUACGGGGUAUGAAUUACGAUGCCGCCGCCGCCGCCGGUGGCUGUCAGUUAACCAUCCGUCCAUCCGCAUGCAUGGUGGAGGCACGAGGCGUAAAAAAUUCGUGGCCGCGCACGGGCAGCCGCCGGCUCACGCCACAUACUCGUGCUCCGCGAACAGGUCCGAGUGGUGAUGCGCGCGCGGCAGCCUCAUGGCACCCCCUCUGUUUUCGAAUUCAGUUCAGAGCAGUCACCCAACUGUUUUCGAGUUCAGUUCAGAGCAGUGACCCCCUCUGUUUUCGAGUUCUAGUUCAGAGCAGCCACCCCUCUGUUUCUGAAUUCAGUUCAGAGCAGCCACCACUCUGUUUGCGAAUCAUGUUAAGCAGCUGGCACAAUGGUUCAGAAACGCAUAUCGGCCAAUUCGAUCUGAAUACAACAUGGUUUGGAAAUUGAAAGCCCAAUUACCAUCAAAUCUGCUACCAUAUAUUGCUUCGUAGUUCUUGCAUAAAACAACAAAGACAGUAAUGGACAUCUCUCUCCACAUUGCUUCACCCAACAACAGAGCUCUAAGCUGCACUCCAGCAGCUUAAAACCUGAAAGUGACCAAGGGGGGGAGAACCAAAGGAGCAAAACUAGGCACCAACAACUGCCAGAUUAAAGAAGAAAACUAAAGCUAAUCACUUCGCACAAUCCCUAUGUCAAGCACUACACACCGUACAACUAAAGUGUUCGAUCAGCUAGCAGCAGCUUGCUCAUCUCCCGAAGCUGCGCUCCCUGUUGGCGGCUCCGGCGCCGGCGCCGGCCGGUGCCGCGAGGCCGCCCAGCAGGGUCUUGGCGAUCUGCAGCUUGAGCUGCCCCCUCUUGAGCGGCGGCCUCUUCUCCUUGUUGCCGCCGCAGCCGUUGCAGGGGUACCCGUACUCCAUGGCAAGCUUCUCCGCUUCCUUUCUCACUCGAUGGCCGCUCGCUCUGUGCGUGAGCUUCUGGUAGCUCCCGGUGGCCUGCGCCGCUGGUGGAGAAGGCGAGAGAUGGCUGGCUGGCUUGGGGAUGGAGUGUGCAGGGCAGCGUGCAUUUUUAUAGCCGGAGGCCGGAGAUUUCAGACAUGUUGCAUUGGGAGAUGGAAACGCGCGUUGAUCAUCCAUUUGCUGGGGUCCGGGAAUAAAGUUGCAGGCUUGUUUUGAGCAUGUGGUUGUCUCUGUUGCGAGUGGGGAAGGCGUCACUUGACUUCGCACUAGCAGGCUAGAAGCUCUCGUUCCCUUCCCGACUACUUUUUCCUCGUCUUCUCAUAGUUCUUGGAAGCAUCCAUGAGGAGACAGGCAGGCCAAUGAGCAAAAACACAGGAUUAGGGAGGGAUUAGCCUCAUGUCAAUCAGAGAUUUGGCGAUCUAAUCUCGUGCCAAAUGCCCAUUUGGACCAGGAAAACAUGCAAUUGAGAAUUGACCCUUUCCAGUUUUCCUGUACCCUGUAAAAUAAAAUUAGGUCAUCCGAAAACAUGCAAUUGAGAAAUGUUGCAGAGUUCACCAGAUCUCCAUUUGCUUAUUAGAACAAAAAACAUUGCAUUAUCUAAAAAUGGAUUGCAUACCCUUUACUUGCGCUUUUCAGUAACAGUAUUGUUUUCC